Molecule: long non-coding RNA, 134258 nt
Filed under: Vitis vinifera (wine grape)
Lineage: Eukaryota; Viridiplantae; Streptophyta; Magnoliopsida; Vitales; Vitaceae
Description: long non-coding RNA (VVIN_LNC001898)
Source: RNAcentral
CCGAGCAUCCUCAAGCGUGCUCACGAAGAAAUGGAUCAAGUGAUUGGAAGGAGCCGGCGGCUCGUGGAGUCUGACUUGCCAAAACUUCCAUACCUACAAGCCAUAUGCAAGGAAAGCUUCCGGAAGCACCCAUCCACCCCGUUGAACCUUCCUCGUGUCUCAACCCAAGCAUGUGAAGUGAACGGCUACUACAUCCCAGAGAACACUAGACUUAGCGUGAACAUAUGGGCAAUUGGGCGAGACCCUAAUGUCUGGGAAAGCCCGGAAGAAUUCAGGCCAGAAAGGUUUUUAAGUGGAAGAAAUGAAAAAAUUGACCCUCGUGGAAAUGAUUUUGAGUUGAUCCCGUUUGGGGCUGGACGAAGGAUUUGCGCUGGCACUAGAAUGGGAAUAGUGCUGGUUGAGUACAUUUUAGGGACGUUGGUACAUUCAUUUGACUGGAAAAUGCCGGAUGGAGUUGAGAUCAACAUGGACGAAGCUUUCGGGCUUGCACUGCAGAAGGCAGUUUCUCUUUCGGCCAUGGUGACACCAAGGCUUCACCAGAGUGCGUAUGCAGUCUGAGCUCAAACCGCUCAGACCAAAACCCAGGCCUCGCUGCUAUAUGGCAUGGAUGCAGUUAAGUAGAAAAUAUUUUGGGAUGCCUGUGGCUUAGUAUAAGAUGUAUUAGCUCAAAGAUGGUCGUUUCAUUCUACCACCAAGCCAUAUGCAUCUAUGCAUAAUCUAUUGAUUUAGGCUCGAUUUGGUUAUAGUUUUUGUUUUUUUGUCUUCCAAAUCAGUAAAUAGUAGGGGUAUUUUUGUCCUAUGUAGUGAUUCUUUUUGUUUGAUUGAUUAUAUUUGGAUCCUUCAAAAAUAUAUGGUCAGAGCCAUCUCCAUCUUUUCACUUCUUGUGCUGCAGAAUGGGAUUGGCUUAGAUCGUUAGUCUAAUGUUAACCCCCUUCAAAUCUAAUUAUUCAUACCCAAUUUUGACACGAAAGAGCCAUUGUCAUGAAAGGGGGACCAGGGACCUCAGCACCCUUGGUUCAUCAUUUUGGUACGAUGCCAACUCUACCACAUAACCACCAUUUAGAUAUCUAUCCUUUUAUUUUUGGCAUGUGAACUUAUAGUGGGUGGCUGACCUUGAAUCCAGUAGUUAUCAUGAUAUAUAUGGCUGUGUUGAAACUAACCACCAUUUAGAUAUCUAUCCUUUUAUUUUUGGCAUGUGAACUUAUAGUAAGUCCGAUUUAUGUCCAAGGGUCAAAUUUAAAUCUCUCUUCAAUCUAAUGGCUAAGAACUUCCCAACUUUAUUUAAUACUUAAUGUAUCCAAUAAUUGUAAUCGAGUAAUCCAAUGACAAGUACCUUCAAUGAUUAUUUUGGCAAAAGAAAUAAUAUAAGUUUGUUAUUUUAUGAUAUAAUAAAUUUAUUAAUACUUUCCUUUUUCAAAAUAUGUAAUUAGUUGUAAUUUCAUUAUAUAAUAUAUAAAUUAAGUUAUUUGCAAUUUUAAAAUAUGCUCAUUUUGUAUUUUUUUAAGUGUUAUUUAAAAAUUACACAAUUUUGUUUUAUAAAAAGUAUUUAGUACUUUUAAUUUUAUAAUUUACAAACAUUAAUUUAUACUAUUUUCUUAAAAUAUUUAGUUUAGUAUGCAUAUUAUUAGUUGUUUUCUCAGAUCUCAAGUUCCAAUCAAAAAAAUAUUUAUGAUUUGUUUUUGUUAAUUUGUGUCUUGUUUUCAAUUUAAUUAAUGAAAUUUUAUUUGAUCAAAAAGUUCAUUAUAAACCAAUUUUAAAAAUCUAAUCCUUUAUUAUAUUUUGAUAUGGUUUUGAUAAAAAUGUCUUUAUUAUUAUUAUUUUUUAUAAAAAUAAUUAUUAUUUUUGAAAUAUAUUGUAAAUAUUUAAAAUAAUUAAAAAUAUUUAGAUCAAAAAUCGAUUAUUUUUCAAACAAAAAUAUGAAAGUGAUAAAUUUGCAAAUAUGGGGAAUAUUUAAUCCUUUUAAUCGAUUAUUUCAUUACUGAAGUGGGUAUAAUGAUGAACGCAGACUUGGUUUUGCUAGGGCAUGCAGAGGUUUUGCAAGAGAGAGAGAUCAUUUCUCGACUCUGAGAAAUCAAUCUCCUUUUGGCCCGGUGGUGGACUCCAAGUAAAGCCUUGAAGGAGCCUUGCUAACAUCCCUGCACACCCACGCCUUCCAGUACUGAAGGAAAUGAAGCGAAGGGUUGGCUCGUUCAACUCCACUGCUUGAACUGUACUAGCAUUCUGAUGCCGCUCUGGAUUGAAAUUUAGCGGUUCUUCCCAGAUUCUAGGGUUCCGGCCCAGCCCCAGACGGCUCAGAAGGACAUGACUGCCUUUGGGGAUAAAGUACCUAGCAACACUAGUCGGAUUCCUGAACUCGUCUAUCCUUUCCAACCACUCCAUCAAUUUCUUCACUGCUUUGCUCAAAAUCCCUGGUUGCUUGAUCAUUGCCUACCCAAUUGCAUUUGAUGGACUAUCGACGCCUGCAAGCAUCAACUCCUGCAAAUUAUGGAAGGAUCAUAAUCUGAUGAUUGAUCAAGUUAUUUGCUGGCUAGGAAAUGAUCAUCAUGCAAUGUAGAUCAAAAGGUAAGCACAACGCUACUACAAAAAUAAUUUAUGGUGUCAUUUUUUAAAUAAUGACACCAUAGGGUUUAUAAUUAAUAAAGGUGAUACAUCGUAUAAAAUUUUUUCAAUUGAGGUAGUUAGAUUAUGUUAGUUUUAUAUUUAUAGUGUCAUUUUUUGGGAAGUAACAUCAUAUAAAAUAAAUUUUUUUAAGUAUUAUAACUUAAUGAGCCCACUUGAGCCCACUUUUAUAAUUAAUAAUGGGGGAUAAUGUAUAAAAAGCCCAUUGUUUCCACAUGCCACCCACAAUCCAAAAAAUCUCAGCAUACAAACCUUAUAUAUAAAACCAUAAUCUUCUUCUACCUUUUCUCUUACCUAUAGUCAACACACUUACAACCAACAUUUUCUACUUUGUGGACUCCUGGGUAAUCCAAAUUCUCUUAGAUCUAUCAUAUUUUUUUUUUCCUUUUAUUAAUAUAAUUAUAUUGAUUGUUUCAGCAUCUUUGUAUUAUGGUUUUUGUAAACUGCGUUUUCUUGAGUUGUAGGGAAGAAAAACUUAGGUUUAAACUUCUAGCAUAGACGAAGAAACUUGUAGAUUAAUUGAUUUUUUAAUAUGAACCAAACACAUGACUGACUUCUUAAAAACAAGAAAAAAUGAAUGAUUUUUAAUAUGUAUUUAUGUGAGAAUGACAGGUACAAAAUUUUGUUGAGAUAUACUGCCACAUAAUCUUCAUCCCUUCCCUAAAACAAGAGAGAGAGAAAAAAAAAAAGGAAUGAUUUUUUUUGUGUGUAUCUAAGUGGGAAUGAGAUAUAUAGAAUUUCGUUGAGAUGCCACAUGAUCUUUAUCCUCCAUUAAACCCAACAUAUUAAAUCCACUAACUCUCCCCAAAAACGAGUAAAAAAAAAGGGAAAAAAGUAUGAGUUAAAAAACAAAAACGGAAAAUAUGAUUUUUUUUUUUUUUUAAUGUGUUUCUAAGGAAAAUGAGAGACAAAUUUUUGUUAAGAUGCAUUGCCACGUGUUCUUCAUCCUCUCCAUUAAGCCUAACAUAUUAAACCUAAUAGCUCUCUCUUUUAACUUUCCAGUGAAGUGCCUACAGUAUCCAACUCAAAAUAAGACAACUUAAGCCCCAUUAGCCAACAACCCAUAUUUUGUGUACAUCUUGAUGAGAUUAUUUUGUGAGAAAAUGUCAUGAAACAAUCCCAAUUUGAUAAUCUAGGCAUGUAUUUGAGUUAAAAAUAAAUUUCUAUUCUAUAGAUCAAAUAAUAAAAUCAUGUUUGAAAAUUAUUUUUAAAAACUUAUUUAGAGCAAAAAUAGUUUUCUAACAUAAAAAUAAUUUUUUAACUGAGAAAAUAUAUUUGAAAUUAUUUGAUAGAAAAUUGGGCAUGUAUUUGACUUAAAAACAAAUUUCUAUUCUAUAGCUCAAAUAAUAAAAUCAUGUUUGAAAAUUAUUCUUAAAAGCUUAUUUAGAGCAAAAAUGGUUUUCUAACAUUAAAAUAAUUUUUUAAUUUAGAAAAUAUAUUUGGAAACAUUUGAUAGAAAACUGGGCAUGUAUUUGACUUAAAAAUAAAUUAUUAUUCUAUAGAUCAAAGGAUAAAAUCAUGUUUGAAAAAUAUUCUUAAAAACUUAUUUAGAGUAAAAACAGUUUUCUAACAUAAAAAUAAAUUUUUAACUUAGAAAAUAUAUUUGAAAACAUUUGAUAGAAAACUUUUUUUUUUUUAAUGUCAAUAAGUUGUCUUUUGUUAAUUUAAUUGUAAUCAAUUUGCUUAUACGCAUUUAAAAGUAUAUAUUAUCAUAUUUAGUAAUAUUUUGAUUGUUAGGCAAAUUAUCAUUUUUGAGAGGAAUUUUUGUAGCUCUCAUAAUUAUAAUUGUAUUUUAAUAACCAUUUCCAAUAAAAAAAAAGAAAAAAAAAGUUAGACAAUUAUCAAAAUCUGAUUUUUAGGAUUUAAAAAAAAUCUACAAGCCAAAACUAUCUAUAAUUUUGAUCAUGUGAGAACACUUCUUUUUUAAUACUUUGAAUUAUUUUGUUUUUUUUUUCUUAGUAUCUGAAAGUAUAAAAGAAUUUCUCUUAUUAUAUUAUUAUAUUAUAUAUGUGCAUGUGUGUUCUCAUGGUUGUUUAUGUCAUGUGUUAUUAAAGAAUAAAGUGAAAUUUCCUUUGAGUGGAAGGUUUUAGUCCACGCUAGUGAGUGGACACAGUAUGAAUAGUUUGGGUGGGUUGUAUCUAUGGUAAAAAAAAUAAUAAAAGACACCUUUUGCAAGUCUCCAAGUUGGUUGAGAUACAUGGUAUCAUGUUGACUAAACCUUGACUUUUGCAAGUCUCCUAGUUUCCAACUUUUUUUUUCUUUUUUUUUUAAUAUUAAGGUGUGGGGCCAUGAACUCCUUUCUUUCCUUUUUAAAUAACAAAAAGGAAGACAAUUUUAUUGUGAGAAGGCUAUUGCUAUCAAUUGUGUUCACGUCGAGAUUUUUUUAAUUUAUGGAGGCCAUAUAUAUAUUUAUGUCUAAUUUAGGAUGGUAAUUUGGGUUUGUUUAAUCUAUUCCAUUUAAUCAUACUAUACAAUCAUUUUUUUAUUUGGAUUAUUUUUGUAUUAAAUUUCUUCAACCCAAAUUUUGUUGAAAAGUUACAAUGUAUUAUUAAAAAUAUGACUUGGUAGUUGAUUAUGGAUAUGUGUCAUUUUUAGUAAAAAAAAAAAUCUAUAACAUUUUAUAUUGAUAAUAUAUUAUUCUUGUAACAGGUUCGAAUAGUAAGCAAGUCAUUAUCAAAGAAGUUAUUGAAAGUGUAAGGGUAUGUUUAUUUAUUGCAUGCUCUUAUAUAGUAUCAAUUGUAAGGAAGAUAAAAUUACCUUGUAAAGGUAAUUAAAUCUUUCUAUAUUUUAAAAACUUUUUUCCUAUAUACUAUGCUUUUGAAGCUUGUUUAAUUAAACAUAUUAGUUAUUUGACAAACUUUUCACAAAUGUUUUGCAUGUAUACUUAUGUGUUCUAUUUUGUUCCAUAGUUUUAUUGCAUAAUACUAAUGUAUAUUUUUUCACAAACUUUUUACAACUAUUUUGUGUACUAAUGCAUAUUAAGUUUUGUUCUUGCCUAUAUAAGCUACAUUUAGUUAUUUAAAUAUAUCCAAUAUUAUGUUGAAGAAAGAUGUACUUACUUAACUUUUUUUAUUCUAAAUAUUAACAAGUUUUUCAGUUCUCUUGUCUCGAGAUUGAAUGUCAAAAGAUAGAAGGUCAGUUGAGUAUGAUGAAAGAGUUGAAAACUUUAUCAAUUUUGCAUUAGCACAUUCAAUCAACCAUUCCCCUAUAAAAUGCCCAUGCUUACGUUGUGCAAAUCUGUUAUGUCAAACUCUUCAAGUCAUUACAGAGCAUUUGUUCUUUAAUGGAAUAGAUCUCAGUUAUCGAGUAUGGUAUUGGCAUGGAGAAAAUGGACCCAGUGGAGGAUUUUCAAAUGUCUCACAACAACAUUAUGACAAAUGCAAGUAUAAUGAUGUUGUUGACACAAUAGAUAUGGUUAAUGCUGCACAAGUUAAUUGUAUGAAUGAUCCCUAAGUGUUUGGAAGGUUACUUGAAGACGCAGAAAAACCUUUAUAUCUUGGAUGCAUGAAAUACACAAAGUUGUCAGCAUUGGUAAAACUUUACGACUUAAAAGCACAUUAUGGUUGGUCUAACAAAGGAUUCUCAAAAUUGCUUCAGUUGCUUGGAGAUAUGUUGCCAUUGAAUAAUGAGAUGUCAUUGUCCAUGUAUGAAGCUAAAAAGACUUUCAGUGCACUUGGGGAUGAAUAUAAAAAAAUUCAUGCAUGUUCUAAUGAUUGUAUUUGGUAUAGAAACCAGUAUAAGGAUGCUAUUGCAUGCCUAACUUGUGGAAAGUCAAGGUGGAAGAUAAACAAUGAGGGGAAAAAGAUUAAGAAGGGGCUUCCUUCAAAGGUUUUGUGGUAUUUCCCACCAAUCCCUAGAUUCAAAAGGAUGUUCCAAUCCUCAAAAACCGCUAAACAUCUUAUGUGGCAUGCCAAGGAUAAAGAAUAUGAUGGUAAACUAUGCCACCCAUCAGACUCCUCAGCGUGGAAACUAGUUGACCAUAUGUGGCUUGAUUUUGCUUCUAAACCGAGAACCUUAGACUAGCACUCUCAACAGAUGGUACAAAUCUUCAUAAGUCUAUAAGCAAUAGACAUAGUUGUUGGACUGUUAUACUGAUCAUAUACAACCUUCCUCCUUGGUUGUGCAUGAAAAAGAAGUUUAUGAUGCUAUCAUUAGUGAUCUCAGGACCACGACAACCUAGUAAAAAUAUAGAUGUUUACUUGAGUCCAUUGGUAGAUGACCUUAAAACUUUGUGGGAAAAAAACGUUAAGACUUAUGAUGCACACUUGCUUGAGGUUUUUACUUUAAAGGUCAUCAUUUUAUGGACAAUCAAUUAUUUCCCUACAUAUGGAAACUUGGCCAAUUGCACCGUGAAAGGAUAUUAUGCAUGUCCAAUAUGUGGAGAAGGAACAUAUUCCCAAAGAUUAAAGUAUGGUAGGAAGAACUUGUAUAUGGGUCACCGAUGAUUUCUUCCACGUAACCAUCCCUAUUGGAGACAAAAAAAGGCAUUCAAUGGUGAACAAGAUUUUAGAAUUCCUCCUAAAAUUUUGAGUGGAGAAGAAAUACUUGAAAAAGUUGAUCUCAUUCCUAUUUCUUGGGGAAAAAUGAAGAUAAAAUCUCUUGAACUGAUGUGAACACAAAUUGUUGGAAAAAAAAGUCCAUAUUUUUUGAGUUAGAAUAUUGGAAAUAUCUUCAUAUCCUUCACAACUUGGCAGUUAUGCACAUUGAAAAGAAUGUUUGUGAGAGUAUUAUUGGUACUUUGUUUAACAUCCCAGGAAAAAAAAAAGAUGGACUUAAUGCUCAACUUGACCUAGUUGAAAUGGGUUUAAGGUCUGAACUUUUCCCAAGAGUUGACUUGAAGUGGACCUAUCUUCGUCCUGCAUGUUAUUCACUAUCCAAACAUAUAUGACAAAAAAUUAUUUUGUCAAACAUUGUCUAAUUUGAAGGUCCCUGAGGGGUAUUGCUCAAAUUUUAGAAAUCUUGUCUUCUUAGAGGAAUUGAAGUUAUUUGGUUUAAGAUCCCAUGACUACCAUGCACUUAUGCAACAACUAUUGCUAGUGGCAUUACGUUUUGUUUUGCUAAAGCAUGUGAAAUAUACUAUAUCAAGAUUGUGUAUCUUCUUCAAUCAAUUAUGUACAAAAAUGGUUGAUGUGCCAAAAUUGGAUGAAGUACACAAUGAGUUAGUGGUCACGUUGUGCUUACUUGAAAAGUAUUUUUCACCUUCAUUUUUUGAUAUUAUGCUUCAUCUAGUAGUGCAUUUGAUAAGGGAGGUGUGACUAUGUGGUUCAGUUUACUUUAGGUGGAUCUACCCAUUUGGGAGGUAUAUGAAAGUUCUUAAAGAAUUGUUCGCAAUCAUAAUUGGCCUGAAGGAUGCAUUACUAAGUGCUAUUUAGCAGAAAAAGCUAUCGUAUUUUGUACUGAAUAUUUAUUAGGGACUCAUGCAAUUGGAAUUCCAAAAGCAACAAUUAUGACAACAAAUUUGGUAGACCUAUAAUUGGUGGUCGUUCUACCAUCAUUGAUCGUAAAUCGUGGUUACAAGCACAUCAUUAUCUAUUAGAGAAUACAACUAUCGUCCAACCAUACACUGAGUAAGAAAAACAUACCUUUAUCUUUUUAUAAUUUCAUAACAUAAUGAUGAAAUCCUAAGUUUGCAUUCCUUGUCUUUAACGUCAUAGGGAACACAUGAAUUGGUUGAGGUCUCAAUACCCUCGAAAAUCUAAUAGACAAAUUUGGUUGCAAGAAGAACAUAUGAGUUGUUUUACAUAUUGGCUUAAAGAAAAGGUAAUCUCUUAGUUUUUAGAAAAUUUUUCAAUAUGUUGAAAACAUCACAAGUUUCCAAUAUGUUUUGAUUAUACAUAUGUUGAAGAGGCUAUCCAUAAUGGGCAAGAUAUUCCCGACACACUUAGGUGGUUAGCACAUGGCCCUACUCUCCAAGUAGUCAAAUAUCCUGGAUAUAUCGUUAAUAAGUGUCGUUACCAUAUUAAGAAACGCGAUAUGACAUGCAUCACCCAAAAUAGUGGUGUUAGCAUUUUAGCAAGGACUAUGCAAAUUGCCAGUUCUAAGGAUAAGAACCUAGUUUGUGGUGAACUUUGCUUUUAUGGGGUCAUUAAUGAGAUAUGAAAUCUUGAUUACAACAUGUUCACAAUUCUAAUUUUCAAGUGUGAUUAGGUUGACAACAAGAAUAGUAUAAAAGUUGAUGAACUCAGGUUCACAUUAGUUGACUUCUCCAAAAUAGGUCACAAAUUGGAUCCAUUUAUUUUAGCAUCACAAGCCAAGCAAAUCUUCUAUGUUGAAGAUCAACUUGAUCCUAAAUGGUCAAUAGUUCUCUCAAUUCCUCCAAAAGAUUUCAAGAACAUAGAAGGACUAGAUGACUUCACCGAUAAUUGCAUGGAACAUCACCCCUUUAUAAGUUCAAUGCCAGAAUUUGAAUCAUUUGAUGCUAUGGAUGAAUCAUAGGCAAUACACAUGAGAGAAAACUGUGAGGGCAUAUGGAUUGAAAAUAAUUAAAUAACAUAUUGUACCCUUGAAUGAGAUAUAAUAAGGCAUUUCACUUAUUAGUUUUCAUGAGUUGCACAUUAACUUAGCUUCUAUAUAUUGCUCAUGAUAUAUCUAUAUAUAUUAAUCAUCCUAAAUUUCUUUCAUGCAUCAUAAACAUAUGUUAUUCAAAGGUACCACUUCAAUCUUCAUUCAACUAUCUUUUUGUUGUCCAUAGAACUAGAUUUAUAUUAUUUUUUAUUAUCAUGUUUUGAUUUUAUGCUCACAUAACUUGAAACUCUCUUUCGUAAAUUUCUUUUUCAUUAAAACUAUAAAUCAUAAUUGAAACUAUGCACUAAUUUAUUUUAUUAUUAUCCUCACAAAUAAAUUCUUCAUUAUUGAUAAGAAAUCAAAAAACAAGACAAACUUUGAAAGAAAAUUUCAAAAAAUAUAUUUGUGAAUGACCAAUUUAAUUAUAGAAAAUAUAUGCAAGGCUAUACUAAUCUUGCUUUUGAGUCAUUUUACAGGUUUGUUGGUGAAGUACUAGUUUGCACAUUGACUUGAUAUCUUCCACACAAAUAUGGAUCUAGAAGAAGGGGAAAUGCCAAAAAUAAAGCAUAGAGGUAGUGCAUUGAAACCAAAGAUUGCAAAAAAUCGAAGUAAAGGGAUAAAACUCAAGAUUGAAUACAAUAGCCUUGGUAGUCACAUUGAGGAAAAUUCAGUUAAACUAAGUAGUUAUCUUAGUACAAUAACAAAAACCCAUGUGCCAAUAAUUAUUGAGAGUUGGAGGAAAGUCCCUAAAGAGACUAAGGAGAAGUUGUGGGAUUUGAUCACGGUAAGCCUAUCUAUAGCUUUAAUAUAUAAUUAUUGUAUACAUUCAUUAACAUGAGCUAACAUGGGUUGCUAUUUUGUAGACAAGCUUUAAUGUGAAUAAAAAAUCCAAGAGGAAUUGUUUCAUACUAAUGGGCAUCAGGUUUCGAACCUUUAAGUACAAGUUGACAAAGAAAUAUAUAUUGUCUUUCAAGAAUGACCAAAAAAGCUGAAAAAGUCACCUCCUAUUUGCCCAUUCAUACAAGAGGAUCAUUGGAGACAGUUUGUUAAAGAUAGACUUUUUGAACAUUUUAACGUUAAGCAUUAUUUUUAUUACAUCUUCAAUUUUCACAUUUACGUAGUUUCAUUAUGUACUAAUUUUGUGUCUAUAUUUUGUAGGAAUAUCGCAAAGUUCAGAAAUCAAGAAGAGAUAAACACAUUUACAAUCAUUAUCUUGGAAGAAAAUGAUAUGCACGUUUUGAGCAAGAUAUAGUAAGUUAUCAAUAUCCAUAAAAAAAAAUGGAGUAUAUAUUUUGUUUAUAGGAAAAUGAUUCUAGUUUUUAAAUAUCAUUUAUUAACUUGAUCAUGUUGAACUAAUGAGUUUUAUUGUUAAAAUUUUUAUAGCUACAAGCAGAAGGGGCUAUUGGUAGGGUUGAUAGAAGUGUUUAUGAAAGAAAACACGUGAGAAGAAAGGAAAGUUUAAUAAGAUUACAAAGCCAAUGAUUAACUAAGUUAGCAUAUUUAUGCCUUUUAGAGCCUAUAGUGUUAGUAUGUCUAUGUGAUUAUGGUUUGGGAUGAUAUCGUUAGGUGUUAAUAGGGAAGAGGCUUAAUGCUAUCAUUUUUAUGAGUAGUCAUGUUAUAUUAGUGCAAAUAUAGUAGCCUAAUUUGAAAAUUAAUUUUGAAACAAUAUACAUUAAUUUAUCUAUUAUCAUUUUUAUUAAAACAAUUCAUUUUCUAGCUACCUUGAAUUGGUCCUCUUGAAUUGGUUGUCUUUGAUUGAUAUGUUAAUCAUCAUCUUCAUCAAAUUAUUACUAAUAUAUGUUUUGUUGUAGGAUGAAUUACUAGAAAAGGCAAGGAGACUAGACUACCUCCACCUGGUCCAAAUGACAUAUUAUGUUAGGCAUUGGGUAAGCUUGAUCAUCUAGGACGUGUGGUAGGUCAAGACCGCUUGGUUAGGCCGAACUCAUACUUUCAUCAACCAUUUGAUGACAUGAAAAAAAAAAUCAAAGAAGAAAUAUGGGAAAUGGUGUGAAAGGGGAUGCAAGAUGCUGUAACAAGACAAACUAUGUCUCCUCCCACACCCCAUUCUGAUAUAGGUAGUAAUAACAUGAGACAACAACUUGUUUUACAACUAGUUGUAGCAAAAAAACCAAUGUUUAAAAUGAUGGAAGAGCCCCAACCACCAUAACCACCACUGAAACGUAAGGUAUACAUUUACUUACUAAUAAUACAAGAUUAAUAUAAGUGAUAUAUAGCCUAUGUAAAUGAUAUUAUUUGUUGUAUUAAAGGUGAUUAAAUAUAAAUUAGCAGUGGAAUGAAAAUGAAAUGUUGUUGCAACCGGUACAUUAAUAGAAGAAAAUUGAUCAAAUGGGUUGGUCGUAAUAAAUGUUGCACACAAGCUAGAUGCUAGACUCCCAUUUCCAAAUCCAUAUGAGAUUAUCAAUGUUGGGGAUGCUAUUGGCCUUAAGCUUGACUGGCCAACAAGCCUUGUCAUACUUGAAACUAAACAUCCUCGGGUAUGUCAUUUUAUACUUGUAGUAAAUUUGAUUGUAACUUGGUAUUUUAUUGUUAGGAGUAUAUAUUACUAACAUUCCUUCAUUUUUCAUAGGUGUUGGAUAAAGGAAAGAAGUAGAUAGUGAAUGCACCAAUUAUUCGAAAAUCUAAGCCUCAAAAUUAUUCGGUCAUUAAAAAUUUCCAGAAAUUUAUGGAUGGUUGUCUUAGUAAUGAGAAGACAUACCCAAUACAGCUCCCCAUUUCACUAUUUGGUGUCGAAUUCCGAACAUAUAUAUCUAGAGAGGAUUGUGAAUACAUUAUUUCAUCUUCAGAAGUGUCAUCAAAAUGCAUCUCCUUCCAUUUAUGGUGUGCACCUUUUAUUUUCAUUUGUUUUUAUUUUUUUUAAUAUGAGUUGCCCAUGUUGAACAAGAUUGGAUAUGACUAAUGAUAAUUUUCUUUUGGUGUUUUGAUAAUAUAAUAGGUACAUGCAUGAUCAACUACAUAUUGCCAAAAAGGAAUCACAAUUUAUAUUUGUUAAUCCUUUUACAAUAUCAUGAGCAGGCUUUAGUAAUCCUCAAACAGAGAAAAGAACACAAUUGUUGUCAAAACACUUAAUAGAGUGCCAAGAUGUCGGAUAUGUUUUCAUGCCCUACAACCUCGAGUAAGUGACGAAUAUUAUACUUUAAUUUGAGGUUUUAUGAUUGAUUUAUAUUUCUAAUUAGAUGCUACUUUUGUUUUUAAUGUUUUAGCUUUCAUUGGGUCUUGGUAGUGAUUGAGCCAAGGAAAAUGAUAGUCCACUAUCUUGACCCUGUGCAUCACAAACCAUGUGAGGACUUAAAGGAUAUCGUAAACAUGUAAGUUCUUCCUAUUAUUUUUCAUAGUAUUAUUUAAAAAAAAAUUACAUUCACCUCAAACACAUUUUUUAUUGUUAUUUCUAUAUAUUAAAGAGAUAAUUUUUUAUCCUACAAUGAUUGCUUCAAAGGUAUUACUUAUUUAAUGAAUUGUACAUAUUUUUAGGCUUUCAAAUGUUAUGCAUUUUAAUGUUAUUUUCUUAUUUGAUUUCAGUUUGGUGAUAAAAAAACAUAUUCUCAAGUAGAAUUCAAUGAAAUUAGAGGAGAAUUGACUACUUUUGUGCUACAACUAAUCAUGAAUCAUGUUGAUGCAUCAUGAUCACCAUGCAUGGUGAGUUCCUUAGCUACUACAUGAAUUUUUCCAUAGAUAUUGUAUAGUAUUGCUUUUCUUUGAACAAUGUUUUUAUUUGAAAAAAAGAAAAAAAAAAGUUCUUAGAUUUGUUCAUUUAUGAUAACAUCGAUCCAUAUUUAUUUUCUUCAAUGAAAUAUAUAAAACUCAUUAAACUAUGAAAUGCAGGUAUACACUCUUAGGAGGGUGGAAUAGAGAAUAAAAAGAACAAAGAAGGCAACAAGAUUUUAGGUUUUUAAAUACAGCUCGUAUGUCAUACGUUGUAGGACAUAAACAUUACUUUAAUUGGUAGUGAGAAUUUUAGAUUUUUAGAUGCUACUUUUAUGUCAUUUUAUAGUUAGUCGAUUUUAUGCUUAUGAAAUGAAGGUAUACAUGAAUCUUGGGAUGCUUCACAUUUCUAAAUCAUGUUUUGGUAUGUAUUCCCUCUUCUUUUUUAGUUUUGGUGGGUUUGAUAUGUUGGAUGUACUAUCUUUUUGUGAACAUUUGAUAUACAAAUAUUAUUAGAUGAUCAAUGUAUUACGAGUUAUUCCAUAAGCAUUACCGAAAAAUGAGUUAAAUGUAAUAUGAUUGUUAUAUUUAUGGAAAAAAUAUACACAGGUUAAUCCUAUUUGUUAAUUCAUAAGCAUUACAAAAAUCUACAACUAAAAGCAAUCAUAUCUUCCACGAUAAUUUACAAUGAUGUGACACCAUAACUCAAAGGUGAUGCAUUUAAUGUGACAUCAUAACUCAAAGAUCAUGCAUUUAAUGCGAUAUCCUAUCAUCACUAGAAAUAUAUGAUGUCACUUUCGAAUGCGUCACCAUUUAUCUACUUUGGUGUCACUUACAAAUACGUCACCAAUUGGUACCCUCUAUGGUGUCAGUGGAGAAGGUGACACUAUGUUGUAGUGACACCCUAUGUUUAUGGUGACUCGUUAUAAAUGUCACCAUAUAUUUUUUUUCUUGUAGUGCAAAUUACUUAUCUUACUAUGCAUUGGGCUUUGAUAUUAGCCAGAGACAGUAGUGGCUCCUAAUUUUUAUCCUUAACUGAAAUGAAAACGUCAAGCAGGUCCCCAACCUCUUUUUCUCCAUUCUUCCACUAUUAUACUAUUUGGUCCAUGAUUGGAUCAUGGUACUUGUUAAUGGUGUUCAUAGCCUCCCUUAUAGUCUUUUCAUGGCCAUCUAAAUUUAGCACUCUCUGCCAUGGGAAGUAAUCAGAUAAAGAGAAUACAUAUAGAUGAGCAAGUAUAGUAAAGAAGGAUUCAACAUGUUGCUCCACUUCAACUCCAGGGCCUCCAUCUUUCUUUCGUUGGCCAAAGUAUCUUGUGUUGAGGAUCAUCUUUCAGAUGACAUUCCCGUUGUAUUGACGGACUUUAUUUCUGUCACACCCCAAAUACUAGGCAACCCAGAACUUGACUCGUGGCCCUAGGUCAAAGGUUUGACCCUAAGAGUUACUCUUAUCCAUGUUGGCAAUCAAUCAAAACACCCUAGAUUUUUUUUCUUUUCAAUAAAGCGUUUAAUCCUAAAUAAAUUUAUUAAGCUAAGAUUUACUAUAACAUAUCAUUUUAUUUUUCCAAAACUAACCAUCACAUUAUCUCAUGUUCACAAGUAUUAAAAAAAUAAAAUUCCACCAAUCAUUUUCCUACCCAAAAGCUCAAAUAUUUACAAUAAACUCUAAGUCAAAAAGAAUAUUUCCAAAAUUUUUUUACAAACUAAUAAAAUAUAAUUUAACUUAAAAAAGUCCAUAUAACUCAAAUUAGUAGAUGUCAAAAAGGUAAUUAAAAAAAAACAACAACCAUUAUUAUAGUUUUUUUGCUUUUUAGAACACUUCAUGAUCUUCUUAUGGUCCCUUAGAAACUAUAUCUGCAUCUAAAAAUUUUAGAAAAAAAAGGGAUGCACAUUUCCACGUUACUCUUUAGACCUAAAUGGGUUAGAAAUUCUAGGUCAAUAAAACACAACCAUAUGCCAAAAUAUAAUAUUACAUUUACAUUAUACACACUAAAAGAAACCUCAACCAUACAAAUUUAAAUCAAUCAAAAUUAUCAUUCUCCUGAUUUAAUCAUAUGUUUAGCAUAUCAAUAAUUUUAAAUUUACAAAAUAAAUAAGUCACUUUAGUCUUGAAUAAUAUAUUCAAACAUACACUUGAUAAAUAAUACAAAUCAUUUUUCCAAAUGCAACCAUGAUACAAAUGCUUACACACAAUCACGCAAUGCAAUAUCGUUCUCGGGCUUUCACCGAAGGAUAUGCAUUUAUACCCAAAUAGACUCCCCAUUCGGAUUCUUCCUGGGAUAAAAUUUUGAGUCUUUCACCCUAAGGAUCUCACUCCCUUCUUAACUCACCAUCUCUAGGGUCUUUCAAUUUCUUAUUUUUCUUUUCUUUUCAUUUUUGCCAUUUUUUGGGUCUUUUCAUUCUCAUUUCCAUUUCACACAACCAUUUCUUUAAUUUUUCUUUUUCUUCACACAAUCAUGAUGCAUAUGAAAUGCAACUGAAUCAUAUUUUAACAUCCAUAAUUUUCCAAGACAUAAUUUUAUUUACUCCCAUUAUGUUUCAUAAUUUCCAAUAAUCCACACAACGAUUUUUCUUCACUUUAAUUGUCACAAACAUAAAAGAAAAUUCACAAUUAAUUUGUAUAGCAUCAAAACAUAGUUUUAAACAUUGACCACAUAAAUUCUAUUUAUUCCCGACAUGCUUAAUAAUUUCCAAAUCCAAUAUAACCAUUUUUUUUCAAUUAAAUAAUCACACAUAUCCAAGAAAAUUCUCGCUAAUACAAAUAUCAAUGAAAAUGUAAUUUAUGUCAUAAUUUAUUUGUCUCUAAUAAUUUCAAAAAUUUUGACACCCAUAUGAAAAAUUUCCACAAUUAAGCCACCCCAACAUUUGGGAAAAUUUUUCUAAUCAUUCAAAUAUCAACAAAAACCCAAUUUAUAUCAUCAUUUUUAUUUAUUUUUAAAAGCAUUAAUAAUUUUAAUAAUCAAUACAACACUUUUCCACAAUUAAGCCACCACAACAUUCUGGGAAAAUUUUCCAAUAAUUCAAAUAUUAACAAAACACAAUUAUACCUUAAUUUUUCUUAUCUCCAACAACAUCAAUAAUUCUUAGUACUCAAUACAACUAUUUUUAUUUUUUCAUAUUUAAUCUUCUCAAACAUUACCAAAAUUCCAAGAAAAAUCUAUAAAUCACGAAAUAAAAGUAUUCACAAUAAUAAUCACACUUCAAAUACUACAAAUAACAUCUAUUAUAUUUCAACAACACAAUAUAUAAAUUUUUUUGAAAGAAAAUAUUAAAUCAAAGUUUUAGGGUUAAAUCACCCUACCUUAAAUUUGAAAAAUUUAACCAUUAAAACUAAAACGGGACACCGUAGGAGUAUUCCUCGCAUUGAAUAGAAUAUCCUUCCAAAAUUUCAUGCGAAAUGGACGUCAUUUGGUAGGUCCAUCAACAUCCUAAAGCUAGCGACCCAUUUUUCCCACUCUUUGCCGACGACUCCCCUACAUCUCUCACUCGAUUUCCUUUCUUCAUUUUCUUUUCUUCUUCUUCUUUUAAACUCCCACGCCAAUUUCACUUUAUAUAUAUAUAUGUAUAUAUAUAUAUAUAUAUAUAUAUAUAUAUAUAUAUAUAUAUAUAUAUAUAUAUAUAUAUAUAUAUAUAUAUAUAUAUAUAUAUAUGUAUGUAUGUAUUAUUAAAACAAAUCCUAAAAUACCACGCACAUCCAUUUCUCAAUAAAUUAAAACCAUUAUUCUUAAAUUCACCUUCCAUAAUUAUGAAUUAUACCAAACUUAUGAUUUUCCAUUUCACGAAAAAUACCACUGUAUUCGUAAUUUAAUUUACUACAAGUCUACUCUUCAAAAAGUAUAAUUUGAUUAUAAUUACAUGAAACAUUGUUUUUUUACUCUAAAAUUCAUUCAAAACAUGAUAUAAUUAACUAUUAACAAAAUUCAAUUCCAUAAAAUAUGAAAAACAUAAAAUAAUUUUUUGGCAAUCAAGAAGUUGAAAUUUGUAAUAACCCUUAACCUGUUAAUUUUACCUAUAUUUAUUUACCAACAAAAAUUUAAAUAAUAUUCUAAAAUUUAAUUCCAUAAAUUAAUUAGUCAUUAAAUUUAUAAAAAUCAAAUUCUCUACCCUUUGGUAUAACUUUCAUUUAAUUUACUUCAUUUUUCAAAUUAUUCAAUCGCAUCAAAAUUUCAAAAGUUAAAUUCACUAAAUUCACAUUUAAUUAAUUUAUCCUUUUCUAUUUUUUUUUUCUAAAUUCGCAUAUCAUAAUUUAAUCUUAAUUUAAUUUUGAUUCAAUUUUGUUUUAUGUUUUCUAAUUUUAUGAGGUUUAAUUUCAAUUAUAAAAAUUAAAUUAAAUUUCUUUUUAAUUAUCCAUUAUCACAAUUUGAUAUAAUAUAAUUUUUUAUCAAGUUUUUCUUACUACGAUUUUUCUUAUAAUUAUCCAAUAAUAAUUAAAUUAAUUCUCGUAACAUAUUUAAUAUUCAAAUUUUAAAAACUUAAUCUCAAUUAUUGGAUGGUUAAUUUUUUUCUCAAAAUCUAAAUUUAAUUUAUGAAAUUCUCACUUCUUACAUCUGACGUGGCAAAAUUUUCAAACUAUUGACUUUUGACCAACUUUUCCUAAAUUUAUCCUAAUUAAAUACUAACACAUGGAUUUUCACCACUCUUUUUGACCUUUUGACCCACAAAUUUAUGAAAGACUUUAUGCUUGGAGAAUCUACAAAAACCUGGGUAUUACAAUUUCUCAGGUUGAUAACUGUCGUGGUUACGAAGCCACCACUUGAAUACUCAAUUGCCAUUGUAAUGGGCCUGGAUGCAAAUAGUACAUCAUGUUUCUUCAAAAGUUCUCUGCUAAUCUCUGGGAAAGUCGUAGGGACGAGAUGAAAUAUUUCCCAAUUGAAUACAUGCAAUUUCAGUGUUCAUUUCUUUCAUAAAGCCAAUGUAUCCACCAGAAAGUUGGCUUUUUGUUGAGUAAAUGAGGUAGAUAUUGCACUAGUGGCCCUGGAGCUAAUCCUGGAGGAAGUUGUAUCGGUUUGCUUUUGGUACUUGUUUUGGAUUUUAAUUUAGUGAAGAUGAGAAAGAUUAAUGUGAUAAAAAGCAGUAAGAGGAAGUUGAGAUGAGACAACACAUCGUCUGUGGUAGUAGAAGAAAACAAGGUUGAGUUACUGCUAUUACUCCCUGCAACAAAACCAUUUACAUGUCUUUUAUAGCAAAACCAUGUUUGUCCUAUCUUGGGUCUGGAUGCACAUUUUUAAUAUUGGGGAAAUCAUGCAACCAAAUGUCACACACAAAGAGAGAGAAAAAAAUACGUUUUUUAGAACUUGGAAAGGUAAAGUGGGACAAAAAAUAUUAUCCAUUCUUGAACUCUAAAAGUAAAGUUAUAAAAAGCUUAGUUUUUUUUUUUUUUUGUUAUGUAUGAUUGCAUGAUUUCCCCCUUUUAAGAUUUUAUCUCAUAAAAUUUUUUUCUAGAAAGUUCAAAUAAGUUUGAUGAAUAUUGUUUAUUUUAGUAAUUUUAAUUUUAUGGGGUACUUAAAACAUUAGAAGUUCACAAAAAGCAACAUUUAUCAGCUACCUAUCUAAAAAGCUUGGCCUAAUCAUUGAAAUCCAAAAUAUAAAGUGACAACACACUUUUUAAAGCAAUUUUCAAAAUAGUUUUUAAAAACACAUUUAUUUAUGAUAUUUUUAAAAUAAAAAUCUCAAAAAUAACUUGUUUAUAUAGCGUUUUAUUAGACAAAUACUUGAUCUUUAUAAGAUCACCCUAAUUAUAGAUUUAUGAACAUGUAACACAACAAUUAUCUAUAUAUAUACUUAGAAUUAUUAUAUUUUAAGUUUUUAACUACAUAGGACAUCAUGAGUUUUUCCACCAUUUAUCUUAUAAUAAGUUUAUUUAAAUAUGAUAAAGGAUAUAUUAUCUCAUUUCUUAUUAUAUCCGAUGCUAUAUAUAUAUAUAUAUAUGUAUGUAACAAAUCAAAUACAAUUUAAAGAUUUUAAUUAACCAUCUAUUAGCAACAAAGCAAUCUCUUAAUCUCAUUCAUAAUAUUAGGAUAAUUUAGUAUUUCCUUUUAUAAAACACUAGCAUAUAAAUCAACACAAAUCAUAUUAAGGGUGUAUUUGGUGUUGAUUUUAGGAAGCAUUUUUAGUAUUUCUAAUACUUGAAAGAUAAAAAUUUUCAAGUUUUAGAAAGAUCAAAAGCGCUUUUUAGAAUGACUAUCAAAUACAUGCUAAAUAUUACUUUUGGAUACUUAUAUUUUUAAAUAACUCUUAAAACUUUUAAGGCAAGUCUCUACUAUUUAUAUAAAUCCCCUAUUAUUUUUAAUUUUUAGAAACAAAAAAUAAAGAAUAGAAACUCCAUUUAAACAUCACCUUAUUAUUUCCUAUUAUAAAAUAACACAAAUCAAAUGAAUUAUUUAAAAAUAAAUAAAUAAAAAAUCAAAGUUGAAGAGAAAAAACUCUUGUGCAUUAAAAAAACAUCAAAAUAAAUAAAUAAAUAAAACAUCAUCAAAUAAAUGUAAAAAUAAAUUAAUGUUAUGGAAAAAUGAGAAUAGGCAACAAGAAAAUAAGAACACAGAUUUACAUGAAAAAUGCUAGACGGGAAAAACCAUGGAUAGAGGAGAAGAAAAUCCACUAUAUUAAAAAUUUGGUAUAAAAUGUGAGAGAAUCAAGCGAGUAUUGUAUAGGCAUAAUCACUAUGACCCUAAAUCCUAUACAUCAUUGCAUAUGUAUGGUGUAUGCGAUAAUAAAAAUAUUGUCACAUAAAAUAACUAUGGGAUGUAAUAUUUGUAAUAAUAUUUUUUACAAAAAAAUAUUUUUUCUUUGCUUUAUUCACUUUGAUCACAACUUGAAAUAAGACAAUAAAAAUAUUUUCUUAAUUUUUGAAAAUUAAUUGAGGACUUAGAGCUACUUGUUACUGAGUGAAUUUGCUGAAUGGUGAAGAAUGCGUGUAUAGUAGUUUUGCAAUUUUUCAAACUUAUAGACAUAUUUUGUGAAGUCUUUUUCUCUUUGUAAAGCCCCAUUUUCUAUGUGAAGUUAUUUUUUCAAUAUUCUCUUUGGAAGGAAUUUACCAUUAGUUAUAUAGGUAAGAUUAAGGAAUUAAAUUUGGAAUUCUUAACAUUUGAUUGCUUAAUUCAAAGAAUUUGGUUCAAGGGAAAUUUGCCAACAAAAUAAUAUUUAUUUUUAAUUCUAUGAUGACUUUAAUUAUUUGAUAUAAUUUUAUUUUGAAAGACUUGAUGUGGGGGACUCAUCACUUAUUGAGUCCAAAUUUUGUUGCACCCAAAUUUUUAUGAGCUAAGAAACCAUAAUUUUAAAGACCAAUUCAGUGGUAAGUGAAUCUGCUAAAAUCUUCUAUGUACAAAUGACCUCACUUCAAGGUGCAACACAUACAUGUAUUAUUAUGUGUAUGGGAUGAGUCUUGAAGUUAGUCUUCAUUCUUCUUUGAUUUUUUUCUUCAAAUAAAUAAAUAAAACAUCAUCAAAUAAAUGUAAAAAUAAAAUAUGUAUCGGUUAAUUGGAGAGGAGAGCUUUAAGGGCAUUUCUUCUAUGAAAUUCUAUGCUCCACGUACCAUAAAUUUGUACUCAACCAACAAAAUUACAGAAUGGGUCCAUGCACAAACAAAAUAACCCAAAUGUAAAUAUCUAAAAAUGUAUAAAGUUCACAAUAGAUAUUCAAGCCCAAAUUUAAAUUUCAAAUUAGUCCAACAGAUUUCAUCAAUCAAAAUGGGUCCAAAUUAGCAAAUAUAACCCAACAAAAAUAUCUCAUAUGUCAUAGGCCCUAAUUUAAAAUUUUCAAAUUAAUAGCCAAAAUAUAAGUUCAAUUAAUCAAACCCAAAACAUGAUAAAUUAAAAUAAAUCUCAUUAGGCCUAAACUUAAUAUCCUAUAAUUCAAGCCUAAUUUAAUAUAUAAACCUAAAUCCACAAUCAAAAUCAACCCAAUUUAUGCUAAUCCCGAUUUACAAUCAAAAUCAAACAUAAUUUAAUAAGUAAAUAACUAAAUAAAUUAAGCAAACUCAAAACACCCAAACCACUACAACAUAAAUCAAACAAUAAUAAAUAUAAUGACAAUAAUAAUAAUAAAAAAUAAAAUAAAAUAAAAUAAAAUAAAAAUAAAAAAUUUAACUCAUGUCGGAGCCAGUUUGAAUGUCUUGGGAAAGAAAGAAAAUGAGAGAAAAGUGAGAGAUGAUUGACAACUGACAGUGGCUCAUUGGCGGCGACUGGCUAGUGGUCCUACCGAUGGUAGUGAGGAUUGAUUGGUUUUUGGGAAAAAAAAUAAAAUGAAGAAAAGAAAAUGAGGAGUAAUAAAAAAAAUGGAGAAAUGAGAGGAAGGUGGGAGAAGAAUGGAGAGAGAGAACGUAGAAAAUGAGUGAAAAGAAAUGAGGCUAGUUGGAGGAGGAAGUGAUAGUGUGUGAGCUAAAGUGAAGAAGAAUAGAAGAAGAAAAUGGAGAAGAAUGGGGAAAAAAAAAUCCGCCUCCCUAAAUGAAGAGAGGUGGGUAGCCUAAAGAAGAAGAAAAAAUAAAAUAAAAUAAAAUGGGGAGAAAAUGAGAGGGGGUCAGUGGUCUUGCGAAUGAGGUGGUAUGCGUUAGAGAGAGAGAGUGGGUGGGGUUGUUGGGGAAGGUAUGAGAGAGAGAGGAGAGAGAAAAGAAAAAAGAUAAUAUAAAAUAAUAAUAAUAAUAAUAAUAAUAAUAAUAAUAAUAAUAAUAAUAAAAUAAUAUACAAAAUAAUAAAAACUAAUAAUUAAAUAGUGAGUGGGCAAAAAAUAUCAUAUGAAAUCGGGAUUUAAUUUUAAGAGUAAAAUUGGGUUAAAAAUUAAUGUAAAAUAAAAUUGGGACAAAUUUUGGGGUAUACAAUAAUGCGCGCCUCUUCGAUAGAGUCCACGACUAAAGCAAGUGUAUAUGUGAGCAAAACAAAGUGGGCUCUACUGAAAAACAAGAAAGACCACCAAAUUUGUCUUAAUAUGACAUGAACUCUCCCAAAAAAAAAAAAAAAAAAAAAAAUCUAAAACCCUACAAAAAUGGCUAAAACGGAAAUUCCUAAGGUGCCUCUAAAGUUAUACUAUGGAUCUAGACUCCCUUAGAAAAGCCUCCAAAAAUGGCCCAAAAAUCGGUGUCAAAAUCGAGUAGCAAUCAGACCACUAAGGAGCACAUGAACGAAUGCAUACAAAGGGAAAAAAAACCAUACGUGUACCAUACGAUGACAAAAGGCAUAAGGUAUCCAACAAUAUGACUGAUUCACGUGUUACGAGCUCAAAAAACUUUGUCAUGCACCAUGGAGGAAGGGAAACUCUAGAAUAAUGUGAUGAGGAAGUUAUUAGCACAAUGUAACAGAGUGAGGAAAAAAGUGAUGAGUGCAAAGCUGUGAGGACAAGGUGCACAAUGCUAAUGAAUAUGAAAUGAAUAGCACUAGGCUACAAUGCAAUCAAUAGCUCAGGGUUGUACCAUAAUGAACAAGUCAAGGAUGUGUAAAGAUGAGGAACAACUCAAGGUUGUAAUGCAAUGAACAACUUAGGGCUGUGAAUGCAAUGAACAACUCAGCGCAAUGAAUGAAAUGAAUAGCUCAGGGCUGUGAAUGCAAUGAACAACUCGAGGUUGUGGAUGUAAUGAACAACUCAGGGUUGUGGAUGUCAUGAACAACUCAAGAAUAGGGGCACUGUACACCCAAAAUGGGAGAUCACGGCCUACGAUUCCAAGUCAAACCACUAAAGGGUGACCAAAAUGAGGGUGAUCAACUCACUAAAAAAGAUGAUAAAAAUGUCUUAAGGGAGAGGAGAUGCCCCAUAUGAAACUUAAAGGAAAUGAGUAGUGCUAAUGAAACUAAAAAAAGAAAAAAUGUCACAACUGAAAUUGAAAAAAUAGCAAACUUAGAUUAAAGUGCAAUGAACAACUUUGGGCUGUGGAUGCGAUGAAUAGUACCGUGUUGUAAUGAAAUGAAUAACUCUAAGAUAUGGGCAUUGUACGCCUAAAGAGGGAGAUCGUGGUUUACGACUCCAAGUCAAACCACUAAAGGACAACUAAAAUAAGAUGAUCAACUUACUAUAAAUGAGAAUGCAACUAUCUCGAGAAAAAGGGUAUGCCCCAAAUGACACUCAACAGUAAAAGAAUGACACAAAUGAAACUAAAACAAGAGGAUGCCACAAAUGAAAUUGAAAUGAUAACAGACUCAGUACUAAUGUGUAAUGAACAACUUUGGACUAUGGAUGCAAUGAAUAGCACUGGGUUGUAAUGAAAUGAACAACUCUAAGAUGUGGGCACUAUACCCCUAAGAAAUGAGAUCAUAGUUUACGACUCUAAGUCAAACCGCUAAAGGGCGACUAGAAUAGGAUAAUCAACUCACUAAAAAUGAGGAUGCAACUAUCUCGAGAAAGGGGGUAUGCCCUAAAUGACACUCAACAGUAUAAGAAUGACAUAAAUGAAACUAAAAUAAGAGGAUGCCACAAAUAAAACUAAAAUGAUAACAAAUUCAAAACUAAUGUGCAAUGAAUAACUCUAGGUUGUGGAUGUAAUGAACAACACUGGGCUGUAAUGAAAUGAACAACUCUAAGAUGUGGGCACUAUACGCCUAAAGAGGGAAAUCACGGUCAACGACUCCAAGUCAAACCACUAAAGGGCGAUUAGAAUAGGAUGAUCAACUCACUAAAAAUGAGAAUGCAACUAUCUCGAGAAAAGCGGGAUGCCCUAAAUGACACUCAAUAGUUAAAGAAUGACACAAAUGAAACUAAAAUGAAAUGAUACUACAAAUGAAACUGAAAUGAUAACAAACUGAUAACUAAAGUGCAAUGAACAACUCUAGGCCGUGGAUGUAAUGGACAGCUCAAGAAUAGGGGAACUGUUCGCCCAAAAUGGGAGAUCGUGGUCUACGACUCUAAGUCAAACCACUAAAGGGUGGCUAAAAUCAAAAUGAUCAACUCACUAAAAAUAAGGAUCUGAACAUCUCAAGAAAGGGGUUAUGCCCCAAAUGAAACUGACAAUAGAGGGAUGCCCUAAACAGACUGAAGAAAGGAGGAUGCCCUAAACAAACUAACGAAAAAUGGAUGCCCUAAACAAACUGAAGGAAGUGAAAUGCCCUAAAUAAACUGACCAAAGAAGAAUGCACUAAACAAACUCCGAGAAAAAAAAAAAGAAGUAUGCGAUAUAGAAUAAAAAACACCUAAAGCAAAAACAAGAAACAAAGAAUGUGGUUUACAACUAGAAACACCCAAAAGAACCUUAAAGAAGUGACUGGGAUAAUGAACUUAAUGAAAAUAGGGUAUGCCACAAUAAAAGACUCGGAAGUAUCAGCAAAUGGGUCAAAUGACCAUGAAAUCAAUAGGAGAUAUGAUGAACCCAAAAAGGGCGUAUGCCCCAACAAAAGAACACUAAAAGGGGGGUAUGCCCCGAUAUGACGACUCACAAUAAUUAAGAAAUGGAUCGAGUAAUGAGAAAAUCUGCAAAAUAUCUUAUGAACUCAAAGAUGGGGGUAUGCCCCAGUGUAAAAUAGUGACCAACAUAAGACACAGAAUGUCACCAUACAAUACACUCUGGGAUAUGCUCAAUGACAAUGUAAUGAAAACAAUAGCCUCAAUCAACAAAUGUUCAAGCAAGACCAUGCAUCACAUAAACUAAAAUAAUAGGCUAAAGAAAUGCUAACCAAGUUUCUCAAUCUGAAAUGUAAGCAAGUCAAGACAUGACAUGUCAACCAUCGACAUGAAAACAUCAUCACAAAUACAUCAACAAACUAAUAGUCCCUACUAUCAUGGAAAAUGUAGAACCUAACGUCCAAAGGCAUGUGAAAACUCAACCAGAAAGCUCAAGACUAGUUUGCAUCCUCCUCUAAUAAAAAGAAUGAGAUAAGGUCAUGUAGGAUGAUGAAAUAGGCAAGCUCAAUAUUCGUUAGGCUCUACCAAGAUGGAUGUAGGUAUAAUAGUGUCAAAGGUAGGAUGUCUAGAUGUCCAACGAAGGAAACUGGGUAUCCAAGUCAAACCAAGUAUGUUGAGGAAACUGAACCCAUAGGAUAAUAACUUUAUGAUCCAUUGAAAAUAGCAAUCAUGAAUAGAAGGUCGAGUCUCGAUGUCAAAAUCAACAAGGUGGCAUUGCCCCAGUAUGAAUACAUCUUCUCAAAAUGGGUAAACCCUCAGUGCAAGAUAAUCUCUAGAAAGUAUGUGUCUAAUAUAAACUGUCAUCUCACAAAAUCUAUCACUGAUCAGUGGGCUAUACCCCAGUGUAAGCAUUUCCAAAUCAAACAUCGAUGAGAGGAGUACAACCAAUCAUACACAAUAUGAUCAAAACAAAUCUCCACUCCUCAAAGUCAUCAUGGUAAUGUGAAGAGAGUAUCUAACCUCAUUUAAAGAAAGAUCAUGUCCCAAUGUGAAAAAUAUCAAGCAAAGUGGUAUGUCUCAACAAAAAUGCACUCUAACAUGAUCAUGCCUAGAUGUAAGAUGGUAUCUUUAAGAUUAAUCACCAAUGAAAGGGUUAUGCCCCAGUAUAGGGCAAUCUCUUAAACGACUAAAAUCCACUACAAGCUCUCACAAGUGUCUAUGUCAUGAACCAAUCAUCUCAAAAAAUAAAUAAAUAAAUAAAUAAAUCUAUCAACAAUGAUGAGAAGGUUAUGCUCGUAUAAUCACAUCAAGAAAAUCACCCGGUCAUAUCUUGUAUUCCAAUGUGAAAGGAAAAUAUGAUCACCUCCAAAGAAUGGCUAUGCCCCAAAAUACAUCAUCGAUUGAGAAAUAUGCCCCUACGUAAAGUACAUCAACUGAAAUAUGCCAAUCAUGCCUCAUGCUCCAAUGUGAAAAAUGACGUAUAAUCUUCUUUGAGGGAUGGUCAUGACUCAAAAUCCAUCAUCAGUUGAGAGAAGUAUGCCCCGACAUAAUGGUCAUCUAAAAAAUCAAUCCCCGACUAAGAAAUGUGUGCCUUGAUGUGAUGUAUCAAGCAAAAUGGCUGCAUACCCCAUAAAAAACUCUCUAAGGUGGCUAUGCUCCAAUGUUGGAUCAUACCACAACUCCUGGUCGAUCACAAUCAAAAUGCUCUCCAACCAAUCCCAAGUAUCGCCCACAUGAGAGCUAUCAAACACAAUGUGUGAUGUCAUGGCCUCAAGGUGGUCUUAAGAUUCGGGACGUAACGUAGGCUAGGGUAAUAAGGUGAAGAAAUGAAGGAAAACUAGGCUUAAUAAUCCUAAUGAUAAAACCCCAUACCCUUAUGUAUAAAAUGCAAUAUGUGCAAAGAGUCUCAUAAACCAUGGAUCUAAGGACACCCAAUAUGAAUAUAUCAGUGAGGAAGAAAGAAUCUAAGAUGAAUAUAUCAAUGAUAAAAGAGAAGAAAUGAAGAAUAUCAAACUGUUGAUGGGAUGUAUAAGAAUGAUGUGUGGAAAAUAUUGAACAUGGAAUGUAAAUUGAUAUGAACAAAGAACAAUGUAGGCAAGGCAAAUGCGAUAUCAUGAUAAGAACAAAUAAAUCGAAGAAAAAUGAAUGAACACUAAUCCACUCAAAUCAAGUCAUGGAGAAUAGUCAAAUCACCAACGUAUGUAAUGAUGGAGAAGACAAUGAUUCGAAGUCCCUAGGAAAAUGUCACUUGUUUGUCACACAUAAAAUACAUAACAAGAUAGACACAAAAAUAUGAGAGUCUUUUGAAAGUUCACGUACGAACUUUCAUAAGCAACUAACUCAAUAAAGCAACCUCAAUGACCAAUAUAUACACUCAAUAAAGGAUGACACUGUAUACAUGUGUUUAUUACUUUUUCUUUUUCAUUUUUUUCAUUUUUUUUUUCAUUUUUUUUCUUUUACUCACGCAUACUCUGAAUAUCAAUAAAUGAACUUCUCUAAGAAUACAUAAUGAAAUGGAUAUACUCUCAAACAAUGAUGUAAGCGAACUCUCUCUGACAAGAUGACCCUCUAAAUUAAGGAUUUUCGAACUAACGUCCAUGAGAUAGGAGUGGAAGGGGAUAUGACCAUCCUCCUUGCAUCGAAAUGUGAAAAAUCAUCACUCAGGGCACAAAAAAAUGUGAUGAAAAAAAAUAAAAAAUGAAACAAAAGAUAUAAACAAUGGAGUAUGAUGAAGACUGAUGUUGGGAAGACAAAAAAAUAGUGAAGAAGGUGAGCCAAUAAGUCCACAACUCAUGAAACUCUCGAAUAAAAUAUAUAUACACCAAAAGACCCUUAUCCCAGUAUAAAAUGUGAGCAAGGAUAUAAGAAAGAAAAGACUAUGGUGCUCAUGUGAGGUUCAAAGGGCUAGCAACGGUCCAAAUGUCAAUAAAGGUAAUAGGGUGUGAGCUAACCAAAAUGAAGGCCACCUAUGAUGGUCUGAAACAUCAUGCUCUUAAGCUUUCAAUGAUCAAUACUGAAAAUCGAUGUCCAUUUGAUAUAAACACGUCAACCCUUUGGAAUUGUGCGCCAAACCAUACUCCAAAUGCUCCAUAAUAAUCUCAAAGAUAAUCCUCUCAAAGCACAAUAAAUAGCGAUCUCAUAAGGCACAACUACUCAUCACAAGCCAACUCUCAUCAUGCAAGAUCAAUCUCUAUUUUCAUGGAAAAAUAAGUGACAAUCUCAUCAGGCAAUUGACGAAUCCUCACAUCGUAAACCAACCAAAGAUCAUAAGUCAUUCAUUGCCAUGCAAGAUCAAUCCCAAGCUCAAACUCCUCAUACUCUACCUGGUUGGAUUAGAGAAGAAAUGGGCAAAGCUAGAAAAACUGAAGAUGGAAAGGUCAUAUAAUGGUGUCAAGGGUGAUGUUGUGCAAAACUCACAAUGGAUGGAUGUAGGUCAAAGCAAAGUCAAUGUGUGAGAGUGAGUAAGACACCACUCUGAUCAUAAGAAGAUGAGUCACAAUCUCAAACUCCUAAGGUCAAAUCUCCGAUCCUAGGCUAAUAAGCUCAACAUCCUCCAUGAUAGGUCAACCCCCAAGAUCACAAUGUGCAAAUGAAUAGAUGCCUCAAGUCAAAAGUACAACACAUCAUAUGAUAUAUGGUCCUACGAUGACAAUCUAAAACUGGAAAUAUGUUACAAACUCUAAGGUCAUAAAGGUGUCCACUGUGAGAUGACUACAAAUGUGACUAAGGAAUCUUUAUCAAUAAUCCAAAAAAUGAAUGAGGUGUGAAAAACAACACUAUCAUGAGAUCGAUACCCCAUCAAUAACAAAAUAUCUCUAAUUCACUUUCAAUCUAAGCUCUAUAAAGAAAAACGAUAAGGUUAUAAAGGCAAACCUCUCAAAAAUGGUGUGAAUGUGAAAACAUGUCUUCACCUUUCUAUAAUGAAAAUAUCAUGUUGAAAAUAGAAAUAGGCAAAUCGACCAAAGAAUGAAGUACGGAGCCCAUGACAAGUGAAGAAUGUAAAAAGGUGAACAUGAUCAAUGAACAUAUCCCAAAACAUCAAGCAUAAAGUGGCAACAAACCGAAAGAAUGUGUCAACUUAAGAAAAGAAGACUAUCUGAAGCCCUAGGGAGAAAGUGUGCUAGACUCAAGGAGCGACAAGAAGAAACUAAAACCAUAUAGCAAGGGGUGGUCCAACUGAUACUCAAACUCGUACCAAUAUCUAAGCACUCUCGACUGGAGACCAAAAGAUGGAGUAUUGGAUCCAUAUUGUGACUAAAGUGGCCUCGAAGGCUCUAAGAUGCACCCACGUGUAGGAAAGGAAAUCCUAAUAAAAAUAUCUAAGGCUUAACCUACAAGGUCAAGGCGGCUAUAAAAAGAAAAAUUGAGUGGACUUUAAAGGAUCCCUAGCAAAAGCGAUCAUACCCUCCAAUGGUACGCAACCUCCUACACGUCUUGAAAUAUAUGGGAGUAAUUCCAUGCAAGGUGGUCAUCACCUCCACACAUGCACUAGCUCAUAUCCUAGAGGGUUUCCUAAUGAUGAAGACUCUUACAUCUCUCAACACUUAGUGGUAAUCUAAGGUGCACAGUGAACGGUGUGGGUUCAUCCAAAAAUCAUAUCAAGCUAAACAAAGAGAAAACACAUUGGUCACACAAAUAUCCUGAAAUCUAGCUCUAACCUAUACAAGUCUUCAAAGAUUGGACUCCAAUUAGCAUUAAUGUUUCGACCUUCUCCAGAAUGCUCCCAAACAUAGAUAUAGUCCAUCACUAAACCCUACUCCGAAUCACUAGCUCGGUCGAAGAGCAAACAAAGUAAUAAGUCUCAUAUCAAAUACGAGAUCAAGGGGAACACGGUCACCCGAGACUAGGGAAUUGAAGGUAAGGAGAUAGGUGUGUGUCCCACAUAGAAAAUCAACAUGCAUUACACAGAAGAAGAAUAGUCAUGCAAUAGACAACCAAGCAAAGAACAGGUAUAUCAUUCAUAUCUACACACAAGCUAAACAAGAAAUAGGUAUUUAACAAGAAUAAACAAUAUGUUGAGAUAAACAAGAUAAUAUACAAUAAAGAGAAUCAAUCACACCAAUAUGAAUGAGAUAUACAAAAAUGAGAAUAUACAUGUCAAGGAGAGCAAGAUAAUCAUACAACAAGAAGAGUCUUAUGUUAAAGCAAGCAAGAGAAUCAAUCGAUGUAGUCAACAUGUCAAUAUCGCAAAUGAACAUAACAACCAAAUAUGCAUCAUAAAGAAAAAAUGGUAAUCAUGCAGCACGUAGUCAUACAAAACAAAUAUAGACAAACAUAAGCAAAUAAAUGUAAACACACAUGAUAACAAAAAUCAAUGUAUAGUAAGGCACAUGCAAUAUAUACAUAAAAUAAUCAUCAAGUCAACACUCAUAUACCUUAAAACAUGAAAAUAUACAAUAAAGACACAAUGAGAGGGUAUUCACUGAUCGAUUAAUCAAACGCUACAUUUCCUUUAACUCGAGUUCAAGUUUGAUCCUUUAAAUAUCCCUAGUGGAGUCGCUAUUUUGUGGACCCACAUUUUUCAAAUGCGUCCUUACACAACAGCGAGACUCAUUUUUUUUAUUUGGUGAAAAUUUGAUUUUUAGAAAAAAGACUUUGAGUCGUCACUUAUUUUUGUUUUUUUUUAAGGGAAAACAAAACAAGAAAGAAAACCUUGUGUAACUCCUUAUUUGGGAAAGACAUGUAUGCAAAAACCAAAUCUGGUUUCGGGGGUCAAGUUACCUAUUGGGAAUGUACGAUGGUGAGCUGUAGCACCUCUCUAAGCUCAUAUACGUACAGUCUCUACUAAACGAAUUAAGAGAGUUGUAGUAAUUAAUUAAUUAGUCAAGGAUACCAAGAAAAAGAAUCGCACAAAUGAGUACGUACAAAUCAUGAUAAAAAAAAUCAAAUUAUAAGAAUAGACAAAAUAAAUAACAAGAGAAUUGUGCAAAGUGAUUUAUUAAACUAAAUAAAAAAGAAGAUAUUAAAAAAAUUAGUUUUCAAGAAAUUUCAAAGGAUUUUAUUAAAAUGAUUUUGAAUUAAUGAUUUUAAUUUAUUUAUUUACAAAAAAAAAAGUCAAUUUAUUUUCUUCAAGUGAUUUGAUUCAAUUUUUUUUAAAAAAAAAAGUUAUUUACACUCAUGGUUGUUAAAAGAAUUAUUAACAAAAUUUCAAGUUGACAAUAAAAAUGAUUUUUACUUGCUUUUACUCGAAAACAAUGAAUUUUUACAAUUUUAUUAACAAAAGCAUUUCAAUUUAAGAAAAGUGACUUAAACAAAUUAUUAAAAAAAUAUAACUUUAUCUACAAAAGAAUUUUUAAUUAAAAAGAAAAAAUUUAAAUCAUCUAUUUCUAAAAAUGACUUUUAAUCCCAUUUUAAUUAAGGAAAAUUGAGUUAUUUAAAAAAACAUUUUUUGGACAAUUUGAAUAAAAAUUAAUUUUUGGGACAACUUAUUUACAAAACAAUUUUUGGACAAUUAUUAUUAAAAACAAAAUUUCAAAUUCGAUUAAAAACAAUUUUUUGGAUUUUUCCAAACACAUUUUUAUGAAUUUUUAUUAAUAAAAAACUUUUUUUUAUUAAGAAGAAUAUUUUUUGAGCUAUUAUUUUAUUAAAACAUGUUUAUUGAAUUAUUCUUCUUAUUCAAACAAAAUUUUUAAUUUGUUCGAUAUCCAAUUCUGUACACAACAAGUAAAUAUAUACAAACAAAUAUUUAUAGAAAGCAAUAAAAAUAAAACCAAAUAGAAGUGAGAAAUAAAACAUGUACUUAAACAUGCUUACAACAAGCUCAAUGUCUUCUUACGAUUUUUCGAGUCUCACUUUCUUUCAUUAAAUUUUAUGCUCCACGUACCAUAAAUCCGUACUCAACCAAAAAAAUUGCAGAAUUGGCCCAUGCAAAAACAAAAAUAACACAAAUGUAAAUAUCUAAAAAUGUAUAAAGUUCACAAUAGAUAUUCAAGCCCAAAUUCAAAUUUCAAAUUAGUCCAACAAAUUUCGUCAAUCAAAAUAGGUCUAAAUUAGCAAAUAUAGCCCAACAAAAACAUUUCACAUGUCAUAGGCCUUAAUAUAAAAUUUCCAAGUUAAUAACCAAAAUAUAAGUUCAAUUAAUCAGACCCAAAACAUGAUACAUUAAAAUAAAUCUCAUUAGGCAUAAACUUAAUAUCUCAUAAUUCAAGCCUAAUUUAAUAUAUAAACCUAAAUCCACAAUCAAAAUCAACUCACUUUAUGCUAAUCCCAAUUUACAAUCAAAAUCAAACAUAAUUUAAUAAGUAAAUAACUAAAUAAAUUAAGCAAAAUCAAAACUCUCAAACCACUAUUGCACAAUAUCAAACAAUAAUAAAUAUAAUGACAACAACAAUAAUAAUAAAAUAAAAUAAAAAAAUUUAACUCACGUUGGAGCCAGUUUGAGUGUCGUGGGAAAGAAAGAAAAUGAGAGAAAAGUGGGAGAUGAUCGUUAGCUGGUAGUAGCUCGCCCGCGGCGACUGGUCGAUAGUCCUGCUGGCGGUAGUGAGGAUUGAUGAAUUUUUGGGAAAGGAAAAAAAAAGAGGAGUAAUAAAAAAAUGGAGAAAUGAGAGGAAGGUGGGAUAAGAGGGGAGAGAGAGAAUGAAGAAAAUAGGGGAAAAGAAAUGAGGCCGGCCGGAGGAGGAAGUGGUAGUGUGUGUGAGCUAAAGUGAAGAAGAAUGAAAGAAGAAGAAGGAGAAAAAUGGGAAAGAAGGGGAAAAAAAAUUCGAGCCCUCUAAAUGAAGAAAGGUGAGUAGCUUAAAGAAGAAAAUAAAAUAAAAUAAAAAAAGAAAAAAUGAGGAGAAAAUGAGAGGGCCAGUAGUCUUGGGAAUGGGGUGGUAUAGGUGAGAGAGAGUGGGCGAGGUUGUUGGGGAAGGUAUGGGAGAGAGAGGAGAGAUGAAAGAAAGAGAAAAAAAAAACAUAAUAAUAAUAAUAAUAAUAAUAAUCAUAAAUAAUAUAUAAAAUAAUAAAAAUUAAUAUUUAAAUGAUGAGUGUGUCAAAAAUAUUAUAUGUAAUUGGGAUUUAAUUUUAAGAGUAAAAUUGGACUAAAAAUUAAUGUAAAAAUAAAAUUUGAACAAAUUUUAAAAUCUACAAAUACAUUCUUUAAUCUUUCCACAACAUCAAUCUGAUCUAAAUGAAAUGCAAUAAAUUCUAAAAAUGAUACAAUCUUUAAUCAAUCCACAAUAUCAACCCGAUCAAAACUCAAUGCAAUAUUGCUUAAUGGAGAGAAUCGUAAAAUCCUUUUAUGAGAGGAAAACAAAACCCUUAACAGACCUUUAUGAGAGGAAAAUAGGAAAACAUAGAACUAAAAACCCUUAACGUAUUCAUGAGAAUAAAAAAAAUCCUUAACACCUUAAUAAGAGGAAAACAAAGAAUUUGAACAAUCCUUAAUCCAUCAAAAGCUCUUAAUAUGAACGAGGGGAAAACAUAACCUUUAUUUUUCAUAUCGCUGAAUACAGAAUCUAAAGAGAUAGAAUUUUUAGUUAUUAAGGAUUUUUUAUAGAUGUCUAUUGAAAGUUUAAGAACUUUUAUGGAUAAUUGUUAAUUAAGAGACUGAAAGGGUACUUAGGAUUUUCAACUAAAAAAGUUAUAACAAUAUGAAUAGUAAGAACUUAAAAACAUCACCCAUCCAUCAUAGGAAUAUGGAAUGAGAGGUUAUUUUUUUACUUAUACAACAAUAAACUUUUUUGGAAGAGGUUUUUCUAAGUACAAAAAGUUAUGAAUAAAAAACCAUUGUUACGAUGAGUUAACUAAAAUAGAAUUAAUUUAGAAAAUAUCAAUAAAGUUGCAUGAAUUAUUAUCAUGAGUUAACUUAAUAAGAAUAAAUAGUAAUAAAGUUAAUGAAGUGAAUUUGGAUUGGCAGAUAUAUUUGAUGAUAAGAUUUUUUUAAUAAUAAAAAAUUAUUAUGGCAGGAAAAAUAGGACAAAAUUGACCUUAUGAUAAGAUUUUUUUAAUAAUAAAAACAUUAUUAUGGUAUGAAAAAAAGGGACAAAAUUGGCCUUUCCUUAAUUGUACCGGUUAAUGGAAUAAUGGGACAUGCGGUGGUUACAAGCCACCCCAAAAGGUAGGAAGAAUCUCCAACCCCCAUUCUCGGCUCCCUUAUCUUUUCCCUUACAACCAAAAAUCAACAACUAUCUUAGAAUGUCCUUCAGUCCAUCAAAAUUCAACAACAACAAUUAUACAUUACAAUAAUGAAAACAAAAUUGAUUGAUCACCAGCUAACAUUAGGAGAUUAUAAGAUAAGGAUGUAAUUGCAAUUAUUGAAAUCACUUAAAGAGUAAAAAUUAGGAACAUGCUCACAAUAAAUAAAAUCACCUUAGAAUUAAAAAUUAGGGACAUGAUUAUGAUGAUUAAAAUCACUCGAGAACUAAAAUGUUUUAGAGAUACAAUAAUUGAAAUCAACUGAAAAAUAAAUUCGGGAUGUGAUCGCAAUUAAUGUAUAUAUAAACAACCAAAUGUUGAAAGGAAAAACUAAUGAAAUUAAUAUGAUUUUCUUUUAGAUUUCUCUUGACACCAAACAAAUGUAAGGAAGUUUAUAAAGGAAAAUUAGGUUUUGAUUCACUAAAUUAAAAUAAUAUAGAAAAAAGAUCUUCAAAUUUUAUGUAUCAGUUUUAUUUUUAUUUAUUUAAAAAUAUUUUAAAAUACAUAUAUUUUUUCAUAACUCAAAUAGUCAUUCCUCAAAUGCUAGUUUUACUUGUUAUGUUAAUAACACUAGUUAAUAAUUUUGUAUUGUGAGAACGAUUUAAGAUUAAUAAAAUAAGAAAUUUUUAAAACUAAAAAGACAUUUAAAACUUUAAAAUUAAAAAUAUAAAAAUAAAACAAUAAUUUUUCAUUUAGUAAAACACGCAGUAGAAAAUAUAGAUAUAGAGAAAGAGUUGGAAAUAAAAUAAGAGUUAAUAUUUUAUUUUUAAAAUUUUAUGUUUUUUAUUUUAAUUGUAUUUAAUUUUAUGUAUUUUAGUUGUAAUUAUAUUUUUAAUUUUUAAAUUUUUUUAUUUUAUUGUUGAUGUAAAUUUUUGUUCAAUUAUAUAUAUAUAUAUAUAUUUUAAAUUAGUGAGUAAAAACCCACUUUUUCUAAUUUAUAAUAUAUUUAUGGGAUUUUAUAAUAUAAGCAAUUUUUUUUUUUGAGAAAGAGGAAAAAUCAACUUUUCAAUUUCCCUUAAUAAUUAUUAGUAUUAUUAUCCAAUUUGGCUGAUUAUGAGAUUAGUUGGUAUCAUUACUAUAUCCAUUUGUUCUUAACCCUUCAUUAGAAUAGUAUUAGGAGUUGAACGUCAGUUGGAAUACAGGCUUAUGGAAACAAAUCUAUCCGAUUAGUAGGUUCUUAUUAUUUUCAAUAUAGGCCCCAUAAAAUAAAUAGGAGAUGGGCAGCCCGUCCCUUUGUCUGGAGGCCAUCCUCCCAACUUAUUAAAGGUGAUAUGAGAUAAGAUAGUGACAAAAUUAUCGGUUACUUCCCGACACCUGGCUCUCCACAAGCAAACCCAGUGAUCCAGAAAUUAAUUGGUACCUGGACACGUGACUACCAAACGUUCGCUCACCUACCAUACCCAUGGCCUCAUGCCCCAUAUAUUUCCACAAACCUAGCUCAAUUUUCAUAGCCACCUUCACUAUCCUACACUCACUAAGCCAUGGCCAUAGAUACAAGCCUCUUGAUUGAGCUUGCUGCAGCAACUCUACUCUUCUUCAUCACCCGCUUCUUCAUUCGUUCUCUCCUUCCCAAAUCUUCCUGGAAGCUCCCUCCUGGCCCCAAAGGGUGGCCGCUCGUCGGCGCUCUUCCUCUUCUAGGUAACAUGCCUCAUGUUGCAUUAGCAAAGAUGGCCAAAAGAUACGGGCCUGUCAUGUUCUUGAAAAUGGGCACUAACAGCAUGAUGGUGGCCUCAUAUUAAGGAAAUUAUAUGUUAGUUAUUGUAUGAUUAUCUUGACAUAAUUAGCUGAUUGUAUAGGAGCAUAAUUAGCCUUAUAUUACUGAUUCUGUAGCUAUAAUUUAGGAGAAGAUUAGAUCAAACAUGUGUAUAUAUAUACUACAUUCUAUUAAUGAGAAAAGUAUCCAAUUUGAAGCCAAUCUCUUUAUUCUUGUUAUGGUAUCAGAGCAAGAACAAAAAACCACCAUGGCUGGCAGUCAGAAGGCUUCUGGAUCAGAAAACAAGACCAUCGAUCCUUCACAUCCUCUCUAUAUUCAUCAUUCAGAUCAACCAGGCCAUGUUUUGGUGCCCAUCAAAUUAAAUGGGGUCAACUAUCAAUCAUGGAGCAAAGCAGUUAUUCAUGCCCUUACUGCCAAGAAGAAGAUCGGCUUCGUCGACGGGACAGUUGAAGAACCAUCGCAGGAAGAUGAACCCUUUAUGUUUGAACAGUGGAAUCAAUGCAACAGCAUGAUACUUUCUUGGCUAACUCAUGCUGUUGAAUCGGACAUUGCUGAAGGAAUUAUCCAUGCUAAAAUAGCACGCGAAGUGUGGGUUGAUUUGCGCGACCAGUUUUCUCAAAAGAAUGCUCCAGCGGUUUUUCAAAUAUAGAAAUCAAUCGCCACCAUGUCGCAAGGAACGAUGACAGUAGCUGCAUAUUUUACAAAGAUCAAAGCCUUAUGGGACGAGCUUGAGACAUACCGUUCCCCGCUGACCUGCAACCAACGGCAAGCACAUCUCGAGCAAAGGGAGGAAGACCGUCUUAUGCAAUUUCUAAUGGGUUUGAAUGAGUCAUAUAAGGUAGUGAGAUCCAAUAUUUUGAUGAUGUCGCCAUUGCCCAAUGUCUGUCAAGCAUACUCUUUAAUUGUCCAGGAAGAGAUGCAACGACAAGUUUCUUCUGAGCCAACCGAGAAUUUCUCAAUAGCUGCCGCAGUCCCUGGAAAAGGAGGUAAUCCAAGACAAAAAUUGUGUGACCAUUGUAACAGAUCCGGACAUACCAUAGAUGAAUGUCGGACUCUUAAAUUUCACUGUAAGUUCUGUGAUAAAAGAGGUCACACGGAGGAUAGAUGCCGACUGAAAAAUGGGAGCAAUAACAAAACGGGACAAUUCCGAGGACAAUGUCCUUUUGGUCGUGGGAAUCAGCCCUUAGCAAACGCGACAGAAUCCCAGGAAAUGUCUGAUUCGACUUCUUCUAGUACAGUCCAGGGGUUCACUACAGAACAAAUACAACAGUUGGCUCAAGCAAUUUCAUGCAUUAAAUCACAGUAAUUCCGGUAAUAUUGACGCAUAUGCAAAUGCUGCAGGUUUGAUUCCAUCAACUCUUGUGUCUGUUAAUUCUAGUAGUACAAGUUCUUGGAUUUUGGAUACAGGUGCCACGGAUCACAUCGUUUCCCACAUGUCUCUUUUCACUGAUCUCAAACCUUCUAAUGUCACAACUGUUAAUUUACCAAAUGGUGCAGCAUCACCAAUAACACACACUGGCACCGUUAUUUUUGAUUCCCAAUUGACCCUUAAAGAUGUUUUAUGUGUCCCAUCCUUUAACUUGAAUUUAAUUUCGGCUAGCAAACUCGCAAAAGAUCAGAAUUGCUGCAUCAUAUUCUUUCCUGACUAUUGUAUUUUGCAGGACUUGGUUUCGGGGAAGAUGAUUGGCUCGGGUAAACAGCGUGGUGGUCUAUACUACAUGCAUCCAUCAACAAAUAAAUCGGUUGUCUUUCAUGUUUCUCAACCGUCUGACUUAUGGCAUUUACGCCUGGGUCAUCCCUCUUUUUCUCGUUUUAAAUUAUUAUCACAUUUGCUUCCAGAUAUUCAUAAAGAAUUAGGAAAUCAUUGUCCAAUUUGCCCACAGGCUAAGCAGACACGCUUGCCCUUUCCCAAAAGUUCAAUAACUACAAAAUUUCCUUUUUCUCUUUUACAUUNNNNNNNNNNNNNNNNNNNNNNNNNNNNNNNNNNNNNNNNNNNNNNNNNNNNNNNNNNNNNNNNNNNNNNNNNNNNNNNNNNNNNNNNNNNNNNNNNNNNNNNNNNNNNNNNNNNNNNNNNNNNNNNNNNNNNNNNNNNNNNNNNNNNNNNNNNNNNNNNNNNNNNNNNNNNNNNNNNNNNNNNNNNNNNNNNNNNNNNNNNNNNNNNNNNNNNNNNNNNNNNNNNNNNNNNNNNNNNNNNNNNNNNNNNNNNNNNNNNNNNNNNNNNNNNNNNNNNNNNNNNNNNNNNNNNNNNNNNNNNNNNNNNNNNNNNNNNNNNNNNNNNNNNNNNNNNNNNNNNNNNNNNNNNNNNNNNNNNNNNNNNNNNNNNNNNNNNNNNNNNNNNNNNNNNNNNNNNNNNNNNNNNNNNNNNNNNNNNNNNNNNNNNNNNNNNNNNNNNNNNNNNNNNNNNNNNNNNNNNNNNNNNNNNNNNNNNNNNNNNNNNNNNNNNNNNNNNNNNNNNNNNNNNNNNNNNNNNNNNNNNNNNNNNNNNNNNNNNNNNNNNNNNNNNNNNNNNNNNNNNNNNNNNNNNNNNNNNNNNNNNNNNNNNNNNNNNNNNNNNNNNNNNNNNNNNNNNNNNNNNNNNNNNNNNNNNNNNNNNNNNNNNNNNNNNNNNNNNNNNNNNNNNNNNNNNNNNNNNNNNNNNNNNNNNNNNNNNNNNNNNNNNNNNNNNNNNNNNNNNNNNNNNNNNNNNNNNNNNNNNNNNNNNNNNNNNNNNNNNNNNNNNNNNNNNNNNNNNNNNNNNNNNNNNNNNNNNNNNNNNNNNNNNNNNNNNNNNNNNNNNNNNNNNNNNNNNNNNNNNNNNNNNNNNNNNNNNNNNNNNNNNNNNNNNNNNNNNNNNNNNNNNNNNNNNNNNNNNNNNNNNNNNNNNNNNNNNNNNNNNNNNNNNNNNNNNNNNNNNNNNNNNNNNNNNNNNNNNNNNNNNNNNNNNNNNNNNNNNNNNNNNNNNNNNNNNNNNNNNNNNNNNNNNNNNNNNNNNNNNNNNNNNNNNNNNNNNNNNNNNNNNNNNNNNNNNNNNNNNNNNNNNNNNNNNNNNNNNNNNNNNNNNNNNNNNNNNNNNNNNNNNNNNNNNNNNNNNNNNNNNNNNNNNNNNNNNNNNNNNNNNNNNNNNNNNNNNNNNNNNNNNNNNNNNNNNNNNNNNNNNNNNNNNNNNNNNNNNNNNNNNNNNNNNNNNNNNNNNNNNNNNNNNNNNNNNNNNNNNNNNNNNNNNNNNNNNNNNNNNNNNNNNNNNNNNNNNNNNNNNNNNNNNNNNNNNNNNNNNNNNNNNNNNNNNNNNNNNNNNNNNNNNNNNNNNNNNNNNNNNNNNNNNNNNNNNNNNNNNNNNNNNNNNNNNNNNNNNNNNNNNNNNNNNNNNNNNNNNNNNNNNNNNNNNNNNNNNNNNNNNNNNNNNNNNNNNNNNNNNNNNNNNNNNNNNNNNNNNNNNNNNNNNNNNNNNNNNNNNNNNNNNNNNNNNNNNNNNNNNNNNNNNNNNNNNNNNNNNNNNNNNNNNNNNNNNNNNNNNNNNNNNNNNNNNNNNNNNNNNNNNNNNNNNNNNNNNNNNNNNNNNNNNNNNNNNNNNNNNNNNNNNNNNNNNNNNNNNNNNNNNNNNNNNNNNNNNNNNNNNNNNNNNNNNNNNNNNNNNNNNNNNNNNNNNNNNNNNNNNNNNNNNNNNNNNNNNNNNNNNNNNNNNNNNNNNNNNNNNNNNNNNNNNNNNNNNNNNNNNNNNNNNNNNNNNNNNNNNNNNNNNNNNNNNNNNNNNNNNNNNNNNNNNNNNNNNNNNNNNNNNNNNNNNNNNNNNNNNNNNNNNNNNNNNNNNNNNNNNNNNNNNNNNNNNNNNNNNNNNNNNNNNNNNNNNNNNNNNNNNNNNNNNNNNNNNNNNNNNNNNNNNNNNNNNNNNNNNNNNNNNNNNNNNNNNNNNNNNNNNNNNNNNNNNNNNNNNNNNNNNNNNNNNNNNNNNNNNNNNNNNNNNNNNNNNNNNNNNNNNNNNNNNNNNNNNNNNNNNNNNNNNNNNNNNNNNNNNNNNNNNNNNNNNNNNNNNNNNNNNNNNNNNNNNNNNNNNNNNNNNNNNNNNNNNNNNNNNNNNNNNNNNNNNNNNNNNNNNNNNNNNNNNNNNNNNNNNNNNNNNNNNNNNNNNNNNNNNNNNNNNNNNNNNNNNNNNNNNNNNNNNNNNNNNNNNNNNNNNNNNNNNNNNNNNNNNNNNNNNNNNNNNNNNNNNNNNNNNNNNNNNNNNNNNNNNNNNNNNNNNNNNUUUUCGUUUUUCACCCCAUCACCGUGCUUUUUUAGCUCUUUUGACAGCCCAAACCGAACCUUCAUCCUUUGAACAAGCUGACUGUGAUCCACGUUGGCGCCAAGCCAUGUCCACCGAACUUCAGGCUCUAGAACGAAACAACACUUGGGAGAUGGUCCCUCUUCCUCCGGGACACAAACCCAUUGGCUGCCGCUGGGUGUACAAGAUCAAAUACCAUUCUGACGGAACCAUUGAACGCUAUAAAGCCCGUUUGGUUGCCAAGGGCUACACACAGGUCGCCGGUAUCGACUAUCAGGAAACCUUUUCUCCAACUGCCAAACUCACCACUCUUCGCUGUUUGCUGACUGUCGCAGCUUCCAGAAAUUGGUACAUCCAUCAGCUUGAUGUGCACAACGCAUUCCUUCAUGGCAAUUUACAAGAAGAGGUUUAUAUGACUCCACCUCCUGGUCUUCGCCGAUAGGGGGAGAAUCUGGUAAGUCGGCUUCGCAAAUCUAUUUACGGUUUGAAACAGGCAUCACGCAAUUGGUUCUCAACUUUUACAGCUACUGUUAAGUCUGCGGGUUACAUACAGUCCAAAGCAGAUUAUUCACUUUUUACUAAAUCCCAAGGUAACAAGUUCAUUGCUAUUCUCAUUUAUGUUGAUGAUAUCCUGUUGACUGGUAAUGAUUUGCAUGAAAUCAAGAUGCUCAAGACUCAUCUGCUCAAGCAUUUUUUUAUUAAAGACCUCGGUGAAUUGAAAUAUUUUUUGGGUAUAGAAUUCUCUCGCUCUAAAAAGGGAAUCUUUAUGUCUUAAAGAAAAUAUGCAUUAGAUAUUUUGCAAGACACAGGAUUGACAGGAGUGAAGCCCGAAAAAUUUCCGAUGGAGCAAAACUUGAAAUUGACUGAUGAAGAUGGCGAGUUACUUCAUGAUCCAAGUAGGUAUCGGAGACUGGUUGGCAGAUUAAUAUACUUGACUGUAACCAGGCCUGACAUAGUGUAUUCAGUACGUACACUAAGUCAAUUCAUGAACACACCUCGGAAGCCGCACUGGGAAGCAGCAUUACGAGUCCUCCGAUAUAUUAAAGGGUCACCAGGUCAAGGUCUUUUUCUUCCAUCUGAAAAUAAUUUAACACUCAGCGCAUUUUGCGAUUCAGAUUGGGGAGGAUGUCGUAUGUCAAGACGUUCCGUUUCUGGUUAUUGUGUUUUCCUCGGAUCAUCACUCAUCUCUUGGAAAUAAAAAAAACAAACGAAUGUUUCACGUUCGUCAGCAGAAGCAGAGUACAGAGCAAUGGCGAAUACUUGCCUGGAAUUGACUUGGUUGAGGUACAUACUUAAAGAUUUGAAGGUUGAAUUGGACAAACCAGCACCAUUGUUUUGUGAUAAUCAAGCAGCUGUAUAUAUUGCAGCUAACCCAGUUUUUCACGAAUGUACUAAACACAUUGAGAUUGAUUGUCAUAUAGUUCGAGAAAAACUUCAAGCUGGGGUAAUUCGUCCGUGUUAUGUUUCUACAAAGAUGCAGUUGGCGGACGUUUUUACAAAGGCACUUGGCAGGGAGCAGUUCGAAUUUUUGUGCACCAAGUUGGGAGUUCUUGAUUUGCACUCUCCAACUUGAGGGGGAGUAUUAAGGAAAUUAUAUGUUAGUUAUUGUAUGAUUAUCUUGACAUAAUUAGCUGAUUGUAUAGGAGCAUAAUUAGCCUUAUAUUACUGAUUCUGUAGCUAUAAUUUAGGAGAAGAUUAGAUCAAACAUGUGUAUAUAUAUACUACAUUCUGUUAAUGAGAAAAGUAUCCAAUUUGAAGCCAAUCUCUUUAUUCUUGUUACCUCAACUCCCGGGGCGGCUCGGGCUUUCCUUAAAACGCUAGACAUUAAUUUCUCUAACCGCCCGCCUAAUGCCGGUGCCUCACUCUUGGCCUAUCAUGCCCAAGACAUGGUUUUUGCGGAUUAUGGGGCAAGGUGGAAGCUACUGAGAAAGCUAAGCAACUUACACAUGCUUGGUGGGAAGGCUCUUGAGGACUGGUCUCAGGUCCGAGCUGUUGAGCUAGGCCACAUGCUUCGAGCCAUGCUUGAGUUGAGCCAGCGAGCGGAGCCGGUGGUGGUGCCGGAGAUGUUAACUUUUUCCAUGGCCAACAUGAUAGGUCAAGUGAUUCUAAGCCGCCGGGUGUUUGAAACAAAAGGGUCGGAGUCAAAUGAGUUCAAGGACAUGGUGGUGGAGCUCAUGACCACUGCUGGGUACUUCAAUAUUGGCGAUUUUAUUCCGUCCAUCGCAUGGCUGGACAUCCAAGGGAUCCAGCACGGGAUGAAGCAUUUACAUAGGAAGUUCGAUCGGUUAUUAACAAAGAUGAUGGAGGAGCACACGGCGUCAGCCCAUGAGCGGAAGGGAAACCCAGAUUUUCUGGACGUGAUCAUGGCAAACCAAGAAAAUUCUACAGGGGAGAAGCUCACUAUUACCAACAUUAAAGCACUCCUCCUGGUAUGCAUAGUUAAAGCUCGUCUUUAAUUUUGUUUUCCGAUAUUUUCUUUCCUGAAACAGCACUUUUAUUGCUUUUAGAUAUGUACGUUUUUAUCAGGUAGCCAUUUUAGGGGCACAUCACUGUUCUUUAUUUGGAUUUUUUUUGUCUUUUUCCACUUGCAUGGUUGUUUUCAUAUGCUCAGCUGCAUGGCACAGGAAAAUUGUGAAAAAUGAUUGGUUCUCUGAUCAGACCUUCUGCACCAAAACAUAAUUCUCUCUAUUUUAUAAAAUCAAGAACAUUUAUGGUUUACAUGAUUUUUCGAACUUGAACUUUUGCUAGUGCUAAUGCAUGGAUCUCAAUUUUUCAAUUGCGUUUGAUUAUAUAAAUUUCAAGUAUGUGAACAUAUUUUUGUUUCCUUGGCUAGAAUUUAUUUACUGCAGGAACAGACACUUCAUCGAGCGUAAUCGAGUGGUCUCUGGCUGAGAUGUUGAAAAACCCGAGCAUCCUCAAGCGUGCUCACGAAGAAAUGGAUCAAGUGAUUGGAAGGAGCCGGCGGCUCGUGGAGUCUGACUUGCCAAAACUUCCAUACCUACAAGCCAUAUGCAAGGAAAGCUUCCGGAAGCACCCAUCCACCCCAUUGAACCUUCCUCGUGUCUCAACCCAAGCAUGCGAAGUGAACGGCUACUACAUCCCAGAGAACACUAGACUUAGCGUGAACAUAUGGGCAAUUGGGCGAGACCCUGAUGUCUGGGAAAGCCCGGAAGAAUUCAGGCCAGAAAGGUUUUUAAGUGGAAGAAAUGAAAAAAUUGAUCCUCGUGGAAAUGAUUUUGAGUUGAUCCCGUUUGGGGCUGGACGAAGGAUUUGCGCUGGCACUAGAAUGGGAAUAGUGCUGGUUGAGUACAUUUUAGGGACGUUGGUACAUUCAUUUGACUGGAAAAUGCCGGAUGGAGUUGAGAUCAACAUGGACGAAGCUUUCGGGCUUGCACUGCAGAAGGCAGUUUCUCUUUCGGCCAUGGUGACACCAAGGCUUCACCAGAGUGCGUAUGCAGUCUGAGCUCAAACCGCUCAGACCAAAACCCAGGCCUCGCUGCUAUAUGGCAUGGAUGCAGUUAAGUAGAAAAUAUUUUGGGAUGCCUGUGGCUUAGUAUAAGAUGUAUUAGCUCAAAGAUGGUCGUUUCAUUCUACCACCAAGCCAUAUGCAUCUAUGCAUAAUCUAUUGAUUUAGGCUCGAUUUGGUUAUAGUUUUUGUUUUUUUGUCUUCCAAAUCAGUAAAUAGUAGGGGUAUUUUUGUCCUAUGUAGUGAUUCUUUUUGUUUGAUUGAUUAUAUUUGGAUCCUUCAAAUAUUCCUACACAACUAUUAACCUCCUUCAAAAAUAUAUAGUUAAGGGCCUUGGUCAGAGCCAUCUCCAUCUUUUCACUUCUUGUGCUGCAGUAUGGGAUUGGCUUAGAUGAUCGUUAGUCUAAUGUUUCCUUUUCAACAUCAUAAUUCAGCGCAAACUAAGUUGAAUAUUCAACAACAAAUAAGUACAGAAAAUAAUGGAAGAAAAAUUCCCACUUUAUCUCCGUAAAGUAAUGCCAUAUUUUUCUUCAUACUUACCUUCUAGAUUUUUGUUGGAGCUCUGAGCCCGUGAUCCAUUAGAUGAUUGCGUGUGUGCAUAUGCAUGUGGGUGAUUGCGUGUAAUACGUACGUACGUUCCAUGAUUCAUGUUCGAAGUACCCUCUCUUAUUUAUCGUUGAAGAGGCUAUCGUCACAAACUCUAUUGAUUAAUUAGUCUAGGCAAAUUAAGGCGCGAUAACGACCGAUGUAUAUCUUAAAAGUAACGAUUAAGAGAAUAUUAUAUGUACAAGGGAAAAAUCUACAUAUAAUUAUUGAUGCAACUUGCAAGUGGGAUAAAAUUUGGGAUGGGGAUUAUUAUAAAUUAAUCUCAAUCCAUAAUUGUGAUUGUGGAGUAUAAAUUAAAUGAUUCAUAAUCCAUCUACAUGAAGAUUAAAACCCAUAUUGAAAAUAGCUUUAAAAAACUAAUUUAUAAGAAUAAUUUUUGCAUCAUAUUUUGUGUGCUUGAACUCGUUUCCUAUAUUUUUAAAUAUAUAUUAAAUAUAAUUUUCUUUUAUUUAUAGUGUUUUAUUUUUAAUUAUUCUUCAUAUUUAUAUAAUUAUUUUUUAAAACAAUCAUGAUAAAAAGCAAAAAGAAGUGAAAAUAGCUUAAUAUAAUUAAAGACAAAUAUCUUAUUUUUUGUUAUCUGUUGUUAUUGUUUUUUCUUUUUGUUAACCCCCUUCAAAUCUAAUUAUUCAUACUCAAUUUUGACACGAAAGAGCCAUUGUCAUGAAAGGGGGAGGUCCAUCAUUUUGGUACGAUGCCAACUCUACCACAUAACCACCAUUUAGAUAUCUAUCCUUUUAUUUUUGGCAUGUGAACUUAUAGUGGGUGGCUGACCUUGAAUCCACUAGUUAUCAUGUUGAAAUUAACCACCAUUUAGAUAUCUAUCCUUUUAUUUUUGGCAUGUGAACUUACAGUAAGUCCGAUUUAUGUCCAAGGGUCAAAUUUAAAUCUCUCUUCAAUCUAAUGGCUAAGAACUUCCCAACUUUAUUUAAUACUUAAUGUAUCCAAUAAUUGUAAUCGAGUAAUCCAAUGACAAGUACCUUCAAUGACUAUUUUGGCAAAAGAAAAAAGAAAAAAAGAAAUAAUAUAAGUUUGUUAUUUUAUGAUAUAAUAAAUUUAUUAAUACUUUCCUUUUUCAAAAUAUGUAAUUAGUUGUAAUUUCAUUAUAUAAUAUAUAAAUUAAGUUAUUUGCAAUUUUAAAAUAUGUUCAUUUUGUUUUUUUUUAAGUGUUAAUUAAAAAUUAUACAAUUUUGUUUUAUAAAAAGUAUUUAGUACUUUUAAUUUUAUAAAUUACAAACAUUAAUUAUACUAUUUUCUUAAAAUAUUUAGUUUAGUAUGCAUAUUAUUAGUUGUUUUCUCAUAUCUCAAGUUUCAAUCAAAAAAAUAUUUAUGAUUUGUUUUUGUUAAUUUGUGUCUUGUUUUCAAUUUAAUUAAUGAAAAGUUAUUUGAUCAAAAGGUUCAUUACAAACCAAUUUUAAAAAUUUAAUCCUUUAUUAUAUUUUGAUAUUGUUUUGAUAAAAAUGUCUUUAUUAUUUUUUAAAUAUAUUGUAAAUAUUUAAAAUAAUUAAAAAUAUUUAGAUCAAAAAUCGAUUAUUUUUCAAACAAAAAUAUGAAAGUGAUAAAUUUGCAAAUGUGGGGAAUAUUUAAUCCUUUUAAUCGAUUAUUUCAUUAAUGAAGUGGGUAUAAUGAUGAACGCAGACUUGGUUUUACUAGGGCAUGCAGAGGUUUUGCAAGAGAGAGAGAUCAUUUCUCGACUCUGAGAAAUCAAUCUCCUUUUGGCCCGGUGGCGGACUCCAAGUAAAGCCUUGAAGGAGCCUUGCUAACAUCCCUGCACACCCACGCCUUCCAGUACUGAAGGAAAUGAAGCGAAGGUUUGGCUCGUUCAACUCCACUGCUUGAACUGUACUAGCAUUCAGAUGCCGCUCUGGAUUGAAAUUUAGCGGUUCUUCCCAGAUUCUAGGGUUCCGGCCCAGCCCCAGACGGCUCAGAAGGACAUGACUGCCUUUGGGGAUAGAGUACCCAGCAACACUAGUCGGAUUCCUGAACUCGUCUAUCCUUUCCAACCACUCCAUCAAUUUCUUCACUGCUUUGCUCAAAAUCCCUGGUUGCUUGAUCAUUGCCUACUCAAUUGCAUUUGAUGGACUAUCGAAGCCUGCAAGCAUCAACUCCUGCAAAUUAUGGAAGGAUCAUAAUCUCAUGAUUGAUCAAGUUAUUUGCUGGCUAGGAAAUGAUCAUCAUGCAAUGUAGAUCAAAAGGUAAGCACAACACUACUACAAAAAUAAUUUAUGGUGUCAUUUUUAAAAUAAUGACACCAUAGGGUUUAUAAUUAAUAAAGGUGAUACAUCAUAUGAAAAUUCUUCAAUUGAGGUAGUUAGAUUAUGUUAGUUUUAUAUUUAUAGUGUCAUUUUUUGGGAAGUAACAUCAUAUAAAAUAAUUUUUUUUUAAGUAUUAUAACUUAAUGAGCCCACUUUUAUAAUUAAUAAUGAGGGAUAAUGUAUAAAAAGCCCAUUGUUUCCACAUGCCACCCACAAUCCAAAAAAUCUCAGUAUACAAACCUUAUAUAUAAAACCAUAAUCUUCUUCUACCUUUUCUCUUACCUAUAGUCAACACACUUAUAACCGACAUUUUCCACUUUGUGGACUCCCAAGUUAUCCAAAUUCUCUUAGAUCUAUCCUAUUUUUUUUCUUUUAUUAAUAUCAUUAUAUUGAUUGUUUCAGCAUCUUUGUAUUAUGGUUUUUGUGAACUGCAUUUUCUUGAGUUGUAGGGAAGAAAAACUUAGGUUUAAACUUCUAGCAUAGACAAAGAAACUUGUAGAUUAAUUGAUUUUUUAAUAUGAACCAAACACAUGACCGACUUUUUCUGUGUGUAAUAAGGACAGCUAGUAUUCAUGCAUAAAAUCAGCAUCAGAAUUCGUAACUGCAUUUGAUCAGCUAGUUUAGUAAAUCUGUACAACUCAUUCUUUCCUUUAUUUUCACAUAUGUUGUUAUACGUUAGCACAAGUUUAGGAGUAAUUUUAGUUUCUCAAAUCUGUAUUUAUACCUCUUCUUCUAAUAAGAAUUGUGUGAAUCAUUUUGUCUAAACCUCUUUAUGGUAUCAGAGCACACCUCAAAACUCCAACAAGUAUUUCCUGUCUUUCUCGCUUCUGCUAUGGCCACUUCUUCCUCUGAUAGUUUUCCAAUAGCCAUCAAUGCCACCCAGCAAAUUACUGCACGUCUUACACCAACCAACUUCCCUUCAUGGCAUGCUCAAUUUGAGUCUCUCCUCCUCGGCUAUAACCUCUUUGGCUAUGUCGAUGGCACUCAUACCUGCCCACCCCUACCGAUGUCAACUAAUGCAGCUGCCACUACAGCUCAUCACCUUUGGUUCCAUCAGGACAAACUUAUUCUAAGUGCAAUUUUGACUUCAGUGUCCCUAGCUGUGAUACCACUCAUAGCAACCUCCCAAACGUCAUAUCAAACCUGGACAAAACUGACAAAACUGUAUGCUAGUCGAUCCAGGACUCGUGUCAUGCAGCUCAAAGAGGAUCUCACCCUCAUGCAAUGUGGCAAUCGCAGCAUUACAAAGUACCUACACUCUGUAAAAACCAUUGUCGAUGAGCUUGCUCUCAUCGAUGCCCCAUUAUCUCAAGAUGACAUCACCCUAUAUGUUCUUCAUGGCUUAGGAUCAAAUUUUCGUGACAUUGUUGCCCCGAUUCGAGCCCGAGAGUCUUCACUCUCAUUGUUGCAAAAUACUGUCCGAAAUUGAAACCCUCUGAAGCCACUGUGAACUGCACAACUACUACUUCCAGUCCCGACAAACGUUGGCUCAUUGAUUCUAUGGCUUCCCAUAAUAUCACUUCUCAGGUUUCAAAUUUACAAUUUCACUCUGAAUAUGAUGGUACUGAUGAAGUUAUUAUUGGAGAUGGAUCAGGUUUGCCCAUUACUCAUUCUGGUUCUCUUACUCUUUCAUUUCCAAACAGAAAAUUUCAAGUUGAAGAUACUCUAUGUGUUCCUACCAUUAACAAAAACUUGAUAUCUGUUCACCACUACACAAAGCAAAACAAUGUUAUCCUGGAAUUUCACCCAACUUAUUUUCUUGCGAAGGAUUGGAGAACGGGGGAGAUUCUUCUUCAAGGACCGUGUGAAAAUGGAGUCUACCCUCUGGCCUCAUCGCCUGCUGCUACUCCAAUUGCUUUUGUCCAUGAACGCACAUCAGCAGCUGGUUGGCAUCAUCGCCUUGGUCAUCGAUCAUUCAAAGUUGUCACUCGCCUCAUUAGUUCUUUCUCCCUUCCCACCACUUCAUGUCUUUCUGGUUCUAAUAAUUGUCAUUCGUGUUCUAUCAAUAAAGCUCAUCAGUUACCCUUUCAUAAACACGGUCUAACUAGCACAACACCAUUUGAUUUACUUUACACUGAUGUAUGGGGACCUUCUCCCACUCCUAGUCUCAAUGGCCACAGAUAUUAUGUUAUUUUUGUUGAUCACUUUACCAAAUAUGGUUGGUUCUUUCCAUUGCAUCAAAAAUCAGAUGUUAAAACCAUAUUUCCUCAUUUCUACAAAAUGAUUGAAACUCGUUUUAACAUAAAAAUUAAAGGAGUUUAUUCCGAUAAUGGGGGCGAGUUCACUGUUCUUCGACCCUUUUUCACAACCCAUGGCAUUAGUCAUUAUACGACAGCCCCUUAUACACCCCAACAAAAUGGAGUGUCUGAGCGUCGUCAUCUCCAUAUUGUGGAGACAGGUCAAACCCUUCUAAGUCAUGCCUCUCUUCCAUCAGAAUAUUAGGCUUAUGCUUUUGCAACAGCCACAUAUCUAAUCAAUCGACUUCCAUCACCUGUUCUUCAUCAUAUAUCACCUCUUCAAGCAACAACCUCGGUAUGAAAAAUUACGUUCCUUUGGAUGUCUUUGCUUUCCCUUGAUGAAGCCGUAUAACACAAACAAAUUUCAAAAGAAAUCCGUUCCUUGUAUCUUUGUUGGCUACUCUACUAGCCAAAGUGCAUAUCUAUGUCUUCAUCUACAAAGUCAGCGCAUAUACACCUCCAAACACGUAACCUUUGAUGAAUCUGUUUACCCCUUCAAACAGGUUUCCAUGCAAUCACCCACUGACUCAUCCCCAUCAGAAACCUCUUCUUUUUCAGGACCAAUUUUGCAGCUUGCUUCCAGGGAGCUUCCAACAAUCACACGGGCUCAAGGAGAUAUCCCCUCUGCUUCUUCGACUCCAAGUGAAGAUCCAGCUCUUGUGCAACCUCAAGAGGCACCACUUUCCACUUUAGAUCAGGUAACUCUUAGACCUUCUACUUCUGUUUCUCAACCAGAAAAUUCAAUGCCAUCCUCUCCACCACCAUGUCCACGAACCAUCAUCACUCGCUCCAUGAACAAUAUCUUUCGGCCAAAACAACUCCACACCACCACCAAGCACCCCUUACCUGAACCACCCGAACCAAGUUGUGUAAGUCAAGCUCUUAAAGACCCUCACUGGUGCAAGGCUAUGUCAGAAGAAGUGACAACCCUCCUUUAACAUGGGACGUGAGAACUGGUUCCUCCCACUCCUGGCCAGAAUCUUGUUGGGUGUAAAUUUGUGUUUCGGAAGAAACGAAAUCCAGAUGGAACAAUCAGUCGAUAUAAAGCUCGACUUGUCGCUAAAGGAUUUCAUCAACGGCCAGGUAUUGACUACUCUCAAACCUUCAGCCCUGUCGUAAAGCCAGUAACAAUUAGGCUUCUUUUAACCAUUGCUGUCAUGCAUGGCUAGCCCCUUCGUCAGUUAGACAUCAAUAAUGCAUUCUUGCAUGGUAAUCUUGAAGAAACAGUCUUCAUGCAUCAACCUACAGGAUUUGAAGAUCCAUCUCAACCUCAGUAUGUUUGCAAGCUAAAAUAGAGUAUCUAUGGUCUUAAACAAGCCCCAUGACAGUGGUACAAGGCCCUUCGGGAUGCACUUCUCAGCUUUGGUUUUAUUCACUCGGCCACUGACAACUCUUUGUUUAUCUAUAAGUCUCAUGAUAUCUUGUGCUACUGCCUUGUUUAUGUUGAUGACAUAAUUGUCACAAGCAACACACUCAGCUUUGUGAAUAACAUUAUAAACAAGCUUGGCUCUACAUUCUUAGUCAAAGAUAUGGGCUCCUUGCAUUAUUUCUUGGGAAUAGAAGUGAUUCCAAUGCCACAGGGGCUCUUUCUAUCUCAACAUCAGUAUAUAUGGGAUCUCCUUUCACGAACCUCCAUGGAAAAUGCUAAAGAAACACUCACUCCAAUGUCCACUACAGCCAAGCUUACGGUUCAAGAUAAUUUUGAAUGUGUUGACAGCACUGAGUAUCGCAAGAUCAUUGGAGCACUUCAGUAUUUGGGACUCACUCGUCCCGAUAUUGCCUUUGCAGUCAACAGAUUAUCUCAGUUCAUGUAGAAGCCGACAACAAACCAUUGGGCCGCAGCAAAAAGACUACUCAGCUAUCUUAAACAGACCAUGUUUCAUGGUAUCCUUCUCCAAAAUCAUGAUCAAUUCCAACUCAAGACCUAUAGUGAUGUGAAGUGGGCAUUAAAUACGGACACUCGUGUUUCAACCACUACUUUCAUCACAUUCAUUGGUCCUAAUCCAAUCUCAUGGUCUGCACGCAAGCAAAUGGCAGUCUCAAGAUCAUCUAUAGAAGCAGAGUUUCGGGCACUAGCUACUGCCACACAGAAACAGUUUGGCUUCAUUCUCUUAUCAAGGAACUUGGUCUCACUCUCAGAGAAGCACCUCAAAUGUUUUGUGAUAAUAUUGGUGCCAACCAUUUCAGUUUAAAUCCAGUCCAGCACAGACGGAUGAAACACAUUGAAAUUGAUCUCCUCUUUGUACGAGAUCUUGUCAAAAAGGGAACUAUUCGUGUUCAGCACAUCCAUACCAUUGAUCAACUAGCUAAUCUCCUUACAAAAUCACUCUCACAUCAACGCUUUCAACUAUUAAGAUCCAAGAUUGGUGUUGCAGAUGGCACCUCCAUCUUGAGGGGGCAUAUAAGGACAGCUAGUAUUCAUGCAGAAAAUCAGCAUCAGAAUUCGUAACUGCAUUUGAUCAGCUAGUUUAGGAAAUCUGUACAACUCAUUCUUUCCUUUAUUUUCACAUAUGUUGUUAUACGUUAGCACAAGUUUAGGAGUAAUUUUAGUUUCUCAAAUCUGUAUUUAUACCUCUUCUUCUAAUAAGAAUUGCGUGAAUCAUUUUGUCUAAACCUCUUUAUAUUUAUGUGAGAAUGACAGGUACAAAAUUUUGUUGAGAUAUACUGCCCCAUAAUCUUCAUCCUUUCCCUAAAAUGAGAGAGGGAAAAAAAAAAAGGAAUGAUUUUUUUUGUGUGUAUCUAAGUGGGAACAAGAGAUAUAGAAUUUCGUUGAGAUGCAGUGCUGCCACAUGAUCUUUAUCCUCCAUUAAACCCAACAUAUUAAAUCCACUAACUCUCUCCCCAAAAAUGAGUAAAAAAAAAAAAAAGGAAAAAAGUAUGAGUUAAAAAACAAAAACGGAAAAUAUGAUUUUUUUAAUGUGUUUCUAAGGAGAAUGAGAGAUACAUAUUUUUGUUAAGAUGCAUUGCCACGUGUUCUUCAUCCUCUCCAUUAAGCCUAAUAUAUUAAACCUAAUAGCUCUCUCUUUUAAGCUUUCCAAUGAAGUGCCUAUAGUAUCCAACUCAAAAUAAGACAACUUAAGCCCCAUUAGCCAACAACCCAUAUUUUGUGUACAUCUUGAUGAGAUUAUUUUGUGAGAAAAUGUCAUGAAACAAUCCCAAUUUGAUAAUCUAGGCAUGUAUUUGAGUUAAAAAUAAAUUUCUAUUCUAUAGAUCAAAGAAUAAAAUCAUGUUUGAAAAUUAUUUUUAAAAACUUAUUUAGAGCAAAAAUAGUUUUCUAACAUAAAAAUAAUUUUUUAACUGAGAAAAUAUAUUUGAAAUUAUUUGAUAGAAAAUUGGGCAUGUAUUUGACUUAAAAACAAAUUUCUAUUCUAUAGCUCCAAUAAUAAAAUCAUGUUUGAAAAUUAUUCUUAAAAACUUAUUUAGAGCAAAAAUGGUUUUCUAACAUUAAAAUAAUUUUUUAAUUUAGAAAAUAUAUUUGGAAACAGUUGAUAGAAAACUGGGCAUGUAUUUGACUUAAAAAUAAAUUAUUAUUCUAUAGAUCAAAGGAUAAAAUCAUGUUUGAAAAAUAUUCUUAAAAACUUAUUUAGAGUAAAAACAGUUUUCUAACAUAAAAAUAAAUUUUUAACUUAGAAAAUAUAUUUGAAAACAUUUGAUAGAAAACUUUUUUUUUUAAUGUCAAUAAGUUGUCUUUUUGUUAAUUUAAUUGUAAUCAAUUUUCUUAUACGCAUUUAAAAGUAUAUAUUAUCAUAUUUAGUAAUAUUUUGAUUAUUAGGCAAAUUAUCAUUUUUGAGAGGAAUUUUUGUAGCUCUCAUAAUUAUAAUUGUAUUUUAAUAACCACUUCCAAUAAAUAAAAAAAAGAAAAAAAAAGUUAGACAAUUAUCAAAAUCUGAUUUUUAGGAUUUUAAAAAAAUCUACAAGCCAAAACUAUUUAUAAUUUUGAUCAUGUGAGAACACUUCUUUUUUAAUACUUUGAGUUAUUUUGUUUUUUUUUUUUCUUAGUAUCUGAAAGUAUAAAAGAAUUUCUCAUAUAUGUGCAUGUGUGUUCUCAUGGUUGUUUAUGUCAUGUCUUAUUAAAGAAUGAAGUGAAGUUUCCUUUGAGUGGAAGGUUUUAGUCCACGCUAGUCAGUGGACACGGUAUGAAUAGUUUGGGUGGGUUGUAUCUAUGGUAAAAAAAUAAUAAAAGACAACUUUUGCAAGUCUCCAAGUUGGUUGAGAUACAUGAUGUCAUGUUGACUAGACCUUGACUUUUGCAAGUCUCCUAGUUUCCAACUUUUUUUUCUUUUUUUUUUUUAAUAUUAAGGUGUGGGGCCAUGAACUCCUUUCUUUCCUUUUUAAAUAACAAAAAGGAAGAUAAUUUUAUUGUGAGAAGGCUAUUGCUACCAAUUGUGUUCACGUCGAGAAUUUUUUAAUUUACGGAGGCCAUAUAUAUAUAUAUUUAUGUCUAAUUUAGGAGGGUAAUUUGGGUUUGUCUAAUCUAUUCCAUUUAAUCAUACUAUACAAUCAUUUUUUUUUAUUUGGAUUAUUCUUGUAUUAAAUUUCUUCAACCCAAAUUUUGUUGAAAAGUUACAAUGUAUUAUUGAAAAUAUGACUUGGUAGUUGAUUAUGGAUAUGUGUCAUUUUUAGUAUAAAAAAAAAAUAAAUCUAUAACAUUUUAUAUUGAUAAUAUAUUAUUCUUGUAACAGGUUUGAAUAAUAAGCAAGUCAUUGUCAAAGAAGUUAUUGAAAGUGUAAGUGUACAUUUAUUUAUUGCAUGCUCUUAUAUUGUAUCAAUUGUAAGGAAGAUAAAAUUACCUUGUAAAGGUAAUUAAAUCUUUCUAUAUUUUAAAAACUUUUUUCCUAUAUACUAUGCUUUUGAAGCUUGUUUAAUUAAACAUAUUAGUUAUUUGACAAACUUUUCACAAAUGUUUUGUAUACUUAUGUGUUCUAUUUUGUUCCAUAGUUUUAUUGCAUAAUACUAAUGUAUAUUUUUUCACAAACUUUUUACAACUAUUUUGUGUACUAAUGCAUAUUAAGUUUUGUUCUUGCCUAUAUAAGCUACAUUUAGUUAUUUAAAUAUAUCUAAUAUUAUGUUGAAGAAAGAUGUACUUACUUAACUUUUUUUAUUCUAAAUAUUAACAAGUUUUUCAGUUCUCUUGUCUCGAGAUUGAAUGUCAAAAGAUAGAAGGUCAGUUGAGUAUGAUGAAAGAGUUGAAAACUUUAUCAAUUUUGCAUUAGCACAUUCAAUCAACCAUUCCCCUAUAAAAUGCCCAUGCUUACGUUGUGCAAAUCUGUUAUGUCAAACUCUUCAAGUCAUUACAGAACAUUUGUUCUUUAAUGGAAUCGAUCUUAGUUAUCGAGUAUGGUAUUGGCAUGGAGAAAAUGGACCCAGUGGAGGAUUUUCAAAUGUCUCACAACAACAUUAUGACAAAUGCAAGUAUAAUGAUGUUGUUGACACAAUAGAUAUGGUUAAUGCUGCACAAGUUAAUUGUAUGAAUGAUCCCUAAGUGUUUGGAAGGUUACUUGAAGACGCAGAAAAACCUUUAUAUCUUGGAUGCAUGAAAUACACAAAGUUGUCAGCAUUGGUAAAACUUUACGACUUGAAAGCAUGUUAUGGUUGGUUUGACAAAGGAUUCUCAAAAUUGCUUCAGUUGCUUGGAGAUAUGUUGCCAUUGAAUAAUGAGAUGUCAUUGUCCAUGUAAGAAGCUAAAAAUACUUUUAGUGCACUUGGGAUGAAUAUAACAAAAUUCAUGCAUGUUCUAAUGAUUGUAUUUGGUAUAGAAACCAGUAUAAGGAUGCUAUUGCAUGCCUAACUUGUGGAAAGUCAAGGUGGAAGAUAAACAAUGAGGGGAAAAAGAUUAAGAAGGGGCUUCCUUCAAAGGUUUUAUGGUAUUUCCCACCAAUCCCUAGAUUCAAAAGGAUGUUCCAAUCCUCAAAAACCGCUAAACAUCUUAUGUGGCAUGCCAAGGAUAAAGAAUAUGACGGUAAACUAUGCCACCCAUCAGACUCCUUAGCGUGGAAACUAGUUGACCAUAUGUGGCUUGAUUUUGCUUCUGAACCGAGGACCUUAGACUAGCACUCUCAACAGAUGGUACAAAUCUUCAUAAGUCUAUAAGCAAUAGACAUAGUUGUUGGCCUGUUAUACUGAUCAUAUACAACCUUCCUCCUUGGUUGUGCAUGAAAAAGAAGUUUAUGAUGCUAUCAUUAUUGAUCUCAGGACCACGACAACCUGGUAAAAAUAUAGAUGUUUACUUGAGUCCAUUGGUAGAUGACCUUAAAACUUUGUGGGAAAAAAAAGUUAAGACUUAUGAUGCACACUUGCUUGAGGUUUUUACUUUAAAGGUCAUCAUUUUAUGGACAAUCAGUUAUUUCCCUACAUAUGAAAACUUGGCCAAUUGCACCGUGAAAGGAUAUUAUGCAUGUCCAAUAUGUGGAGAAGGAACAUAUUCCCAAAGAUUAAAGUAUGGUAGGAAGAACUUGUAUAUGGGUCACCGACGAUUUCUUCCACGUAACCAUCCCUAUUGGAGACAAAAGAAGGCACUCAAUGGUGAACAAGAUUUUAGAAUUCCUCCUAAAAUUUUGAGUGGAGAAGAAAUACUUGAAAAAGUUGAUCUCAUUCCUAUUUCUUGGGGAAAAAUGAAGAUAAAAUCUCUUGAACUGAUGUGAACACAAAUUGUUGGAAAAAAAAGUCCAUAUUUUUUUAGUUAGAAUAUUGGAAAUAUCUUCAUAUCUUUCACAACUUGGAUGUUAUGCACAUCGAAAAGAAUGUCUGUGAGAGUAUUAUUGGUCCUUUGUUUAACAUCCUAGGAAAAAAAAAAUGGACUUAAUGCUCAACUUGACCUAGUUGAAAUGGGUUUAAAGUCUGAACUUUUCCCAAGAGUUGACUUGAAGCGGACCUAUCUUCCCCCUGCAUGUUAUUCACUAUCCAAACAUAUAUGACAAAAAAUUAGUUUGUCAAACAUUGUCUAAUUUGAAGGUCCCUGAGGGGUAUUGCUCAAAUUUGAGAAAUCUUGUCUCCUUAGAGGAAUUGAAGUUAUUUGGUUUAAGAUCCCAUGACUACCAUGCACUUAUGCAACAACUAUUGCUAGUGGCAUUACGUUUUGUUUUGCUAAAGCAUGUGAGAUAUACUAUAUCAAGAUUGUGUAUCUUCUUCAAUCAAUUAUGUACAAAAAUGGUUGAUGUGCCAAAAUUGGAUGAAGUACACAAUGAGUUAGUGGUCACGCUGUGCUUACUUGAAAAGUAUUUUUCACCUUCAUUUUUUGAUAUUAUGCUUCAUCUAGUAGUGCAUUUGAUAAGGGAGGUGUGACUAUGUGGUUCAGCUUACUUUAGGUCGAUCUACCCAUUUGGGAGGUAUAUGAAAGUUCUUAAAGAAUUGUUCGCAAUCAUAAUUGGCCUGAAGGAUGCAUUACUAAGUGCUAUUUAGUAGAAAAAGCUAUCGAAUUUUGUACUGAAUAUUUAUUAGGGACUUAUGCAAUUGGAAUUCCAAAAGCAACAAUUAUGACAACAAAUUUCGUAGACCUAUUGAUUACUACUCAAAAAGUGCUAUUUGAUAGCUUGUAAUUAAUCCUUUUAAACACUUUUGAGUAGUAGUUAUUGCCUUUUAACCCAAUUAACAUGUUAAGGACCCUUGCAAUCAUUUCUUAUCAAAUUGUGUAAGUUUUGGUGUUUUUGUUAGUAAUUUGAUCACCAAAACAAUCCAAGAUUGAGGAGAGUUAUUUGGAAUCCAUGGCAAAGCAAUGAAGAGCUCAAAUUCAUGAAGAACCAAGCUUUGGAGCUCCAUAGCCCUUUGCCAAAGUCGUUCAAAGUAUGCAAGGAAAGAGCACUGGAGAGAGGAAAAACAGAGUGAAGAAAACAGAGGAAAGCUAGAUGUAGUCUUCUUUCACACUUUUGGAGCAAUUUCCGAAGUCCAUUUUCUACAUUCGAUAUACCAUUUCAAAGCUCAGGAAGUCAAGAAUCCAAUGCUUCAAACGGUGCAUGAUUCGGAGUUGAAACGAAGGAGUUACAGCCAUUGCAAGCAGAUCACUCCAAAGUGUUGCGAAAUCAGCCUUUUGUUGCGAGAAUUUCGCAGCCUUUUUGUACAGUGCUAUGGAAUUCCUCCUAAAGUUGCCCGAUAUAUGCCGCAAGCUGGAAGCUGAGAACAUCAAGGUGGAAGCCAACUUCGCAGCCCUACGAGAAUAACUUGUUGAUGCGAAAAUAUUUCGCAGCCCUCUUGAGUGUCUGCGAAAUCUCGCAGACACCAUUUUCACCUGCGAAAUGUUCCUGGAGCUUCCCGAUAUUUUUGCACCGACUCUUUUGGAUAUUUUUCUUCAGAUAUUUUUGUAUAAAUUUCCAUUCUUCUCCUUGUAAGCCACGAACCAUAAGAUUUCUUAGUUAGGAAGGUUGGAAAAACAUCUCUAUAUAUAUUCCUUUGCAUCCACUGUAAUCAUAUAUCAUAUAUAGAAUAUACAGAGCCUUGCUCUGUUUUUCCUUCUCUUUCAUUUUUCAUUUAUUUUUAUUUCUAGCCAACCAAACUUUGAGGAUUUUUCCACAGAGGAUGAGAGGCUAAGCUUUUUGUCUCUUGGAGUGAGGAAAGCCGGGUAAGUUUCCACAUGCAUAAUUUGGAAGUUUUGUUGUUUUAGUUUUUAAUGAAGAGAAAGUGUGACCCGUUAGUGAUUUCUAUGUUUUUAGUUAACUUAAAACGCCUUUAAAUCACCUGGGCCAACACUUGGUAAGGCAAGUGAUUUCCAACCAUGGAAAUGCACUAGUUUACCCCUUGCGAGCCUUUGGGAGGUGACUUGAAGGUAGGAUUUUCUAGAAUAGCCAACACUUGGUAAGCUUUUGGACUCCAAGGAGACAUCCAUUAGUUAUCUCUUGCGAGCUUUUGACGGGUAAUCCAAGGUUAAAGAUCACCUUGAAUGGCAAGUGCUAGGUGAGAGGUAUGAGUCAUUGUAAGAUGCAUCAGUGAGAGGGAUUUAGUGAUUGAACCCAUUAAUGGGAAGCAUCUGUACAACACCGGUUAGAGAAUUAACUAUAUGUUAAUUCUCUAAUGCGAGGAAAAUAAACAAGUGACCGGAACUCUCCAUUUUGUAUGAGGAACAAGCCUAGUGAUCUGAACUCCAAGAAACACUUUUCUUUGUAGUUAAAACCAGUUACUAUUUUUUGUUAGCUUAAAACCAAACCUUUUUCAUUUAAACAUCUUUAUGUUUCUUUUAAAGCUAACCUUGAAAUGAAAAGGCACCAAUUCAGCUUUGAAUUGAUAUCAUUUGUGAAGUGAAAACCCAUCCCAGUGAACGAUCCUAGAGCCACUAUGCUAUAGUAGCUUUGUCUUUGCUACCCUAGUUCAUGGUGUAAUAGGUUAUAAAUUUUGUUGAUUACUCCCUCAAUCAAGGAGCACCAGCUGGACACGAAUCAGCUGAGACACCAAGUGGGCNNNNNNNGUUCAUGGUGUAUUAGGUUAUAAAUUUAGUUGUUUACUCCCUCAAUCAAGGAGCACCAGCUUGACACGAAUCAGCUGAGACACCAAGUGGGCACGAAUCAAAUGGCGCCAUUUGCUUCGUCCGUAGCAGUGGCAGUGGCAAUGGCACCAUUUGAUUCGAGGUUCAAUCCCAGGCAACGGCGCCAUUUGAUUCGUCCCUAGCAGUGGCAGUGGCAAUGGCACCAUUUGAUUCGAGGUUCAAUCCCCGGCAGCGGCGCCAUUUGAUUCGUGUCCACUUGGUGUCUCAGCUGAUUCGUGUCCAGCUGGUGCUCCUUGAUUGAGGGAGUAAUCAACAAAAUUUAUAACCUAUUACACCAUGAACUAGGGUAGCAAAGACAAAGCUACUAUAGCAUAGUGGCUCUAGGAUCGUUCACUGGGAUGGGUUUUCACUUCACAAAUGAUAUCAAUUCAAAGCUGAAUUGGUGCCUUUUCAUUUCAAGGUUAGCUUUAAAAGAAAACAUAAAGAUGUUUAAAUGAAAAAGGUUUGGUUUUAAGCUAACAAAAAAUAGUAACUAAUUUUAACUACAAAGAAAAGUGUUUCUUGGAGUUCAGAUCACUAGGCUCGUUCCUCAUACAAAAUGGAGAGUUCCGGUCACUUGUUUAUUUUCCUCGCAUUAGAGAAUUAACAUAUAGUUAAUUCUCUAACCGGUGUUGUACAGAUGCUUCCCAUUAAUGGGUUCAAUCACUAAAUCCCUCUCACUGAUGCAUCUUACAAUGACUCAUACCUCUCACCUAGCACUUGCCAUUCAAGGUGAUCUUUAACCUUGGAUUACCCGUCAAAAGCUUGCAAGAGAUAACUAAUGGAUGUCUCCUUGGAGUCCAAAAGCUUACCAAGUGUUGGCUAUUCUAGAAAAUCCUACCUUCAAGUCACCUCCCAAAGGCUCGCAAGGGGUAAACUAGUGCAUUUCCAUGGUUGGAAAUCACUUGCCUUACCAAGUGUUGGCCCAGGUGAUUUAAAGGCGUUUUAAGUUAACUAAAAACAUAGAAAUCACUAACGGGUCACACUUUCUCUUCAUUAAAAACUAAAACAACAAAACUUCCAAAUUAUGCAUGUGGAAACUUACCCGGCUUUCCUCACUCCAAGAGACAAAAAGCUUAGCCUCUCAUCCUCUGUGGAAAAAUCCUCAAAGUUUGGUUGGCUAGAAAUAAAAAUAAAUGAAAAAUGAAAGAGAAGGAAAAACAGAGCAAGGCUCUGUAUAUUCUAUAUAUGAUAUAUGAUUACAGUGGAUGCAAAGGAAUAUAUAUAGAGAUGUUUUUCCAACCUUCCUAACUAAGAAAUCUUAUGGUUCGUGGCUUACAAGGAGAAGAAUGGAAAUUUAUACAAAAAUAUCUGAAGAAAAAUAUCCAAAAGAGUCGGUGCAAAAAUAUCGGGAAGCUCCAGGAACAUUUCGCAGGUGAAAAUGGUGUCUGCGAGAUUUCGCAGACACUCAAGAGGGCUGCGAAAUAUUUUUGCAUCAACAAGUUAUUCUCGUAGGGCUGCGAAGUUGGCUUCCACCUUGAUGUUCUCAGCUUCCAGCUUGUGGCAUAUAUCGGGCAACUUCAGGAGGAAUUCCAUAGCACUGUACAAAAAGGCUGCGAAAUUCUCGCAACAAAAGGCUGAUUUCGCAACACUUUGGAGUGAUCUGCUUGCAAUGGCUGUAACUCCUUCGUUUCAACUCCGAAUCAUGCACCGUUUGAAGCAUUGGAUUCUUGACUUCCUGAGCUUUGAAAUGGUAUAUCGAAUGUAGAAAAUGGACUUCGGGAAGUGCUCCAAAAGUGUGAAAGAAGACUGCAGCUAGCUUUCCUCUGUUUUCUUCACUCUGUUUUUCCUCUCUCCAGUGCUCUUUCCUUGCAUACUUUGAACGACUUUGGCAAAGGGCUAUGGAGCUCCAAAGCUUGGUUCUUCAUGAAUUUGAGCUCUUCAUUGCUUUGCCAUGGAUUCCAAAUAACUCUCCUCAAUCUUGGAUUGUUUUGGUGAUCAAAUUACUAACAAAAACACCAAAACUUACACAAUUUGAUAAGAAAUGAUUGCAAGGGUCCUUAACAUGUUAAUUGGGUUAAAAGGCAAUAACUACUACUCAAAAGUGUUUAAAAGGAUUAAUUACAAGCUAUCAAAUAGCACUUUUUGAGUAGUAAUCACUCCCCCCAACCGACAUAUUGCUAGUCCCUUAGCAAUGAAGGAGAGAAAAAUAAAAAUAAACAAUACUAUAAUUUACAACAUCAUGCUGAUCAAAAAACAAUUUUCAAGUGGCAUGAUGAUCUAACUCUCACAUGGAACAUUAAAGAAAUAAAACUCAAACUUCAACAAGAGUUAUCAAAUAACUUGUCUAAUCACAAUUCUUAAAGAGAAGGCAUUAUGCAAAUUUAAGCUUUAAAAUCAUUUCCACUUCCAAAGGAUCAAACCUUACUCUUCCACAAAAAUCUAAGUGUUAUUUAUUAGCUUCCGAAUAUAGUAUGUUGAACUAAUCUCUCCCCCUCAACCUAGUUCUUUUUCAAAGCUUAGCAAACUAAUCAACCUCCAAUAGGCUAAGAACGCACCUCUUUUUUCAUAAUUUUUUUCAUUGUAGGAGUACAAGGCUUAAAGGUAUUCUUUUCUAAAUUGUCCAUGUAACGGGGGUCCAUCGAUGACUCCCAACCAAUUAAGGUUUAGGGCAUCAAGCUUUAAGGAUCUUUCAACCACUAACUCCUCGGAUUUUACCCCGGACUUUUGAGAAUGAAUUUUUAAUACCCAAGCACCUACAGUAUGUUAAACUCCACCUAUUCACCCUUGUAACGAGCAUUGAGGUCGGUGACUCCCAACCAAUGAAGGCUUAGGGCACCAGGUUUUAAAGAUUUUCACCAUAUACCCCUCAGACCUUGCUCGGGUUUCAAGGCAAGCAAACAUUUUUUUUUUUUUUUUUUCAAAGACUCAUUGGCCUUUUAUAAGGUGUCCCAACACUAUUAAAUGAGGUCAAAGGUACCAAGUCUAAAAUUUUCCUAAGUCAAGAGGGAAAUAGUUUUUCAUCUUAUACUCGGAACCUAUUGUGCACAGUGUGUGGAUAGCUUAAAGUGGAAGAACUAAGGUUGACUUCAAUAGAAGUUUCAACAAUUCAUCAACUUUAAUAAGCAUAAUACAAAAUCUAAGUCAAGUAAAAAGACAAAAAUUCAAUUUCUCCAAUUUUAGUUUGAAAAUUUUUCCUUAAUAACCAUGGAGAGUAGAAUAAAAACUUUAAAAUUUUUUUAAAUUAAGCAAAAAACAACUAAAUUACCAAAAUAACUUAGCAUUAUUAACAAUACUUACUUCCUCAACUCUCCCCCCAACCAAGCUGAACAUUGUCCUCAAUGUGACAAAAGCGAUUGAAAAAUAGGGAGGAAGUGGUACCUCUUGAGUGACAUGGAGUCUGAGUUGUAUAGGAGAAACCACAUGUUUCAAAGAAAACAUAAGAGUUAGUGAGUAGAAGAAAUAGAAAAAUGCCAAGUUUAAACAAAAAUGAUGUCUAUGUAUGAUGUAUCAUCAGUAACACAUCCAAUUCCAAAAUAUAAGACAUCAAAACAUGGAAUUAUCUAUACUAAUAUAAUAUGUAAAGACAAAAAUAAAGAGAUGAUCAAGCAAUGGUAAGGUCCUGUGGAGCUGAUGCAUCUAUGGUGGCCUCUUGAGUGGGUUGGAUAAGGACUUUGACCUCUGUUCUGGUAGUCUCCUUAGGUGGCAUAGUCUCCUCAACUGGAGCUCUCAGUUGGUAGCUAUGGGAUUUGAUGGUUUAAGGAGGUAAGAAAUGGAGUGAGAGGCUUGGUGUGUGUGAUCCCAGGGUAUGCAGGGCUCUCCUUUUCAGAUGCAUGUUUGCAGGGCUCUAUUGGCAUUUUAGUAACUUCCCUUGGCUUUGCAAAGUGUUUUUGCAAAUCACCCUCCAUUUCACAAGUCAAUUUUGCAAUUUAAAGUCCAUUUUGAAGCUUGGAGGUGAUUUCACAGCCCUUUCGAAGCUUGGAGAUCAUUUCGCAGAAAAGUGGCAUGUUCACUGACCAUUUUUGAAGCUUGGAGCAUUUUCGCAGCCAUUCUGAAGCUUGGAGAUCAUUUUGCAGAAAAGUGGCAUUUUCGCAGACCAUUUUUGAAGCUUGGAGCAUUUUCGCAGCCAUUUCGAAGUUUGGAGAUCAUUUCACAGGCAAUGGGCAAUUCCGCAGCCCAUUUCUGAAGCUUGGAGCAUUUUCGCAGCGGGGGGUGGAUUUCACAGAGGAGGGGAAUUCUCGCAGCCCAUUUCGUAGCUUAAAAGUAAUUUCAUAGCUCAAAGGUGAUUUCGCAGCCAUAUCGCAGCUUCAAAAUGAGGGGAACUGUGCUGCAAAUGGCACUCGUGUGCCAAAAAGUGGUUUCGUAGCUGCGAAACACCCUUCCAAAUGGCGUCUCGGCUGCGAAAUUCCCGUUCAGCUUUGCGCGCUUGUCUUCAAAUGACCAUAACUUCUUUAUUUCAAAUCCAAAUCGAGUACCGUUUGAAGCUAUGGACUCCUGACUUCCCAAGAUUUGAAACGAGAUAUCAUAUGCAUAAUUUGAGCUCCAGGAAGUGCUUCAAAAAUGUGUCCAACAGUAGCAAAAUUGAGGUGCGACAUUUCCGCUCAUGGUUUGCACAGUCAUCUUCAAACAGCCAUAACUUUUCUGUUUCAAAUCCAAAUCGAGCACCAUUUGAAGAUAUGGACUCCUGACUUCCCAAGCUUUCCAACGAGAUAUUGCAUGCAUAAUUUGAACUUCGGGAAGUGAUCGAGAUGUGCCCAACAAUUGCCAAAAUGAGGGUGCGGCUGUGAAAUUGGGAUUUUUCAAUUUUGGGUUUCGCAGCCAUUUUCGCAGCUGCGAAAUGGCACUCGUGUGCCAAAACCAGCUUCGCAAUUGCGAAAUACCCUGCGGAAUGGGGCUUUGGCUGCCAAAAAAAAUGAAUUUUUUUUUUUUUUUUUUUUUUGGUUUCGCAGCCAUUUUCGCAGCUGCGAAAUGAGGGUUACUGUGCUGCGAAAUGGCACUCGUGUGCCAAAAGUUGGCUUCGCAGCUGCCAAACACCCUUCCAAAUGGAGCUUUCCCUACGAAAUGGAGGAUUUCAUGCUUUGGUGGUUCGCAGCCGCUUUCGCAGCUGCGAAAUGGGGGCUCCUGUGCUGCGAAGUGGCACUCAUAUGCCAAAAUUGGUUUUGCAGCUGCCAAAAUUUUCGCAAAGAGGGCUAUUGGGUUGCGAACUGGUUUCGCAGCAAAAUUUCGAUUUCGUAGAGGCUGCGAUAUCUCGCAGACCCCUGUUUUUCCCCUAUUUCUCCCCUGUUUUCGCUCCGUUUGACUCCGAUUUUGCUCCGAUUUUUUUCCUUCAAUUUCUUUGCAAUUCCUCUUGAUUUUGAUCAUCCAAAAACCUAUAUUACAUCAAAACAAACUAGAAUUAAAACAUUUAAAUCAAAAUUAAAGCAUUGAAAUCAAAAUUAAAACAAGUAAAAAAAAAACAAAACAAAAAGAUAUGGACUAGCUAGUCUUUAAAAAGACUAAGUCCAUCAAAAAAUUUGCUCCUGAUUUAGCUUGCCCGGAUCCCAUAUGAAGCUUGCAUCUCUCACUUGGGGCUUUCUCUGUAUGAUUUUCUCAUACAAAGCUUGGAGAAAAGUUAGAGGCACGUGUUUCAUCAUCAAUUCUUCCUUGAUGACUAUCCUCUGUGGUUCUUCAUCUAUAUAGUCAUCUUUCUCUGUACUUUUCCCCUUUUUCUUUCCUUUGAUUUCCUCCCUCUUUUCUUUCUCUGUUUCACUAUCUACCUUAUGCUCUAGCUUGCAUGUGGGCAGAUCAACCUCUUUACCACUCCUCAGAGUGAUCACUUCUUCAAUUUCCUUCACCAUUGAAGAUUCUCCCUCUUUAGUCUCCAUUUCAUGGAUACUCAUGGAAUUUUGAUAAGGUUGAGAAGGAGAGUUUUCUUUCUCUUGCAUUGUUUUGAGGUUGGCAAACCUUGAGAUUGAAUCUUGGAGAAUAUCUAACUUCUGAGCCAUAUCAUUUUGCAUUACAUCCAUCCUUUAUUCAAAGUACUCUCCAUUCUGUCAAUUCUUUGAUUGAUUUGAGCAUUGAUGGCUUCUUGCUUUCCAAUAAAAUCUCCCACGACCUUGCAAAGAUUCACCAUAGCUUGUUCAAGGAUUGAGGCUUGCUGUGGUGCUUGAGCAGGUUGCUGAUACUGAGGUGGCUGUGGUUUCCAAGAGAAAUUUGGAUGGUCCCUCCAAUUGGAAUUGUGGGUGUUGCAAUCACCAAACAUUUCCCUCUCGGAUGGAAUGGUAGGACACUCAUCCACCAAGUGCUCAUAUGAUCGACAAAUGGCACAAGGCAUAGCUUGCAAUGGUGUUUAAAAGAUGGUUUGCACUUCUUGCAUCUGGUUCAUUUCUAGCUCAUCCAAUCUCCUUUCCAUAGCUGCAAUCUCUGCCUUCAUGUCCAUGCCGUCAUUCAAAAUAUACAUCUCACCCUUAGCUUUAGGUUGAGACGUCAUUCUUCCCAUAUCUCUAGCAUUUGGUUCAUCCCAUCCUCUUGAAAAUUCAGCCACAUAACUCAUGAAGUUCAUGGCUUCCUCUGCUAUGUGGUUCAAUAUGGCAUGCACAACUAGCAAUUUGUGAUUUAAAAACAGAGAACACAAAAGAAAACAAAAGAAAAACAAUUCAAAGAAAGAAAAUUAAGGUAAACUAAAGACUAAAUAAAAGGUAUACUAAAAUAUGAACAACAAAGAAAUAAAAAGGGUUAGUGAAAGGAAAAGAAAAGUCACCAAACUUGUGAUGAAGAUCACAAGUACUCUAGAAAGGUGCAUUGUAAAGUGGCACCAUCCCCGGCAACAGCGCCAUUUGAUUCGUGCCCACUUGGUGUCUCAGCUGAUUCGUGUCCAGCUGGUGCUCCUUGAUUGAGGGAGUAAUCAACAAAAUUUAUAACCUAUUACACCAUGAACUAGGGUAGCAAAGACAAAGCUACUAUAGCAUAGUGGCUCUAGGAUCGUUCACUGGGAUGGGUUUUCACUUCACAAAUGAUAUCAAUUCAAAGCUGAAUUGGUGCCUUUUCAUUUCAAGGUUAGCUUUAAAAGAAAACAUAAAGAUGUUUAAAUGAAAAAGGUUUGGUUUUAAGCUAACAAAAAAUAGUAACUAAUUUUAACUACAAAGAAAAGUGUUUCUUGGAGUUCAGAUCACUAGGCUCGUUCCUCAUACAAAAUGGAGAGUUCCGGUCACUUGUUUAUUUUCCUCGCAUUAGAGAAUUAACAUAUAGUUAAUUCUCUAACCGGUGUUGUACAGAUGCUUCCCAUUAAUGGGUUCAAUCACUAAAUCCCUCUCACUGAUGCAUCUUACAAUGACUCAUACCUCUCACCUAGCACUUGCCAUUCAAGGUGAUCUUUAACCUUGGAUUACCCGUCAAAAGCUUGCAAGAGAUAACUAAUGGAUGUCUCCUUGGAGUCCAAAAGCUUACCAAGUGUUGGCUAUUCUAGAAAAUCCUACCUUCAAGUCACCUCCCAAAGGCUCGCAAGGGGUAAACUAGUGCAUUUCCAUGGUUGGAAAUCACUUGCCUUACCAAGUGUUGGCCCAGGUGAUUUAAAGGCGUUUUAAGUUAACUAAAAACAUAGAAAUCACUAACGGGUCACACUUUCUCUUCAUUAAAAACUAAAACAACAAAACUUCCAAAUUAUGCAUGUGGAAACUUACCCGGCUUUCCUCACUCCAAGAGACAAAAAGCUUAGCCUCUCAUCCUCUGUGGAAAAAUCCUCAAAGUUUGGUUGGCUAGAAAUAAAAAUAAAUGAAAAAUGAAAGAGAAGGAAAAACAGAGCAAGACUCUGUAUAUUCUAUAUAUGAUAUAUGAUUACAGUGGAUGCAAAGGAAUUUAUAUAGAGAUGUUUUUCCAACCUUCCUAACUAAGAAAUCUUAUGGUUCGUGGCUUACAAGGAGAAGAAUGGAAAUUUAUACAAAAAUAUCUGAAGAAAAAUAUCCAAAAGAGUCGGUGCAAAAAUAUCGGGAAGCUCCAGGAACAUUUCGCAGGUGAAAAUGGUGUCUGCGAGAUUUCGCAGACACUCAAGAGGGCUGCGAAAUAUUUUCGCAUCAACAAGUUAUUCUCGUAGGGCUGUGAAGUUGGCUUCCACCUUGAUGUUCUCAGCUUCCAGCUUGCGGCAUAUAUCGGGCAACUUCAGGAGGAAUUCCAUAGCACUGUACAAAAAGGCUGUGAAAUUCUCGCAACAAAAGGCUGAUUUCGCAACACUUUGGAGUGAUCUGCUUGCAAUGGCUGUAACUCCUUCGUUUCAACUCCGAAUCACGCACCGUUUGAAGCAUUGGAUUCUUGACUUCCUGAUCUUUGAAAUGGUAUAUAGAAUGUAGAAAAUGGACUUCGGUAAGUUCUCCAAAAGUGUGAAAGAAGACUGCAGCUAGCUUUCCUCUGUUUUCUUCACUCUGUUUUUCCUCUCUCCAGUGCUCUUUCCUUGCAUACUUUGAACGACUUUGGCAAAGGGCUAUGGAGCUCCAAAGCUUGGUUCUUCAUGAAUUUGAGCUCUUCAUUGCUUUGCCAUGGAUUCCAAAUAACUCUCCUCAAUCUUGGAUUGUUUUGGUGAUCAAAUUACUAACAAAAACACCAAAACUUACACAAUUUGAUUAGAAAUGAUUGCAAGGGUCCUUAACAAGUUAAUUGGGUUAAAAGGCAAUAACUACUACUCAAAAGUGUUUAAAAGGAUUAAUUACAAGCUAUCAAAUAGCACUUUUUGAGUAGUAAUCACCUAUAAUUAGUGGUCGUUCUACCAUCAUUGUUCAUAAAUCGUGGUUACAAGCACAUCAUUAUCUAUUAGAGAAUACAACUAUCGUCCAACCAUACACUGAGUAAGAAAAACAUACCUUUAUCUUUUUAUAAUUUCAUAACAUAAUGAUGAAAUCCUAAGUUUGCAUUCCUUGUCUUUAACGUCAUAGGGAACACAUGAAUUGGUUGAGGUCUCAAUACCCUCGACAAUCUAAUAGACAAAUUUGGUUGCAAGAAGAACAUAUGAGUUGUUUUACAUAUUGGCUUAAAGAAACGGUAAUCUCUUAGUUUUUAGAAAAAUUUUCAAUAUGUUGAAAACAUCACAAGUUUUCAAUAUGUUUUGAUUAUACAUAGGUUGAAGAGGCUAUCCAUAAUGGGCAAGAUAUUCCCGACACACUUAGGUGGUUAGCACAUGGCCCUACUCUCCAGGUAGUCAAAUAUCCUAGAUAUAUCGUUAAUGAGUGUCGUUACCAUAUUAAGAAACGCGAUAUGACAUGCAUCACCCAAAAUAGUGGUGUUAGCAUUUUAGCAAGGACUAUGCAAAUUGCCAAUUCUAAGGAUAAGAACCUAGUUUGUGGUGAACUUUGCUUUUAUGGGGUCAUUAAUGAGAUAUGAAAUCUUGAUUACAACAUGUUCACAAUUCUAAUUUUCAAGUGUGAUUAGGUUGACAACAAGAAUGGUAUAAAAGUUGAUGAACUUAGGUUCACAUUAGUUGACUUCUCCAAAAUAGGUCACAAAUUGGAUCCAUUUAUUUUAGCAUCACAAGCCAAGCAAAUCUUCUAUGUUGAAGAUCAACUUGAUCCUAAAUGGUCAAUAGUUCUCUCAAUUCCUCCAAAAGAUUUCAAGAACAUAGAAGGACUAGAUGACUUCACCAAUAAUUGCAUGGAACAUCACCCCUUUAUAAGUUCAAUGCCAGAAUUUGAAUCAUUUGAUGCUAUGGAUGAAUCAUAGGCAAUACACAUGAGAGAAAACUGUGAGGGCAUAUGGAUUGAAAAUAAUUAAAUAACAUAUUGUACCCUUGAAUGAGAUAUAAUAAGGCAUUUCACUUAUUAGUUUUCAUGAGUUGCACAUUAACUUAGCUUCUAUAUAUUGCUCAUGAUAUAUCUAUAUAUAUUAAUCAUCCUAAAUUUCUUUCAUGCAUCAUAAACAUAUGUUAUUCAAAGGUACCACUUCAAUCUUCAUUCAACUAUCUUUUUGUUGUCCAUAGAACUAGAUUUAUAUUAUUUUUUAUUAUCAUGUUUUGAUUUUAUGCUCACAUAACUUGAAACUCUCAUUCCUAAAUUUCUUUUUCAUUAAAACUAUAAAUCAUAAUUGAAACUAUGCACUAAUUUAUUUUAUUAUUAUCCUCACAAAUAAAUUCUUCAUUAUUGAUAAGAAAUCAAAAAACAAGACAAACUUUGAAAGAAAAUUUCAAAAAAUAUAUUUGUGAAUGACCAAUUUAAUUAUAGAAAAUAUAUGCAAGGCUAUACUAAUCUUGCUUUUGAGUCAUUUUACAGGUUUGUUGGUGAAGUACUAGUUUGCACAUUUACUUGAUAUCUUCCACACAAAUAUGGAUCUAGAAGAAGGGGAAAUGCCAAAAAUAAAGCAUAGAGGUAGUGCAUUGAAACCAAAGAUUGCAAAAAAUCGAAGUAAAGGGAUAAAGCUCAAGAUUGAAUACAAUAGCCUUGGUAGUCACAUUGAGGAAAAUUCAGUUAAACUAAGUAGUUAUCUUAGUACAAUAACUAGUACCCAUGUGCCAAUAAUUAUUGAGAGUUGGAGGAAAGUCCCUAAAGAGACUAAGGAGAAGUUGUGGGAUUUGAUCACGGUAAGCCUAUCUAUAGCUUUAAUAUAUAAUUAUUGUAUACAUUCAUUAACAUGAGCUAACAUGGGUUGCUAUUUUGUAGACAAGCUUUAAUGUGAAUAAAAAAUCCAAGAGGAAUUGUUUCAUACUAAUGGGCAUCAGGUUUCGAACCUUUAAGUAUAAGUUGACAAAGAAAUAUAUAUUGUCUUUCAAGAAUGACCAAAAAAGCUGAAAAAGUCACCUCCUAUUUGCCCAUUCAUACAAGAGGAUCAUUGGAGACAGUUUGUUAAAGAUAGACUUUUUGAACAUUUUAACGUUAAGCAUUAUUUUUAUUACAUCUUCAAUUUUCACAUUUACAUAGUUUCAUUAUGUACUAAUUUUGUGUCUAUAUUUUGUAGGAAUAUCGCAAAGUUCAAAAAUCAAGAAGAGAUAAACACAUUUACAAUCAUUAUCUUGGAAGAAAAUGAUAUGCACGUUUUGAGCAAGAUAUAGUAAGUUAUCAAUAUCCAUAAAAAAAAUGGAGUAUAUAUUUUGUUUAUAGGAAAAUGAUUCUAGUUUUUAAAUAUCAUUUAUUAACUUGAUCAUGUUGAACUAAUGAGUUUUAUUGUUAAAAAUUUUAUAGCUACAAGCAGAAGGGGCUAUUGGUAGGGUUGAUAGAAGUGUUUAUGAAAGAAAACACGUGAGAAGAAAGGAAAGUUUAAUAAGAUUACAAAGCUAAUGAUUAACUAAGUUAGCAUAUUUAUCUCUUUUAGAGCCUAUAAUGUUAGUAUGUCUAUGUGAUUAUGGUUUAGGAUGAUAUCGUUAGGUGUUAAUAGGGAAGAGGCUUAAUGCUAUCAUUUUUAUGAGUAGUCAUGUUCUAUUAGUGCAAAUAUAGUAGCCUAAUUUGAAAAUUAAUUUUGAAACAAUAUACAUUAAUUUAUCUAUUAUCAUUUUUAUUAAAACAAUUCAUUUUCUAGCUACCUUGAAUUGGUCCUCUUGAAUUGGUUGUCUUUGAUUGAUAUGUUAAUCAUCUUCAUCAAAUUAUUACUAAUAUAUGUUUUGUUGUAGGAUGAAUUACUAGAAAAGGCAAGGAGACUGGACUACCUCCACCUGGUCCAAAUGACAUAUUAUGUCAGGCAUUGGGUAAGCUUGAUCAUCUAGGACGUGUGGUAGGUCAAGACCACUUGGUUAGGCCGAACUCAUACUUUCAUCAACCAUUUGAUGACAUGAAAAAAAAUAAUCAAAGAAGAAAUAUGGGAAAUGGUGUGAAAGGGGAUGCAAAAUGCUGUAACAAGACAAACUAUGUCUCCUCCCACACCCCAUUCUGAUAUAGGUAGUAAUAACAUGAGACAACAACUUGUUUUACAACUAGUUGUAGCAAAAAAACCAAUGUUUAAAAUGAUGGAAGAGCCCUAACCACCAGAACCACCACUGAAACGUAAGGUAUACAUUUACUUACUAAUAAUACAAGAUUAAUAUAAGUGAUAUAUAGCCUAUGUAAAUGAUAUUAUUUGUUGUAUUAAAGGUGAUUAAAUAUAAAUUAGCAGUGGAAUGAAAAUGAAAUGUUGUUGCAACCAGUACAUUAAUAGAAGAAAAUUGAUCAAAUGGGUUGGUCGUAAUAAAUGUUGCACACAAGCUAGAUGCUAGACUCCCAUUUCCAAAUCCAUAUGAGAUUAUCAAUGUUGGGGAUUCUAUUGGCCUUAAGCUUGACUGGCCAACAAGCCUUGUCAUACUUGAAACUAAACAUCCUCGGGUAUGUCAUUUUAUACUUGUAGUAAAUUUGAUUGUAACUUGGUAUUUUAUUGUUUAGGAGUAUAUAUUACUAACAUUCCUUCAUUUUUCAUAAGUGUUGGAUAAAGGAAAGAAGUAGAUAGUGAAUGCACCAAUUAUUCGAAAAUCUAAGCCUCAAAAUUAUUCGGUCAUUAAAAAUUUUCAGAAAUUUAUGGAUGGUUGUCUUAGUAAUGAGAAGACAUACCCAAUACAACUCCCCAUUUCACUAUUUGGUGUCGAAUUCCGAACAUAUAUAUCUAGAGAGGAUUGUGAAUACAUUAUUUCAUCUUCAGAGGUGUCAUCAAAAUGCAUCUCCUUCCACUUAUGGUGUGCACCUUUUAUUUUCAUUUGUUUUUAUUUUUUUAAUAUGAGUUGCCCAUGUUGAACAAGAUUGGAUAUGACUAAUGAUAAUUUUCUUUUGGUGUUUUGAUAAUAUAAUAGGUACAUGCAUGAUCAACUACAUAUUGCCAAAAAGGAAUCACAAUUUAUAUUUGUUAAUCCUUUUACAAUAUCAUGAGCAGGCUUUAGUAAUCCUCAAACAGAGAAAAGAACACAAUUGUUGUCAAAACACUUAAUAGAGUGCCAAGAUGUCGGAUAUGUUUUCAUGCCCUACAACCCCGAGUAAGUGACGAAUAUUAUACUUUAAUUUGAGGUUUUAUGAUUGAUUUAUAUUUAUAAUUAGAUGCUACUUUUGUUUUUAAUGUUUUAGCUUUCAUUGGGUCUUGGUAGUGAUUGAGCCAAGGAAAAUGAUAGUCCACUAUCUUGACCCUAUGCAUCACAAACCAUGUGAGGACUUAAAGGAUAUCGUAAACAUGUAAGUUCUUCCUAUUAUUUUUCAUAGUAUUAUUUUAAAAAAAAUUACAUUCACCUCAAACACAUUUUUUAUUGUUAUUUCUAUAUAUUAAAACAUAUAAUAUUUACCUAUUUUAAAAUUGUACCCAUUGAACUUAUUUACAUAGGGCUCUUUAAAUAUAUGCAAAGAAAAUAUCUAAGAGAGAGCCAUCUUGGCAACUAGUGCAAGUAACAUCCAAAAAUUUUCUUUACACAUUUAGCUUAUGCAUUUGCACCAUUUAUAUAUAUGAGUACUAAUGUUAUUUUAUAACUGAUCGAUUAGUGUCCAAGACAAGAAGGAGGGUUCAAAUGUGACUACUUUGUUAUGAGAUUCAUUAAAGAGAUAAUUUUUUAUCCUACAAUGAUUGCUUCAAAGGUAUUACUUAUUUAAUGACUUGUACAUAUUUUUAGGCUUCCAAAUGUUAUGCAUUUUAAUGUUAUUUUCUUAUUUGAUUUCAGUUUGGUGAUAAAAAAAACAUAUUAUCAAGUAGAAUUCAAUGAAAUUAGAGGAGAAUUGACUACUUUUGUGCUACAACUAAUCAUGAAUCAUGUUGAUGCAUCAUGAUCACCAUGCAUGGUGAGUCCCUUAGCUACUACAUGAAUUUUUCCAUAGAUUAUAGUAUUGCUUUUCUUUGAACAAUGUUUUUAUUUGAAAAAAAGAAAAAAAAAAGUUCUUAGAUUUGUUCAUUUAUGAUAACAUCGAUCCAUAUUUAUUUUCUUCAAUNNNNNNNNNNNNNNNNNNNNNNNNNNNNNNNNNNNNNNNNNNNNNNNNNNNNNNNNNNNNNNNNNNNNNNNNNNNNNNNNNNNNNNNNNNNNNNNNNNNNGGUAUACACUCUUAGGAGGGUGGAAUAGAGAAUAAAAAGAACAAAGAAGGCAACAAGAUUUUGGGUUUUUAAAUGCAGCUCGUAUGUCAUACAUUGUAGGACAUAAACGUUACUUUAAUUGGUAGUGAGAAUUUUAGAUUUUUAGAUGCUACUUUUAUGUCAUUUUAUAGUUAGUCGGUUUUAUGCUUAUGAAAUGAAGGUAUACAUGAAUCUUGGGAUGCUUAACAUUACUAGAUCAUGUUUUGGUAUGUAUUCACUCUUCUUUUUUAGUUUUGGUGGGUUUGAUAUAUUGGAUGUACUAUCUUUUUGUGAACAUUUGAUAUACAAAUAUUAUUAGAUGAUCAAUGUAUUACGAGUUAUUCCAUAAACAUUACUGAAAAAUGAGUUAAAUGUAAUAUGAUUGUUAUAUUUAUGGACAAAAUAUACACAGGUUAAUCCUAUUUGUUAAUUCAUAAGCAUUACAAAAAUCUACAACUAAAAGCAAUCAUAUCUUCCAUGAUAAUUUACAAUGAUGUGACACCAUAACUCAAAGGUGAUGCAUUUAAUGUGACAUCAUAACUCAAAGAUCAUGCAUUUAAUGCGACAUCCUAUCAUCACUAGAAAUAUAUGAUGUCACUUUCGAAUGCGUUACCAUUUAUCUACUUUGGUGUCACUUACAAAUACGUCACCAAUUGGUACCCUCUAUGGUGUCAGUGGAGAAGGUGACACUAUGUUGUAGUGACACCCUAUGUUUAUGGUGACUCGUUAUAAAUGUCACCAUAUAUCUUUUUUCUUGUAGUGCAAAUUACUUAUCUUACUAUGCAUUGGGCUUUGAUAUUAGCCAGAGACAGUAGUGGCUCCUAAUUUUUAUCCUUAACUGAAAUGAAAACGUUAAGCAGGUCCCCAGCCUCUUUUUCGCCAUUCUUCCACUAUUCUACUAUUUGGUCCAUGAUUGGAUCAUGGUACUUGUUAAUGGUGUUCAUAGCCUCCCAUAUAGUCUUUUCAUGGCCAUCUAAAUUCAGCACUCUCUGCCAUGGGAAGUAAUCAGAUAAAGAGAAUACAUAUAGAUGAGCAAGUAUAGUAAAGAAGGAUUCAACAUGUUGCUCCACUUCAACUCUAGGGCCUCCAUCUUUCUUUCGUUCGCCAAAGUAUCUUGUGUUGAGGAUCAUCUUUCAGAUGACAUUCCCGUUGUAUUGACGGACUUUAUUUCUGUCACACCCCAAAUACUAGGCAACCCAGAACUUGACUCGUGGCCCUAGGUCAAAGGUUUGACCCUAAGAGUUACUCUUAUCCAUGUUGGCAAUCAAUCAAAACACCCUAGAUUUUUUUUCUUUUCAAUAAAGCGUUUAAUCCUAAAUAAAUUUAUUAAGCUAAGAUUUACUAUAACAUAUCAUUUUAUUUUUCCAAAACUAACCAUCACAUUAUCUCCUGUUCACAAGUAUUAAAAAAAUAAAAUUCCACCAAUCAUCUUCCUACCCAAAAGCUCAAAUAUUUACAAUAAUCUCUAAGUCAAAAAGAAUAUUUCCAAAAAUGUUUUACAAACUAAUAAAAUAUAAUUUAACUUAAAAAGGUCCAUAUAACUCAAAUUAGUAGAUGUCAAAAAGGUAAUUAAAAAAAAACAACAACCAUUAUUAUGGUUUUUUUGCUUUUUAGAACACUUCAUGAUCUUCUUAUGGUCCCUUAGAAACUAUAUCUGCAUCUAAAAAUUUUAGAAAAUAAAGGGAUGCACAUUUCCACGUUACUCUUUAGACCUAGACGAGUUAGAAAUUCUAGGUCAAUAAAACACAACCAUAUGCCAAAAUAUAAUAUUACAUUUACAUUAUACACACUAAAAGAAACCUCAACCAUACAAAUUUAAAUCAAUCAAAAUUAUCAUUUUCCUUAUUUAAUCAUAUGUUUAGCAUAUCAAUAAUUUUAAAUUUACAAAAUAAAUAAGUCACUUUAGUCUUGAAUAAUAUAUUCAAACAUACACUUGAUAAAUAAUACAAAUCAUUUUUCCAAAUGCAACCAUGAUACAAAUGCUUACACACAAUCGCGCAAUGCAAUAUCGUUCUCGGGCUUUCACCGAAGGAUAUGCAUUUAUACCCAAAUACACUCCCCAUUCGGAGUCUUCCUGGGAUAAACUUUUGAGUAUUUCACCCUAAGGAUCUCACUCCCUUCUUAACUCACCAUCUCUAGGGUCAUUCAAUUUCUUAUUUUUCUUUUCUUUUCAUUUUUGCCAUUUUUGGGGUCUUUUCAUUCUCAUUUCCAUUUCACACAACCAUUUCUUUAAUUUUUCUUUUUCUUCACACAAUCAUGAUGCAUAUGAAAUGCAAUUGAAUCAUAUUUUAACAUACAUAAUUUUCCAAGACAUAAUUUUAUUUACUCCCAUUAUGUUUCAUAAUUUCCAAUAAUCCACACAACGAUUUUUCUUCACUUUAAUCGUCACAAACAUAAAAGAAAAUUCACAAUUAAUUUGUAUAGCAUCAAAACAUAGUUUUAAACAUUGACCACAUAAAUUCUAUUUAUUCCCGACAUGCUUAAUAAUUUCCAAAUCCAAUAUAACCAUUUUUUUUCAAUUAAAUAAUCACACAUAUCCAAGAAAAUUCUCGCUAAUACAAAUAUCAACGAAAAUGUAAUUUAUGUCAUAAUUUAUUUGUCUCCAAUAAUUUCAAAAAUUUUGACACCCAUAUGACAAAUUUCCACAAUUAAGCCACCCCAACAUUUGGGAAAAAUUUUCCAAUAAUUCAAAUAUCAACAAAAACCCAAUUUAUAUCAUCAUUUUAUUUAUUUUUAAAAGCAUUAAUAAUUUUAAUAAUCAAUACAACACUUUUCCACAAUUAAGCCACCACAACAUUCUGGGAAAAUUUUCCAAUAAUUCAAAUAUUAACAAAACACAAUUAUACCUUAGUUUUUCUUAUCUCCAACAACAUCAAUAAUUCUUAGUACUCAAUACAACUAUUUUUAUUUUUUCAUAUUUAAUCUUCUCAAACAUUACCAAAAUUCCAAGAAAAAUCUAUAAAUCACGAAAUAAAAUUAUUCACAAUAAUAAUCACACUUCAAAUACUACAAAUAACAUCUAUUAUAUUUCAACAACACAAUAUAUAAAUUUUUUUGAAAGAAAAUAUUAAAUCAAAGUUUUAGGGUUAAAUCACCCUACCUUAAAUUUGAAAAUUUUAACCAUUAAAACUAAAACGGGACACCGUAGGAGUGUUCCUUGCAUUGAAUAGAAUAUCCUUCCAAAAUUUCAUGCGAAAUGGACGUCAUUUGGUAGGUCCACCAGCAUCCUAAAGCUGGCGACCCAUUUUUCCCACUCUUUGCUGAUGACUCCCCUACAUCUCUCACUCGAUUUCCUUUCUUCAUUUUCUUUUCUUCUUCUUCUUUUAAACUCCCACGCCAAUUUCACUUUAUAUAUAUAUAUAUAUAUAUAUAUAUAUUAUUAAAACAAAUCCUAAAAUACCACGCACAUCCAUUUCUCAAUAAAUUAAAACCAUUAUUCUUAAAUUCAUCUUCCGUAAUUAUGAAUUAUACCAAACUUAUGAUUUUCCAUUUCACGAAAAAUACCACCGUAUUCGUAAUUUAAUUUACUACAAGUCUACUCUUCAAAAAGUAUAAUUUGAUUAUAAUUACAUGAAACAUUGUUUUUUUACUCUAAAAUUCAUUUAAAACAUGAUAUAAUUAACUAUUAAAAAAAUUUAAUUCCAUAAAAUAUUAAAAACAUAAAAUAAUUUUUUGGCAAUCAAGAAGUUGAAAUUUGUAAUAACCUUUAACCUGUUAAUUUUACCUAUAUUUAUUUACCAACAAAAAUUUAAAUAAUAUUCUAAAAUUUAAUUCCAUAAAUUAAUUAGUCAUUCAAUUUAUAAAAAUCAAAUUCUCUACCCUUUGGUAUAACUUUUAUUUAAUUUACUUCAUUUUUCAAAUUAUUCAAUCGCAUCAAAAUUUCAAAAGUUAAAUUCACUAAAUUCACAUUUAAUUAAUUUAUCCUUUUGUAUUUUUUUUUUCUAAAUUCGCAUAUCAUAAUUUAAUCUUAAUUUAAUUUUGAUUCAAUUUUGUUUUAUGUUUUCUAAUUUUAUGAGGUUUAAUUUCAAUUAUAAAAAUUAAAUUCAAUUUCUUUUUAAUUAUCCAUUAUCACAAUUUGAUAUAAUAUAAUUUUUUAUCAAGUUUUUCUUACUACGAUUUUUCUUAUAAUUAUCCAAUGAUAAUUAAAUUAAUUCUCAUAACAUAUUUAAUAUUCAAAUUUUAAAAACUUAAUCUCAAUUAUUUGAUGGUUAAUUUUUUUCUCAAAAUCUAAAUUUAAUUUAUGAAAUUCUCACUUCUUACAUCUGACGUGGCAAAAUUUUCAAACUAUUGACUUUUGACCAACUUUUCCUAAAUUUAUCCUAAUUAAAUACUAACACAUGGAUUUUCACCACUCUUUUUGACCUUUUGACCCACAAAUUUAUGAAAGACUUUAUGCUUGGAGAAUCUACAAAAACCUGGGUAUUACAAUUUCUCAGGUUGAUAACUGUCGUGGUUACGAAGCCACCACUUGAAUCCUCAGUCGCCAUUGUAAUGGGCCUGGAUGCAAAUAGUACAUCAUGUUUCUUCAAAAGUUCUCUGCUAAUCUCUGGGAAAGUCGUAGGGACGAAAUGAAAUAUUUCCCAAUUGAAUACAUGCAAUUUUAGUGUUCAUUUCUUUCAUAAAGCCAAUGUAUCCACCAGAAAGUUGGCUUUUUGUUGAGUAAAUGAGGUAGAUAUUGCACUAGUGGCCAUGGAGCUAAUCCUGGAGGAAGUUGUAUCGGCUUGCUUUUGGUACUUGUUUUGGAAUUUAAUUUAGUGAAGAUGAGAAAGAUUGAUGUGAUGAAAAGCAAUAAGAGGAAGUUGAGAUGAGACAACACAUCGUCUGUGGUAGUAGAAGAAAACAAGGUUGAGUUACUGCUACUACUCUCUGCAACAAAACCAUUUACACGUCUUUUAUAGCAAAACCAUGUUUGUCCUAUCUUGGGUCUGGAUGCACAUUUUUAAUAUUGGGGAUCAUGCAACCAAAUGUCACACACAAAGAGAGAGAAAAAAAUACGUUUUUUAGAACUUGAAAAGGUAAAAUGGGACAAAAAAUAUUAUCCAUUCUUGAACUCUAAAAGUAAAGUUAUAAAAAGCUUAGGUGGUGUUUGUUUUUUUACUUAAUUCUAAAUAGAACCUUAAUGCUUAAUAGUGUUAAAUAUUAGGUUGUUUGUUUUUGUAGUAUUUUAUUUCUAUUAAGUAUUAAAAAGUAAAAAAACCAAUAUGUUAUUUUUUCUAUUAAGAAAAAGUUACAUAUUUUGACUUUUUCUAUUUAGUAAAAAGUUUAUAAUAAGUCAUGAAAAAGUAGAAAAACAAACAACUUAAAUUUUAAAACUAAAUUGCUUUCAGCAAAAAGCCAAAAAAACAAACACCACCUUAGUUUUUUUUUUUUUUUUUUUUUGUUAUGUAUGAUUACAUGAUUUCCCCCUUUUAAGAUUUUAUCUCAUAAAAUUUUUUUUCUAGAAGGUUCAAAUAAGUUUGAUGAAUAUUGUUUAUUUUAGUAAUUUUAAUUUUGUGGGGUACUUAAAACAUUAGAAGUUCACAAAAAGCAACAUUUAUCAGCUACCUAUCUAAAAAGCUUGGCCUAAUCAUUGAAAUCCAAAAUAUAAAGUGACAACACACUUUUUAAAGCAAUUUUCAAAAUAGUUUUCAAAAACACAUUUAUUUAUGAUAUUUUUAAAAUAAAAAUCUCAAAAAUAACUUGUUUAUAUAGCGUUUUAUUAGACAAAUACUUGAUCUUUAUAAGAUCACCCUAAUUAUAGAUUUAUGAACAUGUAACACAACAAUUAUCUAUAUAUAUACUUAGAAUUAUUAUAUUUUAAGUUUUUAACUACAUAGGACAUCGUGAGUUUUUCCACCAUUUAUCUUAUAAAAAGUUUAUUUAAAUAUGAUAAAGGAUAUAUUAUCUCAUUUCUUAUUAUAUCUGAUGCUAUAUAUAUAUAUAUAUAUGUAACAGAUCAAAUACAAUUUAAAGAUUUUAAUUAACCAUCUAUUAGCAACAAAGCAAUCUCUUAAUCUCAUUCAUAAUAUUAGGAUAAUUUAGUAUUUCCUUUUAUAAAACACUAGCAUAUAAAUCAACACAAAUCAUAUUAAGGGUGUAUUUGGUGUUGAUUUUAGGAAGCGUUUUUAGUAUUUCUAAUACUUGAAAGAUAAAAAUUUUCAAGUUUUAGAAAGAUCAAAAGCGCUUUUUAGAAUGACUAUCAAAUACAUGCUAAAUAUUACUUUUGGAUACUUAUAUUUUUAAAUAACUCUUAAAACUUUUAAGGCAAGUCUCUACUAUUUAUAUAAAUCCCCUAUUAUUUUUAAUUUUUAGAAACAAAAAAUAAAGAAUAGAAACUCCAUUUAAACAUCACCUUAUUAUUUCCUAUUAUAAAAUAACACAAAUCAAAUGAAUUAUUUAAAAAUAAAUAAAUAUAAAAUCAAAGUUGAAGAGAAAAAACUCUUGUGCAUUAAAAAAACAUCAAAAUAAAUAAAUAAAUAAAACAUCAUCAAAUAAAUGUAAAAAUAAAUUAAUGUUAUGGAAAAAUGAGAAUAGGCAACAAGAAAAUAAGAACACAGAUUUACAUGAAAAAUGCUAGACGGGAAAAACCAUGGAUAGAGGAGAAGAAAAUCCACUAUAUUAAAAAUUUGGUAUAAAAUGUGAGAGAAUCAAGCGACUAUUGUAUAGGCAUAAUCACUAUGACCCUAAAUCCUAUACAUCAUCGCAUAUGUAUGGUGUAUGCGAUAAUAUUUGUGAUAAUAAAAAUAUUGUCACAUAAAAUAACUAUGGGAUGUAAUAUUUGUAAUAAUAUUCUUUACAAAAAAAUAUUUUUUCUUUGCUUUAUUCACUUUGAUCACAACUUGAAAUAAGACAAUAAAAAUAUUUUCUUAAUUUUUGAAAAUUAAUUGAGGACUUAGAGCUACUUGUUACUGAGUGAAUUUGCUGAAUGGUGAAGAAUGCGUGUAUAGUAGUUUUGCAAUUUUUCAAACUUGUAGACAUAUUUUGUGAAGUCUUUUUCUCUUUGUAAAGCCCCAUUUUCUAUGUGAAGUUAUUUUUUCAAUAUUCUCUUUGGAAGGAAUUUACCAUUAGUUAUAUAGGUAAGAUUAAGGAAUUAAAUUUGGAAUUCUUAAGAUUUGAUUACUUAAUUCAAAGAAUUUGGUUCAAGGGAAAUUUGCCAACAAAAUAAUAUUUAAUUUUAAUUCUAUGAUGACUUUAAUUAUUUGAUAUAAUUUUAUUUUGAAAGACUUGAUGUGGGGGACUCAUCACUUAUUGAGUCCAAAUUUUGUUGCACCCAAAUUUUUAUGAGCUAAGAAACCAUAAUUUUAAAGACCAAUUCAGUGGUAAGUAAAUCUGCUAAAAUCUUCUAUGUACAAAUGACCUCACUUCAAGGUGCAACACAUACAUGUAUUAUUAUGUGUAUGGGAUGAGUCUUGAAGUUAGUCUUCAUUCUUCUUUGAUUUUUUUUUCUUCAAAUAAAUAAAUAAAACAUCAUCAAAUAAAUGUAAAAAUAAAAUAUGUAUCAGUUAAUUGGAGAGGAGAGCUUUAAGGGCAUUUCUUCUAUGAAAUUCUAUGCUCCACGUACCAUAAAUUUGUACUCAACCAACAAAAUUACAGAAUGGGUCCAUGCACAAACAAAAAUAACCCAAAUGUGAAUAUCUAAAAAUGUAUGAAGUUCACAAUAGAUAUUCAAGCCCAAAUUUAAAUUUCAAAUUAGUCCAACAGAUUUCAUUAAUCAAAAUGGGUCCAAAUUAGCAAAUAUAACCCAACAAAAAUAUCUCAUAUGUCAUAGGCCCUAAUUUAAAAUUUUCAAAUUAAUAGCCAAAAUAUAAGUUCAAUUAAUCAAACCCAAAACAUGAUAAAUUAAAAUAAAUCUCAUUAGGCCUAAACUUAAUAUCCCAUAAUUCAAGCCUAAUUUAAUAUAUAAACCUAAAUCCACAAUCAAAAUCAACCCAAUUUAUGCUAAUCCCGAUUUACAAUCAAAAUCAAACAUAAUUUAAUAAGUAAAUAACUAAAUAAAUUAAGCAAACUCAAAACACCCAAACCACUACAACAUAAAUCAAACAAUAAUAAAUAUAAUGACAACAAUAAUAAUAAUAAAUAAAAUAAAAUAAAAUAAAAUAAAAAUAAAAAAUUUAACUCACGUCGGAGCCAGUUUGAAUGUCUUAGGAAAGAAAGAAAAUGAGAGAAAAGUGAGAGAUGAUUGACAACUGACAGUGGCUCACUAGCGGCAACUGGUUAGUGGUCCUACCGAUGGUAGUGAGGAUUGAUUGGUUUUUGGGAAAAAAAAUAAAAUGAAGAAAAGAAAAUGAGAAGUAAUAAAAAAAAUGGAGAAAUGAGAGGAAGGUGGGAGAAGAAUGGAGAGAGAGAACGUAGAAAAUGAGUGAAAAGAAAUGAGGCUAGUUGGAGGAGAAAGUGGUAGUGUGUGAGCUAAAGUGAAGAAUAAUAGAAGAAGAAAAUGGAGAAGAAUGGGGAAAAAAAAAUCCGUCUCCCUAAAUGAAGAAAGGUGGGUAGCCUAAAGAAGAAGAAAAAAUAAAAUAAAAUAAAAUGGGGAGAAAAUGAGAGGGGGUCGGUGGUCUUGCGAAUGAGGUGGUAUGCGUUAGAGAGAGAGAGAGUGGGUGGGGUUGUUGGGGUUGUUGGGGAAGGUAUGAGAGAGAGAGGAGAGAGAAAAGAAAAAAAAGAAAGAAAAGAAAAAAGAUAAUAUAAAAUAAUAAUAAUAAUAAUAAAAUAAAAUAAUAUACAAAAUAAUAAAAACUAAUAAUUAAAUAGUGAGUGGGCAAAAAAUAUCAUAUGUAAUCAAGAUUUAAUUUUAAGAGUAAAAUUGGGUUAAAAAUUAAUGUAAAAUAAAAUUGGGAUAAAUUUUGGGGUAUACAAAUAUGCACCUCUUCAAUAGAGUCCACGAGUAAAGCAAGUGUAUAUGUGAGCAAAACAAAGUGGGCUCUACUGAAAAAUAAGAAAGACCACCAAAUUUGUCUUAAUAUGACAUGAACUCUCCCAAAUAAAAAAAAUAAAAAAUCUAAAACCCUACAAAAAUGGCCAAAAUGGAAACUCCUAAGGUGCCUCUAAAGUUAUACUAUGGAUCUAGACUCCCUUAGAAAAGCCUCCAAAAAUGGCCCAAAAAUCGGUGCCAAAAUCGAGUAGCAAUCAGACCACUAAGGAGCACAUGAACGAAUGCAUACAAAGGGAAAAAAACCAUACGUGUACCAUACGAUGACAAAAGGCAUAAGGUAUCCAACAAUAUGACUGAUUCACGUGUUACGAGCUUAAAGAACUUUGUCAUGCACCAUGGAGGAAGGGAAACUCUAGAAUAAUGUGAUGAGGAAGUUAUUAGCACAAUGUAACAGAGUGAGGAAAAAAGUGAUGAGUGCAAAGCUGUGAGGACAAAGUGCACAAUGCUAAUGAAUAUGAAAUGAAUAGCACUAGGCUAUAAUGCAAUGAAUAGCUCAGGGUUGUACCAUAAUGAACAAGUCAAGGAUGUGUAAAGAUGAGGAACAACUCAAGGUUGUAAUGCAAUGAACAACUUAGGGCUAUGAAUGCAAUGAACAGCUCAGCUCAAUGAAUGAAAUGAAUAGCUCAGGGCUGUGAAUGCAAUGAACAACUCGACGUUGUGGAUGUAAUGAACAACUCAUGGUCAUGGAUGCAAUGAACAGCUCAGGGCUAUAGAUGAACAACUCGGGGUUGUGGAUGUCAUGAACAACUCAAGAAUAGGGGCACUAUACACCCAAAAUGGGAGAUCACGGUCUACGAUUCCAAGUCAAACCACUAAAGGGUGACCAAAAUGAGGGUGAUCAACUCACUAAAAAAGAUGAUCAAAAUGUCUUAAGGGAGAGGAGAUGCCCCAGAUGAAACUUAAAGGAAAUGAGUAGUGCUAAUGAAACUAAAAAAAGAAAAAAUGUCACAACUGAAAUUGAAAAAAUAGCAAACUUAGAUUAAAGUGCAAUGAACAACUUUGGGCUGUUGCGAUGAGUAGUACCGUGUUGUAAUGAAAUGAAUAACUUUAAGAUAUGGGCAUUGUACGCCUAAAGAGGGAGAUAGUGGUUUACGACUCCAAGUCAAACCACUAAAGGACGACUAAAAUAAGAUGAUCAACUUACUAUAAAUGAUAAUGCAACUAUCUCGAGAAAAAGGGUAUGCCCCAAAUGACACUCAACAGUAAAAGAAUGACACAAAUGAAACUAAAACAAGAGGAUGCCACAAAUGAAACUGAAAUGAUAACAGACUCAGUACUAAUGUGUAAUGAACAACUUUGGACUAUGGAUGCAAUGACUAGCACUGGGUUGUAAUGAAAUGAACAACUCUAAGAUGUGGGCACUAUACCCCUAAGAAAUGAGAUCAUAGUUUACGACUCUAAGUCAAACCGCUAAAGGGCGACUAGAAUAGGAUAAUCAACUCACUAAAAAUGAGGAUGCAACUAUCUCGAGAAAGGGGGUAUGCCCUAAAUGACACUCAAUAGUAUAAGAAUGACAUAAAUGAAACUAAAAUAAGAGGAUGCCACAAAUAAAACUAAAAUGAUAACAAACUCAAAACUAAUGUGCAAUGAAUAACUCUAGGUUGUGGAUGCAAUGAACAACAUUGGGCUGUAAUGAAAUGAACAACUCUAAGAUGUGGGCACUAUACGCCUAAAGAGGGAAAUCACGGUCUACGACUCCAAGUCAAACCACUAAAGGGCGACUAGAAUAGGAUGAUCAACUCACUAAGAAUGAGAAUGCAACUAUCUUGAGAAAAGCGGGAUGCCCUAAAUGACACUCAAUAGUUAAAGGAUGACACAAAUGAAACUAAAACGAAAUGAUACUACAAAUGAAACUGAAAUGAUAAUAAAUUGAUAACUAAAGUGCAAUGAACAACUCUAGGCCGUGGAUGCAAUGGACAGCUCAAGAAUAGGGGAACUGUUCGCCCAAAAUGGGAGAUCGUGGUAUGCGACUCUAAGUCAAACCACUAAAGGGUGGCUAAAAUCAAAAUGAUCAACUCACUAAAAAUGAGGAUCUGAACAUCUCAAGAAAGGGGUUAUGCCCCAAAUGAAACUGACAAUAGAGGGAUGCCUUAAACAGACUGAAGAAAGAAGGAUGCCCUAAACAAAUUAACGAAAAAUGGAUGCCCUAAACAAACUGACGGAAGUGAAAUGCCCUAAAUAAACUGACCAAAGAAGAAUGCACUAAACAAACUCUGAGAAAAAAAAAAAAAGAAGUAUGCAAUAUAGAAUCAAAAACACCUAAAGCAAAAACAAGAAACAAAGAAUGUGGUUUACAACUAGAAACACCCAAAAGAACCUUAAAGAAGUAACUGGGAUAAUGAACUUAAUGAAAAUGGGGUAUGCCACAGUAAAAGACUCGGAAGUAUCAGCAAAUGGGUCAAACGACCAUGAAAUCAAUAGGAGAUAUGAUGAACCCAAAAAGGGCAUAUGCCCCAACAAAAGAACACUAAAAGGGGGGUAUGCCCCGAUAUGACGACUCACAAUAAUUAAGAAAUGGAUCGAGUAAUGAGAAAAUCUGCAAAAUAUCCUAUGAACUCAAAGAUGGGGGUAUGCCCCAGUGUAAAAUAGUGACCAACAUAAGACACAGAAUGUCACCAUACAAUACACUCUGGGAUAUGCUCAAUGUCAAUGUAAUGAAAACAAUAGCCUCAAUCAACAAAUGUUCAAGCAAGACCAUGCAUCACAUAAACUAAAAUAAUAGGCUAAACAAAUGCUAACCAAGUCUCUCAAUCUGAAAUGUAAGCAAGUCAAGACAUGACAUGCCAACCAUCGACAUGAAAACAUCAUCACAAAUACAUCAACAAACUAAUAGUCCCUACUAUCAUGGAAGAUGUAGAACCUAACGUCCAAAGGCAUGUGAAAACUCAACCAGAAAGCUCAAGACUAGUUUGCAUCCUCCUCUAAUAAAAAGAAUGAGAUAAGGUCAUGUAGGAUGAUGAAAUAGGCAAGCUCAAUAUUCGUUAGGCUCUACCAAGAUGGAUGUAGGUAUAAUAGUGUCAAAGGUAGGAUGUCUAGAUUUCCAACGAAGGAAACUGGGUAUCCAAGUCAAACCAAGUAUGUUGAGGAAACUGAACCCAUAGGACAAUAACUUUAUGAUCCAUUGAAAAUAGCAAUCAUGAAUAGAAGGUCGAGUCUCGAUGUCAAAAUCAACAAGGUGGCAUUGCCCCAGUAUGAAUACAUCUUCUCAAAAUGGGUAAACCUUUAGUGCAAGAUAAUCUCUAGAAAGUGUGUGUCUAGUAUAAACUGUCAUCUCACAAAAUUUAUCACUGAUGAGUGGGCUAUACCCCAGUGUAAGCAUUUCCAAAUCAAACAUCGAUGAGAGGAGUACAACCAAUCAUACAUAAUAUGAUCAAAACAAAUCUCCACUCCUCAAAGUCAUCAUGGUAACGUGAAAAGAGUAUCUAACCUCAUUUAAAGAAAGAUCAUGUCCCAAUGUGAAAAAUAUCAAGCAAAGUGGUAUGUCUCAACAAAAAUGCACUCUAACAUGAUCAUGCCUAGAUGUAAGCUGGUAUCUUUAAGAUCAAUCACCAAUGAAAGGGUUAUGCCCCAGUAUAGGGCAAUCUCUUAAAUGACUAAAAUCCGCUACAAGCUCUCACAAGUGUCUAUGUCAUGAACCAAUCAUCUCAAAAAAUAAAUAAAUAAAUAAAUCUAUCAACAAUGAUGAGAAGGUUAUGCUCCUAUAAUCACACCAAGAAAAUCACCCGGUCAUAUCUUGUACUCCAAUGUGAAAGGAAAAUAUGAUCACCUCCAAAGAAUGGCUAUGCCCCAAAAUACAUCAUCGAUUGAGAAAUAUGCCCCUACGUAAAGUACAUCAACUGAAAUAUGCCAAUCAUGCCUCAUGCUCCAAUGUGAAAAAUGACGUAUAAUCUUCUUUGAGGGAUGGUCAUGACUCAAAUCCAUCAUCAGUUGAGAGAAGUAUGCCCCGACAUAAUGGUCAUCUAAAAAAUCAAUCCCCGACUAAGAAAUAUGUGCCUUGAUGUGAUGUAUCAAGCAAAAUGGCUGCAUACCCCAUAAAAAACUCUCUAAGGUGGCUAUGCUCCAAUGUUGGAUCAUACCACAACUCCUGGUCUAUCACAAUCAAAAUGCUGUCCAACCAAUCCCAAGUAUCGCCCACAUGAGAGCUAUCAAACACAAUGUGUGAUGUCAUGGCCUCAAGGUGGUCUUAAGAUUCGGAACGUAACGUAGGCUAGGGUAAUAAGGUAAAGAAAUGAAGGAAAACUAGGCUUAAUAAUCCUAAUGAUAAAACCCCAUACCUUAUGUAUAAAAUGCAAUAUGUGCAAAGAGUCUCAUAAACCAUGGAUCUAAGGACACCCAAUAUGAAUAUAUCAGUGAGGAAGAAAGAAUCUAAGAUGAAUAUAUCAAUGAUAACAGAGAAGAAAUGAAGAAUAUUAAACUGUUGAUGGGAUGUAUAAGAAUGAUGUAUGGAAAAUAUUGAACAUGGAAUGUAAAUUGAUAUGAACAAAGAACAAUGUAGGCAAGGCAAAUGUGAUAUCAUGAUAAGAACAAAUAAAUCGAAGAAAAAUGAAUGAACACUAAUCCACUCAAAUCAAGUCAUGGAGAAUAGUCAAAUCACCAACGUAUGUAAUGAUGGAGAAGACAAUGAUUCAAAGUCCCUAGGAAAAUGUCACUUGUUUGUCACACAUAAAAUACAUAACGAGAUAGACACAAAAAUAUGAGAGUCUUUUGAAAGUUCACAUACGAACUUUCAUAAGCAACUAACUCAAUAAAGCAACCUCAAUGACCAAUAUAUACACUCAAUAAAGGAUGACACUGUAUACAUGUGUUUAUUACUUUUUCUUUUCAUUUUGUUUUUCAUUUUUUUCAUUUUUGUUUUCAUUUUUUUUCUUUUACUCGCGCAUACUCUGAAUAUCAAUAAAUGAACUUCUCUGAGAAUACAUAAUGAAAUGGAUAUACUCUCAAACAAUGAUGUCAGCGAACUCUCUCUGACAAGAUGACCCUCUAAAUUAAGGAUUUUCGAACUAACGUCCAUGAGAUAGGAGUGGAAGGGGAUAUGACCAUCCUUCCUGCACCGAAAUGUGAAAAAUCAUCACUCAGGGCACAAAAAAAUGUGAUGAAAAAAAAUAAAAAAAUGAAACAAAAGAUAUAAACAAUGAAGUAUGAUGAAGACUGAUGUUGGGAAGACAAAAAAAAUUGUGAAGAAGGUGAGCCAAUAAGUCCUCAACUCAUGAAACUCUCGAAUAAAAUAUAUAUACACCAAAAAACCCUUAUCCCGGUGUAAAAUGUGAGCAAGGAUAUAAGAAAGAAAAAACUAUGGUGCUCAUGUGAGGUUCAAAGGGCUAGCAACGGUCCAAAUGUCAAUAAAGGUAAUAGGGUGUGAGCUAACCAAAAUGAAGGCCACCUAUGAUGGUCUGAAACAUCAUGCUCUUAAGCUUUCAAUGAUCAAUACUGAAAAUCGAUGUCAACCCUUUGGAAUUGUGCGCCAAACCAUACUCCAAAUGCUCCAUAAUAAUCUCAAAGAUAAUCCUCUCAAAGCAAAGUAAAUAGCGAUCUCAUAAGGCACAACUACUCAUCACAAGCCAACUCUCAUCAUGCAAGAUCAAUCUCUAUUUUCAUGGAAAAAUAAGUGACAAUCUCAUCAGGCAAUCGACGAAUCCUCACAUCGUAAACCAACCAAAGAUCAUAAGUCAUUCAUUGCCAUGCAAGAUCAAUCCCAGGCUCAAACUCCUCAUACUCUACCUGGUUGGAUUAGAGAAGAAAUGGGCAAAGCUAGAAAAACUGAAGAUGGAAAGGUCAUAUAAUGGUGUCAAGGGUGAUGUUGUGCAAAACUCACAAUGAAUGGAUGUAGGUCAAAGAAAAGUCAAUGUGUGAGAGUGAGUAAGGCACUACUCUGAUCAUAAGAAGAUGGGUCACAAUCUCAAACUCCUAAGGUCAAAUCUUCGAUCCUAGGCUAAUAAGCUCAACAUCCUCCAUGAUAGGUCAACCCCCAAGAUCACAAUGUGCAAAUGAAUAGAUGCCUCAAGUCAAAAGUACAACACAUCAUAUGAUAUAUGGUCCUACGAUGACAAUCUAAAACUGGAAAUAUGUUAGAAACUCUAAGGUCAUAAAGGUGUCCACUGUGAGAUGACUACAAAUGUGACUAAGGAAUCUUUAUCAAUAAUCCAAAAAAUGAAUGAGGUGUGAAAAACAACACUAUCAUGAGAUCGAUACCCCAUCAAUAACAAAAUAUCUCUAAUUCACUUUCAAUCUAAGCUCUAUAAAGAAAAACGAUAAGGUUAUAAAGGCAAACCUCUCAAAAAUGGUGUGAAUGUGAAAACAUGUCUUCACCUUUCUAUAAUGAAAAUAUCAUGUUGAAAAUAGAAAUAGGCAAAUCAACCAAAGAAUGAAGCACGGAGCCCAUGACAAGUGAAGAAUGUAAAAAGGUGAACAUGAUCAAUGAACAUAUCCCAAAACAUUAAGCAUAAAGUGACAACAAACCGAAAGAAUGUGUCAAUUUAAGAAAAGAAGACUAUCUGAAGCCCUAGGGAGAAAGUGUGCUAGACUCAACGAGCGACAAGAAGAAACUAAAACCAUAUAGCAAGGGGUGGUCCAACUGAUACUCAAACUCGUACCAAUAUCUAAGCACUCUCGACUGGAGACCAAAAGAUGGAGUAUUGGAUCCAUAUUGUGACUAAAGUGGCCUCGAAGGCUCUCAGAUGCACCCACGUGUAGGAAAGGAAAUCCUAAUGAAAAUAUCUAAGGCUUAACCUACAAGGUCAAGGCGGCUCUCAAAAGAAAAUUUGAGUAGACUUUAAAGGAUCCCUAGCAAAAGCGAUCAUACCCUCCGAUGGUACACAACCUCCUACACGUCUUGAAAUAUACGGGAGUGAUUCCAUGCAAGGUGGUCAUCACCUCCACACAUGCACUAUCUCGUAUCCUAGAGGGUUUCCUAAUGAUGAAGACUCUUACAUCUCUCAACACUUAGUGGUAAUCUAAGGUGCACAGUGAACGGUGUGGGUUCAUCCAAAAAUCCUAUCAAGCUAAGCAAAGAGAAAAAACAUUGGUCACACAAAUAUCCUGAAAUCUAGCUCUAACCUAUACAAGUCUUCAAAGAUUAGACUCCAAUUAGCAUUAAUGUUUCGACCUUCUCUAGAAUGCUCCCAAACAUAGAUAUAGUCCAUCACUAAACCCUACUCCGAAUCACUAGCUCGGUCAAAGAGCAAACAAAGUAAUAAGUCUCAUAUCAAAUACGAGAUCAAGGGGAACAUGGUCACCCGAGACUAGGGAAUUGAAGGUAAGGGGAUAGAUGUGUGUCCCGCAUAGAAAAGCAACAUGCAUCACACAGAAGAAGAAUAGUCAUGCAAUAGACAACCAAGCAAAGAACAGGUAUAUCAUUCAUAUCUACACACAAGCUAAACAAGAAAUAGGUAUUUAACAAGAAUAAACAAUAUGUUGAGAUAAACAAGAUAAUAUACGAUAAAGAGAAUCAAUCACACCAAUAUGAAUGAGAUAUACAAAAAUGAGAAUAUACAUGUCAAGGAGAGCAAGAUAAUCAUACAACAAGAAGAGUCUUAUGUUAAAGCAAGCAAGAGAAUCAAUCGAUGUAGUCAACAUGUCAAUAUCUCAAAUGAACAUAACAACCAAAUAUGCAUCAUAAAGAAAAAAUGGUAAUCAUGCAGCACACAGUCAUACAAAACAAAUACAGACAAACAUAAGCAAAUAAAUGUAAACACACAUGAUAACAAAAAUCAAUGUAUAGUAAGGCACAUGCAAUAUAUACAUAAAAUAAUCAUCAAGUCAACACUCAUAUACCUUAAAACAUGAAAAUAUACAAUAAAGACACAACGAGAGGGUAUUCACUGAUCGAUUAAUCAAACGCUACAUUUCCCUUAACUCGAGUUCAAGUUUGAUCCUUUAAAUAUCCCUAGUGAAGUCGCUAUUUUGUGGACCCACAUUUUUCAAAUACGUCCUUACACAACAGCGAGACUCAUUUUUUUUAUUUGGUGAAAAUUUGAUUUUUAGAAAAAAGACUUUGAGUCGUCACUUAUUUUUGUUUUUUUUUAAGGGAAAACAAAACAAGAAAGAAAACCUUGUGUGACUCCUUAUUUGGGAAAGACAUGUAUGCAAAAACCAAAUCUGGAUUCGGGGGUUAAGUUCCCUAUUGAGAAUGUACGAUGGUGAGCUGUAGCACCUCUCUAAGCUCAUAUACGUAUGGUCUCUACUAAACGAAUUAAGAGAAUUGUAGUAAUUAAUUAAUUAGUCAAGGAUACCAAGAAAAAGAAUCGCACAAAUGAGUACGUACAAAUCAUGAUAAAAAAAAUCAAAUUAUAAGAAUAGACAAAAUAAAUAACAAGAGAAUUGUGCAAAGUGAUUUAUUAAACUAAAUAAAAAAGAAGAUAUUAAAAAAAUUAGUUUUCAAGAAAUUUCAACGGAUUUUAUUAAAAUGAUUUUGAAUUAAUGAUUUUUAUUUAUUUAUUUACAAAAAAAGUGUCAAUUUAUUUUCUUCAAGUGAUUUGAUUCAAUUUCAUUUGUAUUCAAUUUUUUUUUUUUAAAAGUUAUUUACACUCAUGGUUGUUAAAAGAAUUAUUCACAAAAUUUCAAGUUGACAAUAAAAAUGAUUUUUACUUGCUUUUACUCAAAAACAAUGAAUUUUUACAAUUUUAUUAACAAAAGCAUUUCAAUUUAAGAAAAGUGACUUAAACAAAUUAUUAAAAAAAAUAUAACUUUAUCUGCAAAAGAAUUUUUAAUUAAAAAGAAAAAAUUUAAGUCAUCUAUUUCUAAAAAUGACUUUUAAUCCCAUUUUAAUUAAGGAAAAUUGAGUUAUCUAAAAAAACAUUUUUUGGACAAUUUGAAUAAAAAUUAAUUUUUGGGACAACUUUAUUUACAAAACAAUUUUUGGACAAUUAUUAUUAAAAACAAAAUUUCAAAUUCGAUUAAAAACAAUUUUUUGGAUUUUUCCAAACACAUUUUUAUGAAUUUUUAUUAAUAAAAAACUUUUUUUUAUUAAGAAGAAUAUUUUUUGAGCUAUUAUUUUAUUAAAACAUGUUUAUUGAAUUAUUCUUCUUCUUCAAACAAAAUUUUUAAUUUGUUCGAUAUCCAAUUCUGUACACAACAAGUAAAUAUAUACAAACAAAUAUUUAUAGAAACCAAUAAAAAUAAAACCAAAUAGAAGUGAGAAAUAAAACAUGUACUUAAACAAGCUUACAACAAGCUCAAUGUCUUCUUACGACUUUUCGAGUUUCACUUUCUUUCAUUAAAUUUUAUGCUCCACGUACCAUAAAUCCGUACUCAACCAAAAAAAUUGCAGAAUUGGCCCAUGCAAAAACAAAAAUAACACAAAUGUAUAAAGUUCACAAUAGAUAUUCAAACCCAAAUUCAAAUUUCAAAUUAGUCCAACAAAUUUCGUCAAUCAAAAUAGGUCUAAAUUAGCAAAUAUAGCCCAACAAAAAUAUCUCACAUGUCAUAGGCCUUAAUAUAAAAUUUCCAAAUUGAUAACCAAAAUAUAAGUUCAAUUAAUCAAACCCAAAACAUGAUACAUUAAAAUAAAUCUCAUUAGGCCUAAACUUAAUAUCUCAUAAUUCAAGCCUAAUUUAAAUAUAAACCUAAAUCCACAAUCAAAAUCAACUCACUUUAUGCUAAUCCCAAUUUACAAUCAAAAUCAAACAUAAUUUAAUAAGUAAAUAACUAAAUAAAUUAAGCAAACUCAAAACUCUCAAACCACUAUUGCAUAAUAUCAAACAAUAAUAAAUAUAAUGACAACAAUAUUAAUAAUAAAAUAAAAUAAAAAAAUUUAACUCACGUUGGAGCCAGUUUGAGUGUCGUGGGAAAGAAAGAAAAUGAGAGAAAAGUGGGAGAUGAUCGUUAGCUGGUAGUGGCUCGCCGACAGCGACUGGUCGAUAGUCCUACUGGCGGUAGUGAGGAUUGAUGAGUUUUUGGGAAAGGAAAAAAAAAAAAAAGAGGAGUAAUAAAAAAAAAAUGGAAAAAUGAGAGGAAGGUGGGAUAAGAGGGGAGAGAGAGAAUGAAGAAAAUAGGGGAAAAGAAAUGAGGCCGGCUGGAGGAGGAAGUGGUAGUGUGUGUGAGCUAAAGUGAAGAAGAAUGAAAGAAGAAGAAGGAGAAAAAUGGGAAAGAAGGGGAAAAAAAUUCGAGCCCUCUAAAUGAAGAAAGGUGAGUAGCUUAAAGAAGAAAAAAAAAUAAAAUAAAAAAAGAAAAAAUGAGGAGAAAAUGAGAGGGCCAGUAGUCUUGGGAAUGGGGUGGUAUAAGUGAGAGAGAGUGGGCGAGGUUGUUGGGGAAGGUAUGGGAGAGAGAGGAGAGAUAAAAGAAAGAGAAAAAAAAACAUAAUAAUAAUAAUAAUAAUCAUAAAUAAUAUAUAAAUUAAUAAAAAUUAAUAUUUAAAUGAUGAGUGUGUCAAAAAUAUUAUAUGUAAUUGGGAUUUAAUUUUAAGAGUAAAAUUGGACUAAAACUUAAUGUAAAAAUAAAAUUUGAACAAAUUUUAGAAUCUACAAAUACAUUCUUUAAUCUUUCCACAACAUCAAUCUGAUCUAAAUGAAAUGCAAUAAAUUCUAAAAAUGAUACAAUCUUUAAUCAAUCCACAACAUCAACCCGAUCAAAACUCAAUGCAAUAUUGCUUAAUGGAGAGAAUCGUAAAAUCCUUUUAUGAGAGGAAAACAAAACCCUUAACAGACCUUUAUGAGAGGAAAAUAGGAAAACAUAGAACUAAAAACCCUUAACGUAUUCAUGAGAAUAAAAAAAUCCUUAACACCUUAAUAAGAGGAAAACAAAGAAUUUGAACAAUCCUUAAUCCAUCAAAAGCUCUUAAUAUGAACGAGGGGAAAACAUAACCUUUAUUUUUCAUAUCGUUGAAUACAGAAUCUAAAGAGAUAGAAUUUUUAGUUAUUAAGGAUUUUUUAUAGAUGUCUAUUGAAAGUUCAAGAACUUUUAUGGAUAAGUGUUAAUUAAGAGACUGAAAGGGUACUUAGGAUUUUCAACUAAAAAAGUUAUAACAAUAUGAAUCGUAAGAACUUAAAAACAUCACCCAUCCAUAAGAGGAAUAUGGAAUGAGAGGUUAUAUUUUUACUUAUACAACAAUAAACUUUUUUGGAAGAGGUUUUUCUAAGUACAAAAAGUUAUGAAUAAAAAACCAUUGUUACGAUGAGUUAACUAAAAUAGAAUUAAUUUAGAAAAUAUCAAUAAAGUUGCAUGAAUUAUUAUCAUGAGUUAACUUAAUAAGAAUAAAUAGUAAUAAAGUUAAUGAGGUGAAUUUGGAUUGGCAGAUAUAUUUGAUGAUAAGAUUUUUUUAAUAAUAAAAAAUUAUUAUGGCAGGAAAAAUAGGACAAAAUUGACCUUAUGAUAAGAUUUUUUUAAUAAUAAAAACAUUAUUAUGGUAUGAAAAAAAGGGACAAAAUUGGCCUUNNNNNNNNNNNNNNNNNNNNNNNNNNNNNNNNNNNNNNNNNNNNNNNNNNNNNNNNNNNNNNNNNNNNNNNNNNNNNNNNNNNNNNNNNNNNNNNNNNNNUUUUCUAAGUACAAAAAGAGUUAUGAAAUAAAAACCCCAUUUGUUACGAUGAGUAACUAAAAAUAGAAUUAAUUUAGAAAAAUAUCAUAAAGUUGCAUGAAUUAUUAUCAUGAGUAACUUAAUAAGAAUAAAUAGUAAUAAAGUUAAUGAGGUGAAUUUGGAUUGGCAGAUAUAUUUGAUGAUAAGAUUUUUUUAAUAAUAAAAAAUUAUUAUGGCAGGAAAAAUAGGACAAAAUUGACCUUAUGAUAAGAUUUUUUUAAUAAUAAAAACAUUAUUAUGGUAUGAAAAAAAGGGACAAAAUUGGCCUUUCCUUAAUUGUACCGGUUAAUGGAAUAAUGGGACAUGCGGUGGUUACAAGCCACCCCAAAAGGUAGGAAGAAUCUCCAACCCCCAUUCUCGGCUCCCUUAUCUUUUCCCUUACAACCAAAAAUCAACAACUAUCUUAGAAUGUCCUUCAGUCCAUCAAAAUUCAACAACAACAAUUAUACAUUACAAUAAUGAAAACAAAAUUGAUUGAUCACCAGCUAACAUUAGGAGAUUAUAAGAUAAGGAUGUAAUUGCAAUUAUUGAAAUCACUUAAAGAGUAAAAGUUAGGAACAUGCUCACAAUAAAUAAAAUCACCUUAGAAUUAAAAAUUAGGGACAUGAUUAUGAUGAUUAAAAUCACUCGAGAACUAAAAUGUUUUAGAGAUACAAUAAUUGAAAUCAACUGAAAAAUAAAUUCGGGAUGUGAUCGCAAUUAAUGUAUAUAUAAACAACCAAAUGUUGAAAGGAAAAACUAAUGAAAUUAAUAUGAUUUUCUUUUAGAUUUCUCUUGACACCAAACAAAUGUAAGGAAGUUUAUAAAGGAAAAUUAGGUUUUGAUUCACUAAAUUAAAAUAAUAUAGAAAAAAGAUCUUCAAAUUUUAUAUACCAGUUUUAUUUUUAUUUAUUUAAAAAUAUUUUAAAAUACAUAUAUUUUUUCAUAACUCAAAUAGUCAUUCCUCAAAUGCUAGUUUUACUUGUUAUGUUAAUAACACUAGUUAAUAAUUUUUUAUUGUGAGAACGAUUUAAGAUUAAUAAAAUAAGAAAUUUUUAAAACUAAAAAGACAUUUAAAACUUUAAAAUUAAAAAUAUAAAAAUAAAACAAUAAUUUUUCAUUUAGUAAAACACGCCAGUAGAAAAUAUAGAUAUAGAGAAAGAGUUGGAAAUAAAAUAAGAGUUAAUAUUUUAUUUUUAAAAUUUUAUGUUUUUUAUUUUAAUUGUAUUUAAUUUUAUGUAUUUUAGUUGUAAUUAUAUUUUUAAUUUUUAAUUUUUUUUUAUUUUAUUGUUGAUGUAAACUAAUAAAUUUUUUGUUCAAUUAUAUAUAUAUAUAUAUAUAUAUAUAUAUAUAUAUAUAUAUAUAUAUAUUUUAAAAUUAGUGAGUAAAAACCCACUUUUUCUAAUUUAUAAUAUAUUUAUGGGAUUUUAUAAUAUAAGCAAUUUUUUUUUUUUUGAGAAAGAGGAAAAAUCAACUUUUCAAUUUCCCUUAAUAAUUAUUAUUAUUAUUAUCCAAUUUGGCUGAUUAUGAGAUUAGUUCGUAUCAUUACUAUAUCCAUUUGUUCUUAACCCUUCAUUAGAAUAGUAUUAGGAGUUGAACGUCAGUUGGAAUACAGGCUUAUGGAAACAAAUCUAUCCGAUUAGUAGGUUCUUAUUAUUUUCAAUAUAGCCCCAUAAAAUAAAUAGGAGAUGGGCAGCCCGUCCCUUUUGUCUGGAGGCCAUCCUCCCAACUUAUUAAAGGUGAUAUGAGAUAAGACAGUGACAAAAUUGUCGGUUACUUCCCGACACCUGGCUCUCCACAAGCAAACCCAGUGAUCCAGAAAUUAAUUGGUACCUGGACACGUGACUAACAAACCUUCGCUCAUCUACCAAACCCAUGGCCUCAUGCCUUAUAUAUUUCCACAAACCUAGCUCAAUUUUCAUAGCCACCUUCACUAUCCUAUACUCACUAAGCCAUGGCCAUAGAUACAAGCCUCUUGCUUGAGUUUGCUGCAGCAACUCUACUCUUCUUCAUCACCCGCUUCUUCAUUCGUUCUCUCCUUCCCAAACCUUCCCGGAAGCUCCCCCCUGGCCCCAGAGGGUGGCCGCUCCUCGGCGCUCUUCCUCUUCUAGGUAACAUGCCUCAUGUUGCAUUAGCAAAGAUGGCCAAAAGAUACGGGCCUGUCAUGUUCUUGAAAAUGGGCACUAACAGCAUGGUGGUGGCCUCAACUCCCGAGGCGGCUCGGGCUUUCCUUAAAACGCUAGACAUUAAUUUCUCUAACCGCCCGCCUAAUGCCGGUGCCACACUCUUGGCCUAUCAUGCCCAAGACAUGGUUUUUGCGGAUUAUGGGGCAAGGUGGAAGCUACUGAGAAAGCUAAGCAACUUACACAUGCUUGGUGGGAAAGCUCUUGAGGACUGGUCUCAGGUCCGAGCUGUUGAGCUAGGCCACAUGCUUCGAGCCAUGCUUGAGUUAAGCCAGCGAGCGGAGCCGGUGGUGGUGCCGGAGAUGUUAACUUUUUCCAUGGCCAACAUGAUAGGUCAAGUGAUUCUAAGCCGCCGGGUGUUUGAAACAAAAGGGUCGGAGUCAAAUGAGUUCAAGGACAUGGUGGUGGAGCUCAUGACCACUGCUGGGUACUUCAAUAUUGGCGACUUUAUUCCGUCCAUCGCAUGGCUGGACAUCCAAGGGAUCCAGCGCGGGAUGAAGCAUUUACAUAGGAAGUUCGACCGGUUAUUAACAAAGAUGAUGGAGGAGCACACGGCGUCAGCCCAUGAGCGAAAGGGAAACCCAGAUUUUCUGGACGUAAUCAUGGCAAACCAAGAAAAUUCUACAGGGGAGAAGCUCACUAUUACCAACAUUAAAGCACUCCUCCUGGUAUGCAUAGUUAAAGCUCGUCUUCAAUUUUGUUUUCCGAUAUUUUCUUUCCGGAAACAGCACUUUUAUUGCUUUUAGAUAUGUACGUUUUUAUCAGGUAGCCAUUUUAGGGGCACAUCACUAUUCUUUAUUUUUGGACUAUUUUUUUCUUUUUCCACUUGCAUGGUUGUUUUCAUAUGCUCAGCUGCAUGGCACAAGAAAAUUGUGAAAAAUGAUUGGUUCUCUGAUCAGACCUUCAGCACCAAAACACGCUUUUCUCUAUGUUAUAAAAUCGGUUUACAUGAUUUUUCAACCAGCUUCCUUGAACUUGAACUUUUGCUAGGGCUAAUGCAAAAAAUGAUUGAUCUCAAUUUUCAAUAGCGUUUGAUUACAUAAAUUUCAAGUAUGUGAACAUAUUUUUGUUUCCUUGGCUAGAAUUUAUUUACUGCAGGAACAGACACUUCAUCGAGCGUAAUCGAGUGGUCUCUGGCUGAGAUGUUGAAAAACCCGAGCAUCCUCAAGCGUGCUCACGAAGAAAUGGAUCAAGUGAUUGGAAGGAGCCGGCGGCUCGUGGAGUCUGACUUGCCAAAACUUCCAUACCUACAAGCCAUAUGCAAGGAAAGCUUCCGGAAGCACCCAUCCACACCACUGAACCUUCCUCGUGUCUCAACCCAGGCAUGUGAAGUGAACGGCUACUACAUCCCAAAGAACACUAGACUUAGUGUGAACAUAUGGGCAAUCGGGCGAGACCCUGAUGUCUGGGAAAGCCCGGAAGAAUUCAGGCCAGAAAGGUUUUUAAGUGGAAGAAAUGAAAAAAUUGAUCCUCGUGGAAAUGAUUUUGAGUUGAUCCCGUUUGGGGCUGGACGAAGGAUUUGCGCUGGCACUAGAAUGGGAAUAGUGCUGGUUGAGUACAUUUUAGGGACGUUGGUACAUUCAUUUGACUGGAAAAUGCCGGAUGGAGUUGAGAUCAACAUGGACGAAGCUUUCGGGCUUGCGCUGCAGAAGGCAGUUUCUCUUUCGGCCAUGGUGACACCAAGGCUUCACCAGAGUGCGUAUGCAGUCUGAGCUCAAACCGCUCAGACCAAAACCCAGGCCUCGCUGCUAUAUGGCAUGGAUGCAGUUAAGUAGAAAAUAUUUUGGGAUUUUUGCCUGUGGCUUAGUAUAAGAUGUAUUAGCUCAAAGAUGGUCGUUUCAUUCUACCACCAAGCCAUAUGCAUCUAUGCAUAAUCUAUUGAUUUAGGCUCGAUUUGGUUAUAGUUUUUGUUUUUUUGUCUUCCAAAUCAGUAAAUAGUAGGGGUAUUUUUGUCCUAUGUAGUGAUUCUUUUUGUUUGAUUGAUUAUAUUUGGAUCCUUCAAAAAUAUACGGUCAGAGCCAUCUCCAUCUUUUCACUUCUUGUGCUGCAGAAUGGGAUUGGCUUAGAUCGUUAGUCUAAUGUUAACCCCCUUCAAAUCUAAUUAUUCAUACUCAAUUUUGACACGAAAGAGCCAUUGUCAUGAAAGGGGGACCAGGGACCUCAGCACCCUUGGUUCAUCAUUUUGGUACGAUGCCAACUCUACCACAUAACCACCAUUUAGAUAUCUAUCCUUUUAUUUUUGGCAUGUGAACUUAUAGUGGGUGGCUGACCUUGAAUCCAAUAGUUAUCAUGAUAUAUAUGGCUGAAAUUAACCAUCAUUUAGAUAUCUAUCCUUUUAUUUUUGGCAUGCGAACUUAUAGUAAGUCCGAUUUAUGUCCAAGGGUCAAAUUUAAAUCUCUCUUCAAUCUAAUGGCUAAGAACUUCCCAACUUUAUUUAAUACUUAAUGUAUCCAAUAAUUGUAAUCGAGUAAUCCAAUGACAAGUACCUUCAAUGAUUAUUUUGGCAAAAGAAAUAAUAUAAGUUUGUUAUUUUAUGAUAUAAUAAAUUUAUUAAUACUUUCCUUUUUCAAAAUAUGUAAUUAGUUGUAAUUUCAUUAUAUAAUAUAUAAAUUAAGUUAUUUGCAAUUUUAAAAUAUGCUCAUUUUGUAUUUUUUUAAGUGUUAAUUAAAAAUUAUACAAUUUUGUUUUAUAAAAAGUAUUUAGUACUUUUAAUUUUAUAAAUUACAAGCAUUAAUUUAUACUAUUUUCUUAAAAUAUUUAGUUUAGUAUGCAUAUUAUUAGUUGUUUUCUUACAUCACUACUACAAAAAUAAUAUAUGAUGUCACUAUUUAUAGUGUCGCAUUUAAAAUAAUGACACCAUUGAACUUAAAAUUUAUAAAGGUGACACAUCAUUUAAAAAAUCUUCAAUUAGGAUAGUUAGAUUAUGCUAAUUUCAGAUUUACGGUGUCAUUUUUUGGAAGUGACACCAUAUGAAAUAAAAAGUUUUAAAUUUUAUAACUCAAUGGGCCUUUUUUAAAAAUAGUGAGUAGGAACAAUUUAUGAAAAGUCUAUUGUUUCCAUAUAUACAUUAACUAAUAUAAAAGAUCUUGUUGCUUGACCCUAACCAUCGUUUUCUUCUCCUUCUUCUCACACCCAUGGUCAGCACACCCAUAAUUGAUAUUCUUUGCUUCGUAAAAUCUCGGGUAAGUCAAAAUCUCUUAUCUAUCAUCUUUAUUUUUUUUAUUAAUGCAAAAAACUUUGUUAGUAUAAUUGUUUUAUAUCUCUUGAUUUAGUAUAUCUAUGAUGUGGGUUUUGUAAAUGGUGUUUUUUAUCGAGUUCUAAGGAAGUAAAAACUAAGUUUAACAUUCUAACAUAUUUUUUGUUUCAUUGCUAAUAAGCCCCAAAACAAAUGAAAACAAGAAAAAUGAAUUAUUUUUAAAAAAUUUGUCUAAUUGAGAAUGAGAGAUACACUAGUUUGUAGUAAUUUUUCGCAUGAAAUAGUAUUUUAUUGAAGACUUGACUAUAUUUGAUACUUUUUUCCACCGUGCUAGGAGCUUUUUGGUGAAGUCUAACAAUAGAGAUUGAUAUCUGCUACAAGAUGAUACUCAAUUAAACCAAAAGCACUUAAGUUAUUUAGGGUUUUCUUCGGUUAACCUAAGAAAACAUUCCCACUUUCUUUGUAUUGAGUCAUCUAAAUAGAAUAGAAUAUUGGGUAUCAGAGUCGUAAAUGGUAUUAUAAAUAUGACUUUUUUUUUAGAGUCACCUACAUGGAAUGAAUUAUUGGUAGGUGAACAAAAUAUUGGGGUGAUUGUAAUAGUUGAAUUAGUAAAUGGAAGAUAAGUGUAUGUUGCUUUGUUUAUUCUAUAAAAACAAUAAUUUUAGUAGUUGAAAUUUACAUGCUUUGUUGUUUUAUAAAAACAAUAAUUUUAGUAUUUGAAAUUUUAAAAUGUGAAUGAAAUGCCUGAAAAUAUAUUUUGAAAAAUAGGAUAGUAAUAAAUGGAAAAUAACUCAUUUCCUAAAAAUAUUUUGAUAAAUUAAAAUAAUAUGUGGUUAAAAUAUAUUUUUGUGAAAGUAUUUAAAAAUGAAUCAAAAUAUAAAUAAUUGUUAUUUUUUUUUAAAAUAAUUUAGGAAUAUAAAAUAAUAUUGGGGAUAAUUUUUGAGUUUAAAUUGUGUUAUAAAUGGUUAAUUUUUUUAGGACUGUCCUUUUUGAAAAUAAUCCAAUGAUAAUUUUUUUAAAUAAGAAUGUUGAAACUAAUUUUAAAAAUAAAAUUUUGUUGGCAAUGAUUUUUCUAAAAGUAUUUUAGGCAUAAAUGGAAAUUUCUUGUAUGAAAAUAAGAGAAUUUAUAUAUAUAUAAUAGACAUAAAAAUAGAUUUCUUUGAUAUUUAAUAAACAAGUGAAUUUUUCUCUAAAAAAAGAAUAAAAUAAGAAUUUCUCUAUAUAAUAAAAUAAUUUAUAUAUGAGAUAGUUUUCAAUAAGAAAGUUUUGAAAAUAAAUUUGGGAUAAAAUAUUUUUUAGUAAGUUUUGUUUAGAUAAUUCAAGAAUAAAGUGGUUUAUUAACUUUUCUUAAAAAAUAACAUUCUUCUUUCUUUUUUGAAUUGAUCAAUAGUUUGGAAAUAAAAUUGUUAGAUUCUAUUUUUUGUAAAUGUUUAAGAUAUUCUAAAAAAUUCUUUAAAAAUGAAAUGACCUUUCUACCACAUUCCUUUAAUAAAUAAUUGUAUUUUUAUACAUAUUGUAAAGUAAAAAAAAAAGUCUUUAUUUAGUUAACCUAAGAAGACAUUCCUACUUUUCUUUGUGUUGAGAGUCACCUAAAUGGAAUAAAAUAUUCAAUAUCAUAGGAGAGUAAAAAGUAUUGUAGAAAUGAUUUUGUUGAGAGAGUUAUCUAAAUGGAAUGAGAUAUUGGUAGGUGAAUAAAAUAUUAUGGUGAUUGUAAUAGUUGACUUAGUGAGUGGAGGAGAAGUGUAUGCUUCUUUGUUUAUUCUAUAAAAACAAUAAUUUUAGUAGUUGAAAACGUGUAUGAAAUGACUGAAAAUAUUUUUUGAAAAAUAAGAAAAUAAUAAAUGGAUAAUAGCUCAUUUCCUAAAAAUCUUUUGAUAAAUUAAAAUAACUUGUAGUUAAAAUAUAUUCUUAUGAAAGUAUUUAAAAAUAAACCAAUAUAUUAAUAAUUGUUAUUUUGUUUAAAAAUAAUUUAAUAGUAAAAAAAUAAUACUGAGUUCAAAUAUGACUACUUUGUUAUGAGAUUCAUUAAAGAAAUAAUUGUUGAUUUUACAGUUAUUGCAUCAAAGGUUUUACUCGUUUAAUGAAUUGUACAUAAUUUCAUACUUUCAAUUAUUAUGAUAUUAAUGUUAUUCUCAUUUGAUUUCAGUUUGAUUACAAAUAAAACAUAUUCUCAAGUAGAAUUUGAUGAAAUUAGAGAAAAAUAGAUUACUUUUGUGUUAUAACUAAUCAUGAAUCAUAUUGAUGUAUCGUGAUCAUUCAUGGUAAGUCCCUUAGUUGUUAUAUGAUUGAAUUUUCCAUUGAUAUUGUAUAACAUUACUUAUUCUUUACGAACUAUUUUUAUACCAAAAUGAGAAAAAGGAAAAAGAAAAAGAAAACAUUAGUACUUAGAUUUGUUUAUUGUUUAUAACAUCACAUUUUUAUUUUCAAUAAGAACUCUAAAACUCAUUAAUCUAUGAAAUGCAGGUAUACACUCUUGGGAGGACAAUAUGAAGAAUAAAAAGAAAGGAGAAAGAGACAACAAGAUUUAGGUUGUUAGAUAUGACUCUUAUGUCAUACAUUAUAGGACAUAAAUGUUACUUUAUUUGGAAUUGAGAAUUUUGGGUUUUUGGAUGCAACUCUUGUGUCAUUUUAUGGUUAGCCGGUUUUAUACAUAUGAAAUGCAAGUAUACAUGAAUGUUGGGAAACUUAACAUUUCUAAAUCAUGUUUUAAUGUGUAUUCACUUUUCUUUUUUAGUUUUGGUGGGUUUGAUGUGUUUGAUGUACUAUCAUUUUGUGAACAUUUGAUAUACAAAUAUUAUUGGAUGAUGUAAUAUGUUACAAAUUAAUUCAUAAGCAUUAUGAAAAUAUAAGUUAAAUGUAAUAUGAUUAUUAUAUUUAUGGACAAUUUACACAGGUUAGUCUUAUUUAUUAAUAAGCAUUACAAAAAUCUACAAACUAAUCAACAAAAAACAACCAUAUCUUCCAUAAUCAUUUACAAUGAUGUGACACCAUAAAUUAAAGGUGAUACAUUUAACGUGACACCAUAACUCAAAGAUGAUGCAUUUAAUAUGACACCUUAUAUAUCUCAUACAACUCUAUAUCAAAUUAAGCAUCACUAAAAAUAUAUGGUGUCUCUUCUGAAUGUGUCACCAUUUAUCUGCUUUGGUGUCGCUUCCAAAUACGUCACCAAUUGAUACCCUCUAUGGUGUCAGUGGAUAAGGUGACGCUAUGUUGUAGUGACACCCUAUGUUUAUAGUGACUUAUUAUAAAUGUCACCAUAUAUCUUUUUCCUUGUAGUGCAUCUCAAGUUUCAAUCAAAAAAAUAUUUAUGAUUUGUUUUUAUUAAUUUGUGUCUUGUUUUCAAUUUAAUUAAUGAAAAUUUAUUUGAUCAAAAAGUUCAUUACAAACCAAUUUUAAAAAUCUAAUCCUUUAUUAUAUUUUGAUAUCGUUUUGAUAAAAAUGUCUUUAUUAUUAUUAUUAUUUUUUUUUUUAUAAAAAUAAAUUUUUUUAUAAAUAUAUUGUAAAUAUUUAAAAUAAUUAAAAAUAUUUAGAUCAAAAAUCGAUUAUUUUUCAAACAAAUAUAUGAAAGUGAUAAAUUUGCAAAUAUGGGGAAUAUUUAAUCCUUUUAAUCGAUUAUUUCAUUAAUGAAGUGGGUAUAAUGAUGAACGCAUACUUGGUUUUACUAGGGCAUGCAGAGGUUUUGCAAGAGAGAGAGAUCAUUUCUCGACUCUGAGAAAUCAAUCUCCUUUUGGCCCGGUGGCGGACUCCAAGUAAAGCCUUGAAGGAGCCUUGCUAACAUCCCUGCACACCCACGCCUUCCAGUACUGAAGGAAAUGAAGCGAAGGUUUGGCUCGUUCAACUCCACUGCUUGAACUGUACUAGCAUUCAGAUGCCGCUCUGGAUUGAAAUUUAGCGGUUCUUCCCAGAUUCUAGGGUUCCGGCCCAGCCCCAGACGGCUCAGAAGGACAUGACUGCCUUUGGGGAUAGAGUACCCAGCAACACUAGUCGGAUUCCUGAACUCGUCUAUCCUUUCCAACCACUCCAUCAAUUUCUUCACUGCUUUGCUCAAAAUCCCUGGUUGCUUGAUCAUUGCCUACUCAAUUGCAUUUGAUGGACUAUCGACGCCUGCAAGCAUCAACUCCUGCAAAUUAUGGAAGGAUCAUAAUCUGAUGAUUGAUCAAGUUAUUUGCUGGCUAGGAAAUGAUCAUCAUGCAAUGUAGAUCAAAAGGUAAGCACAACACUACUACAAAAAUAAUUUAUGGUGUCAUUUUUAAAAUAAUGACACCAUAGGGUUUAUAAUUAAUAAAGGUGAUACAUCAUAUGAAAAUUCUUCAAUUAAGGUAGUUAGAUUAUGUUAGUUUUAUAUUUAUAGUGUUAUUUUUUGGGAAGUAACAUCAUAUAAAAUAAAUUUUUUUUUAAGUAUUAUAACUUAAUGAGCCCACUUUUAUAAUUAAUAAUGAGGGAUAAUGUAUAAAAAGCCCAUUGUUUCCACAUGCCACCCAUAAUCCAAAAAAUCUCAGUAUACAAACCUUAUAUAUAAAACCAUAAUCUUCUUCUACCUUUUCUCUUACCUAUAGUCAAUACACUUACAACCGACAUUUUCUACUUUGUGGACUCCUGGGUAAUCCAAAUUCUCUUAGAUCUAUCAUAUUUUUUUUUCUUUUAUUAAUAUAAUUAUAUUGAUUGUUUCACCAUCUUUGUAUUAUGGUUUUUGUAAACUGCGUUUUCUUGAGUUGUAGGGAAGAAAAACUUAGGUUUAAACUUCUAGCAUAGACGAAGAAACUUGUAGAUUAAUUGAUUUUUUAAUAUGAACCAAACACAUGACUGACUUCUUAAAAACAAGAAAAAAUGAAUGAUUUUUAAUAUGUAUUUAUGUGAGAAUGACAGGUACAAAAUUUUGUUGAGAUAUACUGUCACAUAAUCUUCAUCCCUUCCCUAAAACAAGAGAGAGAGAGAGAAAAAAAAAAAGGAAUGAUUUUUUUUGUGUGUAUCUAAGUGGGAAUGAGAUAUAUAGAAUUUUGUUGAGAUGCCACAUGAUCUUUAUCCUCCAUUAAACCCAACAUAUUAAAUCCACUAACUCUCCCCAAAAACGAGUAAAAAAAAAGGGAAAAAAGUAUGAGUUAAAAAACAAAAACGGAAAAUAUGAUUUAUUUUUUUUUAAUGUGUUUCUAAGGAAAAUGAGAGACACAAAUUUUUGUUAAGAUGCAUUGCCACGUGUUCUUCAUCCUCUCCAUUAAGCCUAAUAUAUUAAACCUAAUAGCUCUCUCUUUUAACUUUCCAGUGAAGUGCCUACAGUAUCCAACUCAAAAUAAGACAACUUAAGCCCCAUUAGCCAACAACCCAUAUUUUGUGUACAUCUUGAUGAGAUUAUUUUGUGAGAAAAUGUCAUGAAACAAUCCCAAUUUGAUAAUCUAGGCAUGUAUUUGAGUUAAAAAUAAAUUUCUAUUCUAUAGAUCAAAUAAUAAAAUCAUGUUUGAAAAUUAUUUUUAAAAACUUAUUUAGAGCAAAAAUAGUUUUCUAACAUAAAAAUAAUUUUUUAACUGAGAAAAUAUAUUUGAAAUUAUUUGAUAGAAAAUUGGGCAUGUAUUUGACUUAAAAACAAAUUUCUAUUCUAUAGCUCAAAUAAUAAAAUCAUGUUUGAAAAUUAUUCUUAAAAGCUUAUUUAGAGCAAAAAUGGUUUUCUAACAUUAAAAUAAUUUUUUAAUUUAGAAAAUAUAUUUGGAAACAUUUGAUAGAAAACUAGGCAUGUAUUUGACUUAAAAAUAAAUUAUUAUUCUAUAGAUCAAAGGAUAAAAUCAUGUUUGAAAAAUAUUCUUAAAAACUUAUUUAGAGUAAAAACAGUUUUCUAACAUAAAAAUAAAUUUUUAACUUAGAAAAUAUAUUUGAAAACAUUUGAUAGAAAACUUUUUUUUUAAUGUCAAUAAGUUGUCUUUUUGUUAAUUUAAUUGUAAUCAAUUUGCUUAUACGCAUUUAAAAGUAUAUAUUAUCAUAUUUAGUAAUAUUUUGAUUGUUAGGCAAAUUAUCAUUUUUGAGAGGAAUUUUUGUAGCUCUCAUAAUUAUAAUUGUAUUUUAAUAACCAUUUCCAAUAAAAAAGAAAAAGAAAAAAGAAGUUAGACAAUUAUCAAAAUCUGAUUUUUAGGAUUUUAAAAAAAUCUACAAGCCAAAACUAUCUAUAAUUUUGAUCAUGUGAGAACACUUCUUUUUUAAUACUUUGAAUUAUUUUGUUUUUUUUUUUCUUAGUAUCUGAAAGUAUAAAAGAAUUUCUCUUAUUAUAUUAUUAUAUUAUAUAUGUGCAUGUGUGUUCUCAUGGUUUCUUUAUGUCAUGUCUUAUUAAAGAAUAAAGUGAUGAAAUUUCCUUUGAGUAGAAGGUUUUAGUCCACGCUAGUGAGUGGACACGGUAUGAAUAGUUUGGGUGGGUUGUAUCUAUGGUAAAAAAUAAUAAAAGAUACCUUUUGCAAGUCUCCAAGUUGGUUGAGAUACAUGGCAUCAUGUUGACUAAACCUUGACUUUUGCAAGUCUCCUAGUUUCCAACUUUUUUUUUUCUUUUUUUUUUAAUAUUAAGGUGUGGGGCCAUGAACUCCUUUCUUUCCUUUUUAAAUAACAAAAAGGAAGAUAAUUUUAUUGUGAGAAGGCUAUUUCUAUCAAUUGUGUUCACGUCGAGAAUUUUUUAAUUUAUGGAGGCCAAAUAUAUAUUUAUGUCUAAUUUAGGAGGGUAAUUUGGGUUUGUUUAAUCUAUUCCAUUUAAUCAUACUAUACAAUCAUUUUUUUAUUUGGAUUAUUUUUGUAUUAAAUUUCUUCAACCCAAAUUUUGUUGAAAAAUUACAAUGUAUUAUUAAAAAUAUGACUUGAUAGUUGAUUAUGGACAUGUGUCAUUUUUAGUAAAAAAAAAAAUCUAUAACAUUUUAUAUUGAUAAUAUAUUAUUCUUGUAACAGGUUCGAAUAGUAAGCAAGUCAUUAUCAAAGAAGUUAUUGAAAGUAUAAGUGUACGUUUAUUUAUUGCAUGCUCUUAUAUUGUAUCAAUUGUAAGGAAGAUAAAAUUACCUUGUAAAGGUAAUUAAAUCUUUCUAUAUUUUAAAAACUUUUUUCCUAUAUACUAUGCUUUUGAAGCUUGUUUAAUUAAACAUAUUAGUUAUUUGACAAACUUUUCACAAAUGUUUUGUAUACUUAUGUGUUCUAUUUUGUUCCAUAGUUUUAUCGCAUAAUACUAAUGUAUAUUUUUUCACAAACUUUUUACAACUAUUUUGUGUACUAAUGCAUAUUAAGUUUUGUUCUUGCCUAUAUAAGCUACAUUUAGUUAUUUAAAUAUAUCCAAUAUUAUGUUGAAGAAAGAUGUACUUAACUUUUUUUAUUCUAAAUAUUAACAAGUUUUAUAGUUCUCUUGUCUUGAGAUUGAAUGUCAAAAGAUAGAAGGUCAGUUGAGUAUGAUGAAAGAGUUGAAAACUUUAUCAAUUUUGCAUUAGCACAUUCAAUCAACCAUUCCCCUAUAAAAUGCCCAUGCUUACGUUGUGCAAAUCUAUUAUGUCAAACUCUUCAAGUCAUUACAGAGCAUUUGUUCUUUAAUGGAAUAGAUCUCAGUUAUCGAGUAUGGUAUUGGCAUGGAGAAAAUGGACCCAGUGGAGGAUUUUCAAAUGUCUCACAACAACAUUAUGACAAAUGCAAGUAUAAUGAUGUUGUUGACACAAUAGAUAUGGUUAAUGCUGCACAAGUUAAUUGUGUGAAUGAUCCCUAAGUGUUUGGAAGGUUACUUGAAGACGCAAAAAAACCUUUAUAUCUUGGAUGCAUGAAAUACACAAAGUUGUCAGCAUUGGUAAAACUUUACGACUUAAAAGCACGUUAUGGUUGGUCUGACAAAGGAUUCUCAAAAUUGCGUCAGUUGCUUGGAGAUAUGUUGCCAUUGAAUAAUGAGAUGUCAUUGUCCAUGUAUGAAGCUAAAAAGACUUUCAGUGCACUUGGGAUGAAUAUCAAAAAAUUCAUGCAUGUUCUAAUGAUUGUAUUUGGUAUAGAAACCAGUAUAAGGAUGCUAUUGCAUGCCUAACUUGUGGAAAGUCAAGGUGGAAGAUAAACAAUGAGGGGAAAAAGAUUAAGAAGGGGCUUCCUUCAAAGGUUUUGUGGUAUUUCCCACCAAUCCCUAGAUUCAAAAGGAUGUUCCAAUCCUCAAAAAUCGUUAAACAUCUUAUGUGGCAUGCCAAGGAUAAAGAAUAUGACGGUAAACUAUGCCACCCAUCAGACUCCUCAGCGUGGAAACUAGUUGACCAUAUGUGGCUUGAUUUUGCUUCUGAACCGAGAACCUUAGACUAGCACUCUCAACAGAUGGUACAAAUCUUCAUAAGUCUAUAAGCAAUAGACAUAGUUGUUGGCCUGUUAUACUGAUCAUAUACAACCUUCCUCCUUGGUUGUGCAUGAAAAAGAAGUUUAUGAUGCUAUCAUUAUUGAUCUCAGGACCACGACAACCUGGUAAAAAUAUAGAUGUUUACUUGAGUCCAUUGGUAGAUGACCUUAAAACUUUGUGGGAAAAAAAAGUUGAGACUUAUGAUGCACACUUGCUUGAGGUUUUUACUUUAAAGGUCAUCAUUUUAUGGACAAUCAAUUAUUUCCCUACAUAUGGAAACUUGGCCAAUUGCACCGUGAAAGGAUAUUAUGCAUGUCCAAUAUGUGGAGAAGGAACAUAUUCCCAAAGAUUAAAGUAUGGUAGGAAGAACUUGUAUAUGGGUCACCGACGAUUUCUUCCACGUAACCAUCCCUAUUGGAGACAAAAGAAGGCAUUCAAUGGUGAACAAGAUUUUAGAAUUCCUCCUAAAAUUUUGAGUGGAGAAGAAAUACUUGAAAAAGUUGAUCUCAUUCCUAUUUCUUGGGGAAAAAUGAAGAUAAAAUCUCUUGAACUGAUGUGAACACAAAUUAUUGGAAAAAAAAGUCCAUAUUUUUUGAGUUAGAAUAUUGGAAAUAUCUUCAUAUCCUUCACAACUUAGAUGUCAUGCACAUCGAAAAGAAUGUCUGUGAGAGUAUUAUUGGUACUUUGUUUAACAUCCCAGGAAAACAAAAAGAUGGACUUAAUGCUCAACUUGACCUAGUUGAAAUGGGUUUAAGGUCUGAACUUUUCCCAAGAGUUGACUUGAAGCGGACCUAUCUUCCCCCUGCAUGUUAUUCACUAUCCAAACAUAUAUGACAAAAAAUUAGUUUGUCAAACAUUGUCUAAUUUGAAGGUCCCUGAGGGGUAUUGCUCAAAUUUUAGAAAUCUUGUCUCCUUAAAGGAAUUGAAGUUAUUUGGUUUAAGAUCCCAUGACUACCAUGCACUUAUGCAACAACUAUUGCUAGUGGCAUUACGUUUUGUUUUGCUAAAGCAUGUGAGAUAUACUAUAUCAAGAUUGUGUAUCUUCUUCAAUCAAUUAUGUACAAAAAUGGUUGAUGUGCCAAAAUUGGAUGAAGUACACAAUGAGUUAGUGGUCACGCUGUGCUUACUUGAAAAGUAUUUUUCACCUUCAUUUUUUGAUAUUAUGCUUCAUCUAGUAGUGCAUUUGAUAAGGGAGGUGUGACUAUGUGGUUCAGUUUACUUUAGGUGGAUCUACCCAUUUGGGAGGUAUAUGAAAGUUCUUAAAGAAUUGUUCGCAAUCAUAAUUGGCUUGAAGGAUGCAUUACUAAGUGCUAUUUAACAGAAAAAGCUAUUGAAUUUUGUACUGAAUAUUUAUUAGGGACUCAUGCAAUUGGAAUUCCAAAAGCAACAAUUAUGACAACAAAUUUGGUAGACCUAUAAUUGGUGGUCGUUCUACCAUCAUUGAUCAUAAAUUGUGGUUACAAGCACAUCAUUAUCUAUUAGAGAAUACAACUAUCGUCCAACCAUACACUGAGUAAGAAAAACAUACCUUUAUCUUUUUAUAAUUUCAUAACAUAAUGAUGAAAUCCUAAGUUUGCAUUCCUUGUCUUUAACGUCAUAAGGAACACAUGAAUUGGUUGAGGUCUCAAUACCCUCGACAAUCUAAUAGACAAAUUUGGUUGCAAGAAGAACAUAUGAGUUGUUUUACAUAUUGGCUUAAAGAAAAGGUAAUCUCUUAGUUUUUAGAAAAUUUUUCAAUAUGUUGAAAACAUCACAAGUUUCCAAUAUGUUUUGAUUAUACAUAGGUUGAAGAGGCUAUCCAUAAUGGGCAAGAUAUUCCCGACACACUUAGGUGGUUAGCACAUGGCCCUACUCUCCAGGUAGUCAAAUAUCCUGGAUAUAUCAUUAAUGAGUGUUGUUACCAUAUUAAGAAACGCGAUAUGACAUGCAUCACCCAAAAUAGUGGUGUUUUUAGCAAGACUAUGCAAAUUGCUAGUUCUAAGGAUAAGAACCUAGUUUGUGGUGAACUUUGCUUUUAUGGGGUCAUUAAUGAGAUAUGAAAUCUUGAUUACAACAUGUUCACAAUUCUAAUUUGCAAGUGUGAUUAGGUUGACAACAAGAAUGGUAUAAAAGUUGAUGAACUCAGGUUCACAUUAGUUGACUUCUCCAAAAUAGGUCACAAAUUGGAUCCAUUUAUUUUAGCAUCACAAGCCAAGCAAAUCUUCUAUGUUGAAGAUCAACUUGAUCCUAAAUGGUCAAUAGUUCUCUCAAUUCCUCCAAAAGAUUUCAAGAACAUAGAAGGACUAGAUGACUUCACCGAUAAUUGCAUGGAACAUCACCCCUUUAUAAGUUCAAUGCCAGAAUUUGAAUCAUUUGAUGCUAUGGAUGAAUCAUAGGCAAUACACAUGAGAGAAAACUGUGAGGGCAUAUGGAUUGAAAAGAAUUAAAUAACAUAUUGUACCCUUGAAUGAGAUAUAAUAAGGCAUUUCACUUAUUAGUUUUCAUGAGUUGCACAUUAACUUAGCUUCUAUAUAUUGCUCAUGAUAUAUCUAUAUAUAUUAAUCAUCCUAAAUUUCUUUCAUGCAUCAUAAACAUAUGUUAUUCAAAGGUACCACUUCAAUCUUCAUUCAACUAUCUUUUUGUUGUCCAUAGAACUAGAUUUAUAUUAUUUUUUAUUAUCAUGUUUUGAUUUUAUGCUCACAUAACUUGAAACUCUCAUUCCUAAAUUUCUUUUUCAUUAAAACUAUAAAUCAUAAUUGAAACUAUGCACUAAUUUAUUUUAUUAUUAUCCUCACAAAUAAAUUCUUCAUUAUUGAUAAGAAAUCAAAAAACAAGACAAACUUUGAAAGAAAAUUUCAAAAAAUAUAUUUGUGAAUGACCAAUUUAAUUAUAGAAAAUAUAUGCAAGGCUAUACUAAUCUUGCUUUUGAGUCAUUUUACAGGUUUGUUGGUGAAGUACUAGUUUGCACAUUUACUUGAUAUCUUCCACACAAAUAUGGAUCUAGAAGAAGGGGAAAUGCCAAAAAUAAAGCAUAGAUGUAGUGCAUUGAAACCAAAGAUUGCAAAAAAUCAAAGUAAAGGGAUAAAACUCAAGAUUGAAUACAAUAGCCUUGGUAGUCCCAUUAAGGAAAAUUCAGUUAAACUAAGUAGUUAUCUUAGUACAAUAACUAGAACCCAUGUGCUAAUAAUUAUUGAGAGUUGGAGGAAAGUCCCUAAAGAGACUAAGGAGAAGUUGUGGGAUUUGAUCACAGUAAGCCUAUCUAUAGCUUUAAUAUAUAAUUAUUGUAUACAUUCAUUAACAUGAGCUAAUAUGGGUUGUUAUUUUGUAGACAAGCUUUAAUGUGAAUAAAAAAUCCAAGAGGAAUUGUUUCAUACUAAUGGGCAUCAGGUUUCGAACCUUUAAGUACAAGUUGACAAAGAAAUAUAUAUUGUCUUUCAAGAAUGACCAAAAAAGCUGAAAAAGUCACCUCCUAUUUACCCAUUCAUACAAGAGGAUCAUUGGAGACAGUUUGUUAAAGAUAGACUUUUUGAACAUUUUAAUGUUAAGCAUUAUUUUUAUUACAUCUUCAAUUUUCACAUUUACGUAGUUUCAUUAUGUACUAAUUUUGUGUCUAUAUUUUGUAGGAAUAUCGCAAAGUUUAGAAAUCAAGAAGAGAUAAACACAUUUACAAUCAUUAUCUUGGAAGAAAAUGAUAUGCACGUUUUGAGCAAGAUAUAGUAAGUUAUCAAUAUCCAUAAAAAAAAUGGAGUAUAUAUUUUGUUUAUAGGAAAAUGAUUCUAGUUUUUAAAUAUCAUUUAUUAACUUGAUCAUGUUGAACUAAUGAGUUUUAUUGUUAAAAUUUUUAUAGCUACAAGCAGAAGGGGCUAUUGGUAGGGUUGAUAGAAGUGUUUAUGAAAGAAAACACGUGAGAAGAAAGGAAAGUUUAAUAAGAUUACAAAGCUAAUGAUUAACUAAGUUAGCAUAUUUAUGCCUUUUAGAGCCUAUAGUGUUAGUAUGUCUAUGUGAUUAUGGUUUGGGAUGAUAUCGUUAGGUGUUAAUAGGGAAGAGGCUUAAUGCUAUCAUUUUUAUGAGUAGUCAUGUUAUAUUAGUGCAAAUAUAGUAGCCUAAUUUGAAAAUUAAUUUUGAAACAAUAUACAUUAAUUUAUCUAUUAUCAUUUUUAUUAAAACAAUUCAUUUUCUAGCUACCUUGAAUUGGUCCUCUUGAAUUGGUUGUCUUUGAUUGAUAUGUUAAUCAUCUUCAUCAAAUUAUUACUAAUAUAUGUUUUGUUGUAGGAUGAAUUACUAGAAAAGGCAAGGAGACUGGACUACCUCCACUUGGUCCAAAUGACAUAUUAUGUCAGGCAUUGGGUAAGCUUGAUCAUCUAGGACGUGUGGUAGGUCAAGACCGCUUGGUUAGGUCGAACUCAUACUUUCAUCAACCAUUUGAUGACAUGAAAAAAAAAAUCAAAGAAGAAAUAUGGGAAAUGGUGUGAAAGGGGAUGCAAGAUGCUGUAACAAGACAAACUAUGUCUCCUCCCACACCCCAUUCUGAUAUAGGUAGUAAUAACAUGAGACAACAACUUGUUUUACAACUAGUUGUAGCAAAAAAACCAAUGUUUAAAAUGAUGGAAGAGCCCCAACCACCAGAACCACCACUGAAACGUAAGGUAUACAUUUACUUACUAAUAAUACAAGAUUAAUAUAAGUGAUAUAUAGCCUAUGUAAAUGAUAUUAUUUGUUGUAUUAAAGGUGAUUAAAUAUAAAUUAGCAGUGGAAUGAAAAUGAAAUGUUGUUGCAACUGGUACAUUAAUAGAAGAAAAUUGAUCAAAUGGGUUGGUCGUAAUAAAUGUUGCACACAAGCUAGAUGCUAGACUUCCAUUUCCAAAUCCAUAUGAGAUUAUCAAUGUUGGGGAUGCUAUUGGCUUUAAGCUUGACUGGCCAACAAGCCUUGUCAUACUUGAAACUAAACAUCCUCGGGUAUGUCAUUUUAUACUUGUAGUAAAUUUGAUUGUAACUUGGUAUUUUAUUGUUUAGGAGUAUAUAUUACUAACAUUCCUUCAUUUUUCAUAGGUGUUGGAUAAAGGAAAGAAGUAGAUAGUGAAUGCACCAAUUAUUCGAAAAUCUAAGCCUCAAAAUUAUUCGGUCAUUAAAAAUUUUCAGAAAUUUAUGGAUGGUUGUCUUAGUAAUGAGAAGACAUACCCAAUACAGCUCCCCAUUUCACUAUUUGGUGUCGAAUUCCGAACAUAUAUAUCUAGAGAGGAUUGUGAAUACAUUAUUUCAUCUUCAGAGGUGUUAUCAAAAUGCAUCUCCUUCCAUUUAUGGUGUGCACCUUUUAUUUUCAUUUGUUUUUAUUUUUUUAAUAUGAGUUGCCCCUGUUGAACAAGAUUGGAUAUGACUAAUGAUAAUUUUCUUUUGGUGUUUUGAUAAUAUAAUAGGUACAUGCAUGAUCAACUACAUAUUGCCAAAAAGGAAUCACAAUUUAUAUUUGUUAAUCCUUUUACAAUAUCAUGAGCAGGCUUUAGUAAUCCUCAAAUAGAGAAAAGAACACAAUUGUUGUCAAAACACUUAAUAGAGUGCCAAGAUGUCAGAUAUGUUUUCAUGCCCUACAACCCCGAGUAAGUGACGAAUAUUAUACUUUAAUUUGAGGUUUUAUGAUUGAUUUAUAUUUCUAAUUAGAUGCUACUUUUGUUUUUAAUGUUUUAGCUUUCAUUGGGUCUUGGUAGUGAUUGAGCCAAGGAAAAUGAUAGUCCACUAUCUUGACCCUGUGCAUCACAAACCAUGUGAGGACUUAAAGGAUAUCGUAAACAUGUAAGUUCUUCCUAUUAUUUUUCAUAGUAUUAUUUAAAAAAAAAAAUUACAUUCACCUCAAACACAUUUUUUAUUGUUAUUUCUAUAUAUUAAAACAUAUAACAUUUACCUAUUUUAAAAUUGUACCCAUUGAACUUAUUUACAUAGGGCUCUUUAAAUAUUUGCAAAGAAAACAUCUAAGAGAGAGCCAUCUUGGCAACUAGUGCAAGUGACAUCCAAAAAUUUUCUUUAAACAUUUAGCUUAUGCAUUUGCACCAUUUAUAUAUAUGAGUACUAAUGUUAUUUAUAACUGAUCCAUUAGUGUCCAAGACAAGAAGGAGGGUUCGAAUGUGGCUACUUUGUUAUAAAAUUCAUUAAAGAGAUAAUUUUUUAUCCUACAAUGAUUGCUUCAAAGGUAUUACUUAUUUAAUGAAUUGUACAUAUUUUUAGGCUUCCAAAUGUUAUGCAUUUUAAUGUUAUUUUCUUAUUUGAUUUUAGUUUGGUGAUAAAAAAACAUAUUCUCAAGUAGAAUUCAAUGAAAUUAAAGGAGAAUUGACUACUUUUGUGCUACAACUAAUCAUGAAUCAUGUUGAUGCAUCAUGAUCACCAUGCAUGGUGAGUCCCUUAGCUACUACAUGAAUUUUUCCAUAGAUAUUGUAUAGUAUUGCUUUUCUUUGAACAAUGUUUUUAUUUGAAAAAAAGAAAAAAAAAGUUCUUAGAUUUGUUCAUUUAUGAUAACAUCGAUCCAUAUUUAUUUUCUUCAAUGAAAUCUAUAAAACUCAUUAAACUAUGAAAUGCAGGUAUACACUCUUAGGAGGGUGGAAUAGAGAAUAAAAAGAACAAAGAAGGCAACAAGAUUUUGGGUUUUUAAAUACAGCUUGUAUGUCAUACGUUGAAGGACAUAAACGUUACUUUAAUUGGUAGUGAGAAUUUUAGAUUUUUAGAUGCUACUUUUAUGUCAUUUUCUUGUAGUGCAAAUUACUUAUCUUACUAUGCAUUGGGCUUUGAUAUUAGCCAAAGAUAGUAGUGGCUCCUAAUUUUUAUCCUUAACUGAAAUGAAAACAUCAAGCAGGUCCCCAGCCUCUUUUUCGCCAUUCUUCCACUAUUCUACUAUUUGGUCCAUGAUUGGAUCAUGGUACUUGUUAAUGGUGUUCAUAGCCUCCCUUAUAGUUUUUUCAUGGCCAUCUAAAUUCAGCACUCUCUGCCAUGGGAAGUAAUCAGAUAAAGAGAAUACAUAUAGAUGAGCAAGUAUAGUAAAGAAGGAUUCAACAUGUUGCUCCACUUCAACUCCAGGGCCUCCAUCUUUCUUUCGUUGGCCAAAGUAUCUUGUGUUGAGGAUCAUCUUUCAGAUGACAUUCCCGUUGUAUUGACGGACUUUAUUUCUGUCACACCCCAAAUACUAGGCAACCCAGAACUUGACUCGUGACCCUAGGUCAAAUGUUUGACCCUAAGAGUUACUCUUAUCCAUGUUGGCAAUCAAUCAAAACACCCUGGAUUUUUUUUCUUUUCAAUAAAGCGUUUAAUCCUAAAUAAAUUUAUUAAGCUAAGAUUUACUAUAACAUAUCAUUUUAUUUUUCCAAAACUAACCAUCACAUUAUCUCCUGUUCACAAGUAUUAAAAAAAAAAAAAAUUCCACCAAUCAUCUUCUUACCCAAAAUCUCAAAUAUUUACUAUAAUCUCUAAGUCAAAAAGAAUAUUUCCAAAAAUGUUUUACAAACUAAUAAAAUAUAAUUUAACUUAAAAAAGUCCAUAUAACUCAAAUUAGUAGAUGUCAAAAAGGUAAUUAAAAAAAAACAACCAUUAUUAUGGUUUUUUUGCUUUUUAGAACACUUCAUGAUCUUCUUAUGGUCCCUUAGAAACUAUAUCUGCAUCUAAAAAUUUUAGAAAAUAAAGGGAUGCACAUUUCCACGUUACUCUUUAGACCUAAAUGGGUUAGAAAUUCUAAGUCAAUAAAACACAACCAUAUGCCAAAAUAUAAUAUUACAUUUACAUUAUACACACUAAAAGAAACCUCAACCAUACAAAUUUAAAUCAAUCAAAAUUAUCAUUUUCCUUAUUUAAUCAUAUGUUUAGCAUAUCAAUAAUUUUAAAUUUACAAAAUAAAUAAGUCACUUUAGUCUUGAAUAAUAUAUUCAAACAUAUACUUGAUAAAUAAUACAAAUCAUUUUUCCAAAUGCAACCAUGAUACAAAUGCUUACACACAAUCACGCAAUGCAAUAUCGUUCUCGAGCUUUCACCGAAGGAUAUGCAUUUAUACCCAAAUACACUCCCCAUUCGGAGUCUUCCUGGGAUAAAAUUUUGAGUCUUUCACCCUAAGGAUCUCACUCCCUUCUUAACUCACCAUCUCUAGGGUCAUUCAAUUUCUUAUUUUUCUUUUCUUUUCAUUUUUGCCAUUUUUGGGGUCUUUUCAUUCUCAUUUCCAUUUCACACAACCAUUUCUUCAAUUUUUAUUUUUCUUCACACAAUCAUGAUGCAUAUGAAAUGCAACUGAAUCAUAUUUUAACAUCCAUAAUUUUCCAAGACAUAAUUUUAUUUACUCCCAUUAUGUUUCAUAAUUUCCAAUAAUCCACACAACGAUUUUUCUUCACUUUAAUCGUCACAAACAUAAAAGAAAAUUCACAAUUAAUUUGUAUAGCAUCAAAACAUAGUUUUAAACAUUGACCACAUAAAUUCUAUUUAUUCCCGACAUGCUUAAUAAUUUCCAAAUCCAAUAUAACCAUUUUUUUUUCAAUUAAAUAAUCACACAUAUCCAAGAAAAUUCUCGCUAAUACAAAUAUCAACAAAAAUGUAAUUUAUGUCAUAAUUUAUUUGUCUCCAAUAAUUUCAAAAAUUUUGACACCCAUAUGACAAAUUUCCACAAUUAAGCCACCCCAAUAUUUGGGAAAAAUUUUCCAAUAAUUCAAAUAUCAACAAAAACCCAAUUUAUAUCAUCAUUUUAUUUAUUUUUAAAAGCAUUAAUAAUUUUAAUAAUCAAUACAACACUUUUCCACAAUUAAGCCACCACAAAAUUUUGGGAAAAUUUUCCAAUAAUUCAAAUAUUAACAAAACACAAUUAUACCUUAAUUUUUCUUAUCUCUGACAACAUCAAUAAUUCUUAGUACUCAAUACAACUAUUUUUAUUUUUUCAUAUUUAAUCUUCUCAAACAUUACCAAAAUUCCAAGAAAAAUUUAUAAAUCACGAAAUAAAAUUAUUCACAAUAAUAAUCACACUUCAAAUACUACAAAUAACAUCUAUUAUAUUUCAACAACACAAUAUAUAAUUUUUUUUGAAAGAAAAUAUUAAAUCAAAGUUUUAGGGUUAAAUCACCCUACCUUAAAUUUGAAAAAUUUAACCAUUAAAACUAAAACGGGACACCGUAGGAGUGUUCCUCGCAUUGAAUAGAAUAUCCUUCCAAAAUUUUAUGUGAAAUGGACGUCAUUUGGUAGGUCCACCAGCAUCCUAAAGCUGGCGACCCAUUUUUCCCACUCUUUGCCGACGACUUCCCUACAUCUCUUACUCGAUUUCCUUUCUUCAUUUUCUUUUCUUCUUCUUCUUUUCUUCUUCUUCUUUUAAACUCCCACGCCAAUUUCACUUUAUAUAUAUAUAUAUAUAUAUAUAUAUAUAUAUAUAUGUAUGUAUGUAUGUAUUAUUAAAACAAAUCCUAAAAUACCACGCACAUCCAUUUCUCAAUAAAUUAAAACCAUUAUUCUUAAAUUCACCUUCCGUAAUUAUGAAUUAUACCAAACUUAUGAUUUUCCAUUUCACGAAAAAUACCACCGUAUUCGUAAUUUAAUUUACUACAAGUCUACUCUUCAAAAAGUAUAAUUUGAUUAUAAUUACAUGAAACAUUGUUUUUUUACUCUAAAAUUCAUUUAAAACAUGAUAUAAUUAACUAUUAACAAAAUUCAAUUCCAUAAAAUAUUAAAAACAUAAAAUAAUUUUUUGGCAAUCAAGAAGUUGAAAUUUGUAAUAACCCUAAACCCGUUAAUUUUACCUAUAUUUAUUUACCAAAAAAAAUUUAAAUAAUAUUCUAAAAUUUAAUUCCAUAAAUUAAUUAGUCAUUCAAUUUAUAAAAAUCAAAUUCUCUACCCUUUGGUAUAACUUUUAUUUAAUUUACUUCAUUUUUCAAAUUAUUCAAUCGCAUCAAAAUUUCAAAAGUUAAAUUCACUAAAUUCACAUUUAAUUAAUUUAUCAUUUUGUAUUUUUUUUUUUUCUAAAUUCGCAUAUCAUAAUUUAAUCUUAAUUUAAUUUUGAUUCAAUUUUGUUUUAGGUUUUCUAAUUUUAUGAGGUUUAAUUUCAAUUAUAAAAAUUAAAUUCAAUUUCUUUUUAAUUAUCCAUUAUCACAAUUUGAUAUAAUAUAAUUUUUUAUCAAGUUUUUCUUACUACGAUUUUUCUUAUAAUUAUCCAAUAAUAAUUAAAUUAAUUCUCGUAACAUAUUUAAUAUUCAAAUUUUAAAAACUUAAUCUCAAUUAUUUGAUGGUUAUUUUUUUUUUCUCAAAAUCUAAAUUUAAUUUAUGAAAUUCUCACUUCUUACAUCUGACGUGGCAAAAUUUUCAAACUAUUGACUUUUGACCAACUUUUCCUAAAUUUAUCCUAAUUAAAUACUAACACAUGGAUUUUCACCACUCUUUUUGAUCUUUUGACCCACAAAUUUAUGAAAGACUUUAUACUUGGAGAAUCUACAAAAACCUGGGUAUUACAAUUUCUCAGGUUGAUAACUGUCGUGGUUACGAAGCCACCACUUGAAUACUCAAUCGCCAUUGUAAUGGGCCUAGAUGCAAAUAGUACAUCAUGUUUCUUCAAAAGUUCUCUGCUAAUCUCUGGGAAAGUCGUAGGGACAAGAUGAAAUAUUUCCCAAUUGAAUACAUGCAAUUUCAGUGUUCAUUUCUUUCAUAAAGCCAAUGUAUCCACCAGAAAGUUGGCUUUUUGUUGAGUAAAUGAGGUAGAUAUUGCACUAGUGGCCAUGGAGCUAAUCCUGGAGGAAGUUGUAUCGGCUUGCUUUUGGUACUUGUUUUGGAUUUUAAUUUAGUGAAGAUGAGAAAGAUUGAUGUGAUGAAAAGCAGUAAGAGGAAGUUGAAAUGAGACAACACAUCGUCUGUGGUAGUAGAAGAAAACAAGGUUGAGUUACUGCUACUACUCUCUGCAACAAAGCCAUUUACACGUCUUUUAUGGCAAAACCAUGUUUGUCCUAUCUUGGGUCUGGAUGCACAUUUUUAAUAUUGGGGAAAUCAUGCAACCAAAUGUCACACACAAAGAGAGAGAAAAAAAUACGUUUUUUAGAACUUGAAAAGGUAAAGUGGGACAAAAAAUAUUAUCCAUUCUUGAACUCUAAAAGUAAAGUUAUAAAAAGCUUAGUUUUUUUUUUUUUGUUAUGUAUGAUUGCAUGAUUUCCCCCUUUUAAGAUUUUAUCUCAUAAAAUUUUUUUCUAGAAGGUUCAAAUAAGUUUGAUGAAUAUUGUUUAUUUUAGUAAUUUUAAUUUUAUGGGGUACUUAAAACAUUAGAAGUUCACAAAAAGCAACAUUUAUCAGCUACCUAUCUAAAAAGCUUGGCCUAAUCAUUGAAAUCCAAAAUAUAAAGUGACAACACACUUUUUAAAGCAAUUUUCAAAAUAGUUUUUAAAAACACAUUUAUUUAUGAUAUUUUUAAAAUAAAAAUCUCAAAAAUAACUUGUUUAUAUUACUUUUUAUUAGACAAAUACUUGAUCUUUAUAAGAUCACCCUAAUUAUAGAUUUAUGAACAUGUAACACAGCAAUUAUCUAUAUAUAUACUUAGAAUUAUUAUAUUUUAAGUUUUUAACUACAUAGGACAUCAUGAGUUUUUCCACCAUUUAUCUUAUAAUAAGUUUAUUUAAAUAUGAUAAAGGAUAUAUUAUCUCAUUUCUUAUUAUAUCUGAUGCUAUAUAUAUAUAUAUAUAUAUAUAUAUAUGUAACAAAUCAAAUACAAUUUAAAGAUUUUAAUUAACCAUCUAUUAGCAACAAAGCAAUCUCUUAAUCUCAUUCAUAAUAUUAGGAUAAUUUAGUAUUUCCUUUUAUAAAACACUAGCAUAUAAAUCAGCACAAAUCAUAUUAAGGGUGUAUUUGGUGUUGAUUUUAGAAAGCGUUUUUAGUAUUUCUAAUACUUGAAAGAUAAAAAUUUUCAAGUUUUAGAAAGAUCAAAAGCGCUUUUUAGAAUGACUAUCAAAUACAUGCUAAAUAUUACUUUUGGAUACUUAUAUUUUUAAAUAACUCUUAAAACUUUUAAGGCAAGUCUCUACUAUUCAUAUAAACCCCCUAUUAUUUUUAAUUCUUAGAAACAAAAAAUAAAGAAUAAAAACUCCAUUUAAACAUCACCUUAUUAUUUCCUAUUAUAAAAUAACACAAAUCAAAUGAAUUAUUUAAAAAUAAAUAAAUAUAAAAUCAAAGUUGAAGAGAAAAAACUCUUGUGCAUUAAAAAAACAUCAAAAUAAAUAAAUAAAUAAAUAAAUAAAACAUCAUCAAAUAAAUGUAAAAAUAAAUUAAUGUUAUGGAAAAAUGAGAAUAGGCAACAAGAAAAUAAGAACACAGAUUUACAUGAAAAAUGCUAGAUGGGAAAAACCAUGGAUAGAGGAGAAGAAAAUCCACUAUAUUAAAAAUUUGGUAUAAAAUGUGACAGAAUCAAGUGAGUAUUGUAUAGGCAUAAUCACUAUGACCCUAAAUCCUAUACAUCAUCGCAUAUGUAUGGUGUAUGCGAUAAUAUUUGUGAUAAUAAAAAUAUUGUCGCAUAAAAUAACUAUGGGAUGUAAUAUUUGUAAUAAUAUUCUUUACAAAAAAAAUAUUUUUUCUUUGCUUUAUUCACUUUGAUCACAACUUGAAAUAAGACAAUAAAAAUAUUUUCUUAAUUUUUGAAAAUUAAUUGAGGACUUAGAGCUACUUGUUACUGAGUGAAUUUGCUGAAUGGUGAAGAAUGUGUGUAUAGUAGUUUUGCAAUUUUUCAAACUUGUAGACAUAUUUUGUGAAGUCUUUUUCUCUUUGUAAAGCCCCAUUUUCUUUGUGUAGUUAUUUUUUCAAUAUUCUCUUUGGAAGGAAUUUACCAUUAGUUAUAUAGGUAAGAUUAAGGAAUUAAAUUUGGAAUUCUUAAGAUUUGAUUGCUUAAUUCAAAGAAUUUGGUUCAAGGGAAAUUUGCCAACAAAAUAAUAUUUAUUUUUAAUUCUAUGAUGACUUUAAUUAUUUGAUAUAAUUUUAUUUUGAAAGACUUGAUGUGGGGGACUCAUCACUUAUUGAGUCCAAAUUUUGUUGCACCCAAAUUUUUAUGAGCUAAGAAACCAUAAUUUUAAAGACCAAUUCAGUGGUAAGUGAAUCUGCUAAAAUCUUCUAUGUACAAAUGACCUCACUUCAAGGUGCAACACAUACAUGUAUUAUUAUGUGUAUGGGAUGAGUCUUGAAGUUAGUCUUCAUUCUUCUUUGAUUUUUUUUUCUUCAAAUAAAUAAAUAAAACAUCAUCAAAUAAAUGUAAAAAUAAAAUAUGUAUCGGUUAAUUGGAGAGGAGAGCUUUAAGGGCAUUUCUUCUAUGAAAUUCUAUGCUCCACGUACCAUAAAUUUGUACUCAACCAACAAAAUUACAGAAUGGGUCCAUGCACAAACAAAAAUAACUCAAAUGUAAAUAUCUAAAAAUGUAUAAAGUUCACAAUAGAUAUUCAAGCCCAAAUUUAAAUUUCAAAUUAGUCCAAUAGAUUUCAUCAAUCAAAAUGGGUCCAAAUUAGCAAAUAUAACCCAACAAAAAUAUCUCAUAUGUCAUAGGCCCUAAUUUAAAAUUUUCAAAUUAAUAGCCAAAAUAUAAGUUCAAUUAAUCAAACCCAAAACAUGAUAAAUUAAAAUAAAUCUCAUUAGGCCUAUACUUAAUAUCCCAUAAUUCAAGCCUAAUUUAAUAUAUAAACCUAAAUCCACAAUCAAAAUCAACCCAAUUUAUGCUAAUCCCGAUUUACAAUCAAAAUCAAACAUAAUUUAAUAAGUAAAUAACUAAAUAAAUUAAGCAAACUCAAAACACCCAAACCACUACAACAUAAAUCAAACAAUAAUAAAUAUAAUGACAAUAAUAAUAAUAAUAAUAAUAAUAAUAAUAAUAAUAAAAUAAAAUAAAAUAAAAUAAAAAAAUUUAACUCAUGUCGGAGCCAGUUUGAAUGUCUUGGGAAAGAAAGAAAAUGAGAGAAAAGUGAGAGAUGAUUGACAACUGACAGUGGCUCACUGGCGACGACUGGCUAGUGGUCCUACCGAUGGUAGUGAGGAUUGAUUGGUUUUUGGGAAAAAAAAUAAAAUGAAGAAAAGAAAAUGAGGUGUAAUAAAAAAAUGGAGAAUUGAGAGGAAGGUGGGAGAAGAAUGGAGAGAGAGAACAUAGAAAAUGAGUGAAAAGAAAUGAGGCUAGUUGGAGGAGGAAGUGGUAGUGUGUGAGCUAAAGUGAAGAAGAAUAGAAGAAGAAAAUGGAGAAGAAUGGGGAAAAAAAAUCCGCCUCCUUAAAUGAAGAGAGGUGGGUAGCCUAAAGAAGAAGAAAAAAUAAAAUAAAAUAAAAUGGGGAGAAAAUGAGAGGGGGUCGGUGGUCUUGUGAAUGAGGUGGUAUGCGUUAGAGAGAGAGAGUGGGUGGGGUUGUUGGGGAAGGUAUGAGAGAGAGAGGAGAGAGAAAAGAAAAAAAAGAAAGAAAAGAAAAAAGAUAAUAUAAAAUAAUAAUAAUAAUAAAAUAAAAUAAUAUACAAAAUAAUAAAAACUAAUAAUUAAAUAGUGAGUGGGCAAAAAAUAUCAUAUGUAAUCGGGAUUUAAUUUUAAGAGUAAAAUUGGGUUAAAAAUUAAUGUAAAAUAAAAUUAGGACAAAUUUUGGGGUAUACAAAUAUGCGCCUCUUCGGUAGAGUCCACGAGUAAAGCAAGUGUAUAUGUGAGCAAAACAAAGUGGGCUCUACUGAAAAACAAGACAAACCACCAAAUUUGUCUUAAUAUGACAUGAACUCUCCCAAAAAAAAAAAAAAAAAAAAAAUCUAAAACCCUACAAAAAUGGCCAAAACGGAAACUCCUAAGGUGCCUUUAAAGUUAUACUAUGGAUCUAGACUCCCUUAGAAAAGCCUCCAAAAAUGGCCCAAAAAUCGGUGUCAAAAUCGAGUAGCAAUCAGACCACUAAGGAGCACAUGAACGAAUGCAUACAAAGGGAAAAAAACCAUACGUGUACCAUACGAUGACAAAAGGCAUAAGGUAUCCAACAAUAUGACUGAUUCACGUGUUACGAGCUCAAAGAACUUUGUCAUGCACCAUGGAGGAAGGGAAACUCUAGAAUAAUGUGAUGAGGAAGUUAUUAGCACAAUGUAAUAGAGUGAGGAAAAAAGUGAUGAGUGCAAAGCUGUGAGGACAAGGUGCACAAUGCUAAUGAAUAUGAAAUGAAUAGCACUAGGCUAUAAUGCAAUGAAUAGCUCAGGGUUGUACCAUAAUGAACAAGUCAAGGAUGUGUAAAGAUGAGGAACAACUCAAGGUUGUAAUGCAAUGAACAACUUAGGGUUGUGAAUGCAAUGAACAGCUCAGCGCAAUGAAUGAAAUGAAUAGCUCAGGGCUGUGAAUGCAAUGAACAACUCGAGGUUGUGGAUGUAAUGAACAACUCAUGGUCAUGGAUGCAAUGAACAGCUCAGGGCUGUAGAUGAACAACUCAGGGUUGUGGAUGUCAUGAACAACUCAAGAAUAGGGGCACUGUACACCCAAAAUGGGAGAUCACGGUCUACGAUUCCAAGUCAAACCACUAAAGGGUGACCAAAAUGAGGGUGAUCAACUCACUAAAAAAGAUGAUCAAAAUGUCUUAAGGGAGAGGAGAUGCCCCAGAUGAAACUUAAAGGAAGUGAGUAGUGCUAAUGAAACUAAAAAAAGAAAAAAUGUCACAACUGAAAUUGAAAAAAUAGCAAACUUAGAUUAAAGUGCAAUGAACAACUUUGGGUUGUGGAUGCGAUGAACAGUACCUUGUUGUAAUGAAAUGAAUAACUCUAAGAUAUGGGCAUUGUACGCCUAAAGAGGGAGAUCGUGGUUUACGACUCCAAGUCAAACCACUAAAGGACGACUAAAAUAAGAUGAUCAACUUACGAUAAAUGAGAAUGCAACUAUCUCGAGAAAAAGGGUAUGCCCCAAAUGACACUCAAUAGUAAAAGAAUGACACAAAUGAAACUAAAACAAGAGGAUGCCACAAAUGAAACUGAAAUGAUAACAGACUCAGUACUAAUGUGUAAUGAACAACUUUGGACUAUGGAUGCAAUGAAUAGCACUGGGUUGUAAUGAAAUGAACAACUCUAAGAUGUGGGCACUAUACGCCUAAGAAAUGAGAUCAUAGUUUACGACUCUAAGUCAAACCGCUAAAGGGCGACUAGAAUAGGAUAAUCAACUCACUAAAAAUGAGGAUGCAACUAUCUCGAGAAAGGGGGUAUGCCCUAAAUGACACUCAACAGUAUAAGAAUGACAUAAAUGAAACUAAAAUAAGAGGAUGCCACAAAUAAAACUAAAAUGAUAACAAACUCAAAACUAAUGUGCAAUGAAUAACUCUAGGUUGUGGAUGCAAUGAACAACACUGGGCUGUAAUGAAAUGAACAACUCUAAGAUGUGGGCACUAUACGCCUAAAGAGGGAAAUCACGGUCUACGACUCCAAGUCAAACCACUAAAGGGCGACUAGAAUAGGAUGAUCAACUCACUAAAAAUGAGAAUGCAACUAUCUCGAGAAAAGAGGGAUGCCCUAAAUGACACUCAAUAGUUAAAGGAUGACACAAAUGAAACUAAAACGAAAUGAUACUACAAAUGAAACUGAAAUGAUAACAAACUGAUAACUAAAGUGCAAUGAACAACUCUAGGCCGUGGAUGCAAUGGACAGCUCAAGAAUAGGGGAACUAUUCGCCCAAAAUGGGAGAUCGUGGUCUGCGACUCUAAGUCAAACCACUAAAGGGUGGCUAAAAUCAAAAUGAUCAAUUCACUAAAAAUGAGGAUCUGAACAUCUCAAGAAAGGGGUUAUGCCCCAAAUGAAACUGACAAUAGAGGGAUGCCCUAAACAGACUGAAAAAAGGAGGAUGCCUUAAACAAACUAACGAAAAAUGGAUGCCCUAAACAAAUUGACGGAAGUGAAAUGCCCUAAAUAAACUGACCAAAGAAGAAUGCACUAAACAAACUCCAAGAAAAAAAAAGAAGAAGUAUGCGAUAUAGAAUCAAAAACACCUAAAACAAAAACAAGAAACAAAGAAUGUGGUUUACAACUAGAAACACCCAAAAGAACCUUAAAGAAGUGACUGGGAUAAUGAACUUAAUGAAAAUGGGGUAUGCCACAGUAAAAGACUCGGAAGUAUCAGCAAAUGGAUCAAACGACCAUGAAAUCAAUAGGAGAUAUGAUGAACCCAAAAAGGGCGUAUGCCCCAACAAAAGAACACUAAAAGGGGGGUAUGCCUUGAUAUGACGACUCACAAUAAUUAAGAAAUGGAUCGAGUAAUGAGAAAAUCUGCAAAAUAUCUUAUGAACUCAAAGAUGGGGGUAUGCCCCAGUGUAAAAUAGUGACCAACAUAAGACACAGAAUGUCACCAUACAAUACACUCUGGGAUAUGCUCAAUGACAAUGUAAUGAAAACAAUAGCCUCAAUCAACAAAUGUUCAAGCAAGACCAUGCAUCACAUAAACUAAAAUAAUAGGCUAAACAAAUGCUAACCAAGUCUCUCAAUCUGAAAUGUAAGCAAGUCAAGACAUGACAUGUCAACCAUCGACAUGAAAACAUCAUCACAAAUACAUCAACAAACUAAUAGUCCCUACUAUCAUGGAAGAUGUAGAACCUAACGUCCAAAGGCAUGUGAAAACUCAACCAAAAAGCUCAAGACUAGUUUGCAUCCUCCUCUAAUAAAAAGAAUGAGAUAAGGUCAUGUAGGAUGAUGAAAUAGGCAAGCUCAAUAUUCGUUAGGCUCUACCAAGAUGGAUGUAGGUAUAAUAGUGUCAAAGGUAGGAUGUCUAGAUGUCCAACGAAGGAAACUGGGUAUCCAAGUCAAACCAAGUAUGUUGAGGAAACUGAAGCCAUAGGACAAUAACUUUAUGAUCCAUUGAAAAUAGCAAUCAUGAAUAGAAGGUCGAGUCUCGAUGUCAAAAUCAACAAGGUGGCAUUGCCCCAGUAUGAAUACAUCUUCUCAAAAUGGGUAAACCCUCAGUGCAAGAUAAUCUCUAGAUAGUAUGUGUCUAGUAUAAACUGUCAUCUCACAAAAUCUAUCACUGAUGAGUGGGCUAUACCCCAGUGUAAGCAUUUCCAAAUCAAACAUCGAUGAGAGGAGUACAACCAAUCAUACAUAAUAUGAUCAAAACAAAUCUCCACUCCUCAAAGUCAUCAUGGUAACGUGAAGAGAGUAUCUAACCUCAUUUAAAGAAAGAUCAUGUCCCAAUGUGAAAAAUAUCAAGCAAAGUGGUAUGUCUCAACAAAAAUGCACUCUAACAUGAUCAUGCCUAGAUGUAAGCUGGUAUCUUUAAGAUCAAUCACCAAUGAAAGGGUUAUGCCCCAGUAUAGGGCAAUCUCUGAAAUGACUAAAAUCCGCUACAAGCUCUCACAAGUGUCUAUGUCAUGAACCAAUCAUCUCAAAAAAUAAAUAAAUAAAUAAAUAAAUCUAUCAACAAUGAUGAGAAGGUUAUGCUAUAAUCACAUCAAGAAAAUCACUCGGUCAUAUCUUGUACUCCAAUGUGAAAGGAAAAUAUGAUCACCUCUAAAGAAUGGCUAUGCCCCAAAAUACAUCAUCGAUUGAGAAAUAUGCCCCUACGUAAAGUACAUCAACUGAAAUAUGCCAAUCAUGCCUCAUGUUCCAAUGUGAAAAAUGACAUAUAAUAUUCUUUGAGGGAUGGUCAUGACUCAAAAUCCAUCAUCAGUUGAGAGAAGUAUGCCCCGACAUAAUGGUCAUCUAAAAAAUCAAUCUCCGACUAAGAAAUGUGUGCCUUGAUGUGAUGUAUCAAGCAAACUGGCUGCAUACCCCAUAAAAAACUCUCUAAGGUGGCUAUGCUCCAAUGUUGGAUCAUACCACAACUCCUGGUCUAUCACAAUCAAAAUGCUCUCCAACCAAUCCCAAGUAUCGCCCACAUGAGAGCUAUCAAACACAAUGUGUGAUGUCAUGGCCUCAAGGUGGUCUUAAGAUUCAGGACGUAACGUAGGCUAGGGUAAUAAGGUGAAGAAAUGAAGGAAAACUAGGCUUAAUAAUCCUAAUGAUAAAACCCCAUACCCUUAUGUAUAAAAUGCAAUAUGUGCAAAGAGUCUUAUAAACCAUGGAUCUAAGGACACCCAAUAUGAAUAUAUCAGUGAGGAAGAAAGAAUCUAAGAUGAAUAUAUCAAUGAUAAAAGAGAAGAAAUGAAGAAUAUCAAACUGCUGAUGGGAUGUAUAAGAAUGAUGUGUGGAAAAUAUUGAACAUGGAAUGUAAAUUGAUAUGAACAAAGAACAAUGUAGGCAAGGCAAAUGCGAUAUCAUGAUAAGAACAAAUAAAUCGAAGAAAAAUGAAUGAACACUAAUCCACUCAAAUCAAGUCAUGGAGAAUAGUCAAAUCACCAACGUAUGUAAUGAUGGAGAAGACAAUGAUUCGAAGUCCCUAGGAAAAUGUCACUUGUUUGUCACACAUAAAAUACAUAACGAGAUAGACACAAAAAUAUGAGAGUUUUUUGAAAGUUCACAUACGAACUUUCAUAAGCAACUAACUCAAUAAAGCAACCUCAAUGACCAAUAUAUACACUCAAUAAAGGAUGACACUGUAUACAUGUGUUUAUUACUUUUUCUUUUUCAUUUUUUUCAUUUUUGUUUUUAUUUUUUUUCUUUUGCUCGCGCAUACUCUGAAUAUCAAUAAAUGAACUUCUCUGAGAAUACAUAAUGAAAUGGAUAUACUCUCAAACAAUGAUGUAAGCGAACUCUCUCUGACAAGAUGACCCUCUAAAUUAAGGAUUUUCAAACUAACGUCCAUGAGAUAGGAGUGGAAGGGGAUAUGACCAUCCUCCCUGCACCGAAAUGUGAAAAAUCAUCACUCAGGGCACAAAAAAAUGUGAUGAAAAAAAAUAAAAAAUGAAACAAAAGAUAUAAACAAUGAAGUAUGAUGAAGACUGAUGUUGGGAAGACAAAAAAAUAGUGAAGAAUGUGAGCCAAUAAGUCCACAACUCAUGAAACUCUCGAAUAAAAUAUAUAUAUACACCAAAAGACCCUUAUCCCGGUGUAAAAUGUGAGCAAGGAUAUAAGAAAGAAAAGACUAUGGUGCUCAUGUGAGGUUCAAAGGGCUAGCAACGGUCCAAAUGUCAAUAAAGGUAAUAGGGUGUGAGCUAACCAAAAUGAAGGCCACCUAUGAUGGUCUGAAACAUCAUGCUCUUAAGCUUUCAAUGAUCAAUACUGAAAAUCGAUGUCCAUUUGAUAUAAACACGUCAACCCUUUGGAAUUGUGCGCCAAACCAUACUCCAAAUGCUCCAUAAUAAUCUCAAAGAUAAUCCUCUCAAAGCAAAGUAAAUAGCGAUCUCAUAAGGCACAACUACUCAUCACAAGCCAACUCUCAUCAUGCAAGAUCAAUCUCUAUUUUCAUGGAAAAAUAAGUGACAAUCUCAUCAGGUAAUCGACGAAUCCUCACAUCAUAAACCAACCAAAGAUCAUAAGUCAUUCAUUGCCAUGCAAGAUCAAUCCCAGACUCAAACUCCUCAUACUCUACCUGGUUGGAUUAGAGAAGAAAUGGGCAAAACUAGAAAAACUGAAGAUGGAAAGGUCAUAUAAUGGUGUCAAGGGUGAUGUUGUGCAAAACUCACAAUGGAUGGAUGUAGGUCAAAGCAAAGUCAAUGUGUGAGAGUGAGUAAGGCACUACUCUGAUCAUAAGAAGAUGGGUCACAAUCUCAAACUCCUAAGGUCAAAUCUCCGAUCCUAGGCUAAUAAGCUCAACAUCCUCCAUGAUAGGUCAACCCCCAAGAUCACAAUGUGCAAAUGAAUAGAUGCCUCAAGUCAAAAGUACAACACAUCAUAUGAUAUAUGGUCCUACGAUGACAAUCUAAAACUGGAAAUAUGUUAGAAACUCUAAGGUCAUAAACGUGUCCACUGUGAGAUGACUAUAAAUGUGACUAAGGAAUCUUUAUCAAUAAUCCAAAAAAUGAAUGAAGUGUGAAAAACAACACUAUCAUGAGAUCGAUACCCCAUCAAUAACAAAAUAUCUCUAAUUCACUUUCAAUCUAAACUCUAUAAAGAAAAACGAUAAGGUUAUAAAGGCAAACCUCUCAAAAAUGGUGUGAAUGUGAAAACAUGUCUUCACCUUUCUAUAAUGAAAAUAUCAUGUUGAAAAUAGAAAUAGGCAAAUCGACCAAAGAAUGAAGUACGGAGCCCAUGACAAGUGAAGAAUGUAAAAAGGUGAACAUGAUCAAUGAACAUAUCCCAAAACAUCAAGCAUAAAGUGACAACAAACCAAAAGAAUGUGUCAACUUAAGAAAAGAAGACUAUCUGAAGCCCCAGGGAAAAAGUGUGCUAGACUCAACGAGCGACAAGAAGAAACUAAAACCAUAUAGCAAGAGGUGGUCCAACUGAUACUCAAACUCGUACCAAUAUCUAAGCACUCUCGACUGGAGACCAAAAGAUGGAGUAUUGGAUCCAUAUUGUGACUAAAGUGGCCUCGAAGGCUCUCAGAUGCACCCACGUGUAGGAAAGGAAAUCCUAGUAAAAAUAUCUAAGGCUUAACCUACAAGGUCAAGGCGGCUCUAAAAAGAAAAAUUGAGUGGACUUUAAAGGAUUCCUAGCAAAAGCGAUCAUACCCUCCGAUGGUACGCAACCUCCUACACGUCUUGAAAUAUAUGGGAGUGAUUCCAUGCAAGGUGGUCAUCACCUCCACACAUGCACUAUCUCAUAUCCUAGAGGGUUUCCUAAUGAUGAAGACUCUUACAUCUCUCAACACUUAGUGGUAAUCUAAGGUGCACAGUGAAUGGUGUGGGUUCAUCCAAAAAUCCUAUCAAGCUAAGCAAAGAGAAAACACAUUGGUCACACAAAUAUCUUGAAAUAUAGCUCUAACCUAUACAAGUCUUCAAAGAUUGGACUCCAAUUAGCAUUAAUGUUUCGACCUUCUCCAGAAUGCUCCCAAACAUAGAUAUAGUCCAUCACUAAAUCCUACUCCGAAUCACUAGCUCGGUCGAAGAGCAAACAAAGUAAUAAGUCUCAUAUCAAAUAUGAGAUCAAGGGGAACAUGGUCACCCAAGACUAGGGAAUUGAAGUAAGGGGAUAGAUGUGUGUCCCACAUAGAAAAGCAACAUGCAUCACACAGAAGAAGAAUAGUCAUGCAAUAGACAACCAAGCAAAGAACAGGUAUAUCAUUCAUAUCUACACACAAGCUAAACAAGAAAUAGGUAUUUAACAAGAAUAAACAAUAUGUUGAGAUAAACAAGAUAAUAUACAAUAAAGAGAAUCAAUCACACCAAUAUGAAUGAGAUAUACAAAAAUGAGAAUAUACAUGUCAAGGAGAACAAGAUAAUCAUACAACAAGAAGAGUCUUAUGUUAAAGCAAGCAAGAGAAUCAAUCGAUGUAGUCAACAUGUCAAUAUCGCAAAUGAACAUAACAACCAAAUAUGCAUCAUAAAGAAAAAAUGGUAAUCAUGCAGCACACAGUCAUACAAAACAAAUACAAACAAACAUAAGCAAAUAAAUGUAAACACACAUGAUAACAAAAAUCAAUGUAUAGUAAGGCACAUGCAAUAUAUACAUAAAAUAAUCAUCAAGUCAACACUCAUAUACCUUAAAACAUGAAAAUAUACAAUAAAGACACAACGAGAGGGUAUUCACUGAUCGAUUAAUCAAACACUACAUUUCCCUUAACUCAAGUUCAAGUUUGAUCCUUUAAAUAUCCCUAGUGGAGUCGCUAUUUUGUGGACCCACAUUUUUCAAAUGCGUCCUUACACAACAGCGAGACUCAUUUUUUUUAUUUGGUGAAAAUUUGAUUUUGAGAAAAAAGACUUUGAGUUGUCACUUAUUUUUGUUUUUUUUUAAGGGAAAACAAAACAAGAAAGAAAACCUUGUGUGACUCCUUAUUUGGGAAAGACAUGUAUGCAAAAACCAAAUCUGGAUUCGGGGGUCAAGUUACCUAUUGGGAAUGUACGAUGGUGAGCUGUAGCACCUCUCUAAGCUCAUAUACGUACGGUCUCUACUAAACGAAUUAAGAGAAUUGUAGUAAUUAAUUAAUUAGUCAAGGAUACCAAGAAAAAGAAUCGCACAAAUGAGUACAUACAAAUCAUGAUAAAAAAAAUCAAAUUAUAAGAAUAGACAAAAUAAAUAACAAGAGAAUUGUGCAAAGUGAUUUAUUAAACUAAAUAAAAAAGAAGAUAUUAAAAAAAUUAGUUUUCAAGAAAUUUCAAAGGAUUUUAUUAAAAUGAUUUUGAAUUAAUGAUUUUAAUUUAUUUAUUUACAAAAAAAAGUCAAUUUAUUUUCUUCAAUUGAUUUGAUUCAAUUUCAUUUGUAUUCAAUUUUUUUUUUAAAAAAAAAAAGUUAUUUACACUCAUGGUUGUUAAAAGAAUUAUUAACAAAAUUUCAAGUUGACAAUAAAAAUGAUUUUUACUUGCUUUUACUCGAAAACAAUGAAUUUUUACAAUUUUAUUAACAAAAGCAUUUCAAUUUAAGAAAAGUGACUUAAACAAAUUAUUAAAAAAAUAUAACUUUAUCUGCAAAAGAAUUUUUAAUUAAAAAGAAAAAAUUUAAAUCAUCUAUUUCUAAAAAUGACUUUUAAUCCCAUUUUAAUUAAGAAAAUUUGAGUUAUUUAAAAAAACAUUUUUUGGACAAUUUGAAUAAAAAUUAAUUUUUGGGACAACUUUAUUUACAAAAAAAAUUUUGGACAAUUAUUAUUAAAAACAAAAUUUCAAAUUCUAUUAAAAACAAUUUUUUGGAUUUUUCCAAACACAUUUUUAUGAAUUUUUAUUAAUAAAAAACUUUUUUUUAUUAAGAAGAAUAUUUUUUGAGCUAUUAUUUUAUUAAAACAUGUUUAUUGAAUUAUUCUUCUUAUUCAAACAAAAUUUUUAAUUUGUUCAAUAUCUAAUUCUGUACACAACAAGUAAAUAUAUACAAACAAAUAUUUAUAAAAACCAAUAAAAAUAAAACCAAAUAGAAGUGAGAAAUAAAACAUGUUCUUAAACAAGCUUACAACAAGCUCAAUGUCUUCUUACGACUUUUCGAGUCUCACUUUCUUUCAUUAAAUUUUAUGCUCCACGUACCAUAAAUCCGUACUCAACCAAAAAAAUUGCAGAAUUGGCCCAUGCAAAAACAAAAAUAACACAAAUGUAAAUAUCUAAAAAUGAAUAAAGUUCACAAUAGAUAUUCAAGUCCAAAUUCAAAUUUCAAAUUAGUCCAACAAAUUUCGUCAAUCAAAAUAAGUCUAAAUUAGCAAAUAUAGCCCAACAAAAAUAUCUCACAUGUCAUAGGCCUUAAUAUAAAAUUUCCAAAUUAAUAACCAAAAUAUAAGUUCAAUUAAUCAAACCCAAAACAUGAUACAUUAAAAUAAAUCUCAUUAGGCCUAAACUUAAUAUCUCAUAAUUCAAGCCUAAUUUAAUAUAUAAACCUAAAUCCACAAUCAAAAUCAACUCACUUUAUGCUAAUCCCAAUUUAUAAUCAAAAUCAAACAUAAUUUAAUAAGUAAAUAACUAAAUAAAUUAAGCAAACUCAAAACUCUCAAACCACUAUUGCAUAAUAUCAAACAAUAAUAAAUAUAAUGACAACAAUAAUAAUAAUAAAAUAAAAUAAAAAAAUUUAACUCACGUUGGAGCCAGUUUGAGUGUCGUGGGAAAGAAAAAAAAUGAGAGAAAAGUGGGAGAUGAUCGUUAGCUGGUAGUGGCUUGCCGGCGGCGACUGGUCGAUAGUCCUACUGGCGGUAGUGAGGAUUGAUGAGUUUUUGGGAAAGGAAAAAAAAAGAGGAGUAAUAAAAAAAAAAAAAGAGAAAUGAGAGGAAGGUGGGAUAAGAGGGGAGAGAGAGAAUGAAGAAAAUAGGGGAAAAUAAAUGAGGCCGGCCGGAGGAGGAAGUGGUAGUGUGUGUGAGCUAAAGUGAAGAAGAAUGAAAGAAGAAGAAGGAGAAAAAUGGGAAAAAAAUUCGAGCCCUCUAAAUGAAGAAAGGUGAGUAGCUUAAAGAAGAAAAAUAAAAAUAAAAAAAGAAAAAAUGAGGAGAAAAUGAGAGGGCCAGUAGUCUUGGGAAUGGGGUGGUAUAGGUGAGAGAGAGUGGGCGAGGUUGUUGGGGAAGGUAUGGGAGAGAGAGGAGAGAUAAAAGAAAGAGAAAAAAAAACAUAAUAAUAAUAAUAAUCAUAAAUAAUAUAUAAAAUAAUAAAAAUUAAUAUUUAAAUGAUGAGUGUGUCAAAAAUAUUAUAUGUAAUUGGGAUUUAAUUUUAAGAGUAAAAUUGAACUAAAAAUUAAUGUAAAAAUAAAAUUUGAACAAAUUUUAGAAUCUACAAAUACAUUCUUUAAUCUUUCCACAACAUCAAUCUGAUCUAAAUGAAAUGCAAUAAAUUCUAAAAAUGAUACAAUCUUUAAUCAAUCCACAACAUCAACCCGAUCAAAACUCAAUGCAAUAUUGCUUAAUGGAGAGAAUCGUAAAAUCCUUUUAUGAGAGGAAAAAAAAACCCUUAACAGACCUUUAUGAGAGGAAAAUAGGAAAACAUAGAACUAAAAACCCUUAACGUAUUCAUGAGAAUAAAAAAAUCCUUAACACCUUAAUAAGAGGAAAACAAAGAAUUUGAACAAUCCUUAAUCCAUCAAAAGCUCUUAAUAUGAACGAGGGGAAAACAUAACCUUUAUUUUUCAUAUCAUUGAAUACAGAAUCUAAAGAGAUAGAAUUUUUAGUUAUUAAGGAUUUUUUUAUAAAUGUCUAUUGAAAGUUUAAGAACUUUUAUGGAUAAGUGUUAAUUAAGAGACUGAAAGGGUACUUAGGAUUUUCAACUAAAAAAGUUAUAACAAUAUGAAUCGUAAGAACUUAAAAACAUCACCCAUCCAUAAGAGGAAUAUGGAAUGAGAGGUUAUUUUUUUACUUAUACAACAAUAAACUUUUUUGGAAGAGGUUUUUCUAAGUACAAAAAGUUAUGAAUAAAAAACCAUUGUUACGAUGAGUUAACUAAAAUAGAAUUAAUUUAGAAAAUAUCAAUAAAGUUGCAUGAAUUAUUAUCAUGAGUUAACUUAAUAAGAAUAAAUAGUAAUAAAGUUAAUGAAGUGAAUUUGGAUUGGCAGAUAUAUUUGAUGAUAAGAUUUUUUUAAUAAUAAAAAAUUAUUAUGGCAGGAAAAAUAGGACAAAAUUGACCUUAUGAUAAGAUUUUUUUAAUAAUAAAAACAUUAUUAUGGUAUGAAAAAAAGGGACAAAAUUGGCCUUUCCUUAAUUGUACCGGUUAAUGGAAUAAUGGGACAUGCGGUGGUUACAAGCCACCCCAAAAGGUAGGAAGAAUCUCCAACCCCCAUUCUCGGCUCCCUUAUCUUUUCCCUUACAACCAAAAAUCAACAACUAUCUUAGAAUGUCCUUCAGUCCACCAAAAUUCAACAACAACAUUACAAUAAUGAAAACAAAAUUGAUUGAUCACCAGCUAACAUUAGGAGAUUAUAAGAUAAGGAUGUAAUUGCAAUUAUUGAAAUCACUUAAAGAGUAAAAGUUAGGAACAUGCUCACAAUAAAUAAAAUCACCUUAGAAUUAAAAAUUAGGGACAUGAUUAUGAUGAUUAAAAUCACUCGAGAACUAAAAUGUUUUAGAGAUACAAUAAUUGAAAUCAACUGAAAAAUAAAUUCGGGAUGUGAUCGCAAUUAAUGUAUAUAUAAACAACCAAAUGUUGAAAGGAAAAACUAAUGAAAUUAAUAUGAUUUUCUUUUAGAUUUCUCUUGACACCAAACAAAUGUAAGGAAGUUUAUAAAGGAAAAUUAGGUUUUGAUUCACUAAAUUAAAAUAAUAUAGAAAAAAGAUCUUCAAAUUUUAUAUAUCAGUUUUAUUUUUAUUUAUUUAAAAAUAUUUUAAAAUACAUAUAUUUUUUCAUAACUCAAAUAGUCAUUCCUCAAAUGCUAGUUUUACUUGUUAUGUUAAUAACACUAGUUAAUAAUUUUUUAUUGUGAGAACGAUUUAAGAUUAAUAAAAUAAGAAAAUUUUAAAACUAAAAAGACAUUUAAAACUUUAAAAUUAAAAAUAUAAAAAUAAAACAAUAAUUUUUCAUUUAGUAAAACACGCCAGUAGAAAAUAUAGAUAUAGAGAAAGAGUUGGAAAUAAAAUAAGAGUUAAUAUUUUAUUUUUAAAAUUUUAUGUUUUUUAUUUUAAUUGUAUUUAAUUUUAUGUAUUUUAGUUGUAAUUAUAUUUUUAAUUUUUAAAUUUUUUUUUAUUUUAUUGUUGAUGUAAACUAAUAAAUUUUUUGUUCAAUUAUAUAUAUAUAUAUAUAUAUAUAUAUAUAUAUAUAUUUAAAUUAGUGAGUAAAAACCCACUUUUUCUAAUUUAUAAUAUAUUUAUGGGAUUUUAUAAUAUAAGAAAUUUUUUUUUAGAAAGAGGAAAAAUCAACAUUUCAAUUUCCCUUCAUUAUUAUUAUUAUUAUCCAAUUUGGUUGAUUAUGAGAUUAGUUGGUAUCAUUACUAUAUCCAUUUGUCCUUAACCCUUCAUUAGAAUAGUAUUAGGAGUUGAACGUCAGUUGGAAUACAGGCUAUGGAAACAAAUCUAUCCGAUUAGUAGGUUCUUGUUAUUUUCAAUAUAGACCCCAUAAAAUAAAUAGGAGAUAUGAGAUAAGACUGUGACAAAAUUGGCGGUUACUUCCCGACACCUGGCUCUCCACAAACAAACCCAGUGAUCCAGAAAUUAAUUGGUACCUGGACACGUGACUACCAAACGUUCGCUCACCCACCAUACCCAUGGCCUCAUGCCCCAUAUAUUUCCACAAACCUAGCUCAAUUUUCAUAGCCACCUUCACUGUCCUACACUCACUAAGCCAUGGCCAUAGAUACAAGCCUCUUGCUUGAGUUUGCUGCAGCAACUCUACUCUUCUUCAUCACCCGCUUCUUCAUUCGUUCUAUCCUUCCCAAACCUUCCCGGAAGCUCCCCCCUGGCCCCAAAGGGUGGCCGCUCCUCGGCGCUCUUCCUCUCGUAGGUAACAUGCCUCAUGUUGCAUUAGCAAAGAUGGCCAAAAGAUACGGGCCUGUCAUGUUCUUGAAAAUGGGCACUAACAGCAUGGUGGUGGCCUCAACUCCCGAGGCGGCUCGGGCUUUCCUUAAAACGCUAGACAUUAAUUUCUCUAGCCGCCCGCCUAAUGCCGGUGCCACACUCUUGGCCUAUCAUGCCCAAGACAUGGUUUUUGCGGAUUAUGGGGCAAGGUGGAAGCUACUGAGAAAGCUAAGCAACUUACACAUGCUUGGUGGAAGGCUCUUGAGGACUGGUCUCAGGUCCGAGCUGUUGAGCUAGGCCACAUGCUUCGAGCCAUGCUUGAGUUGAGCCAGCGAGCGGAGCCGGUGGUGGUGCCGGAGAUGUUAACUUUUUCCAUGGCCAACAUGAUAGGGCAAGUGAUACUAAGCCGCCGGGUGUUUGAAACAAAAGGGUCGGAGUCAAAUGAGUUCAAGGACAUGGUGGUGGAGCUCAUGACCACUGCUGGGUACUUCAAUAUUGGCGAUUUUAUUCCGUCCAUCGCAUGGCUGGACAUCCAAGGGAUCGAGCGCGGGAUGAAGCAUUUACAUAAGAAGUUCGACAAGUUAUUGACAAGGAUGAUAGAGGAGCACACGGCAUCAGCCCAUGAGCGCAAGGGAAACCCAGAUUUUCUGGACGUAGUCAUGGGCCAUCAAGGAAAUUCUACAGGGGAGAAGCUCACCCUUACCAACAUUAAGGCGCUCCUCCUGGUAUGCAUAGUUAAAGCUUGUCUUUAAUUUUGUUUUCCGAUAUUUUCUUUCCGGAAACAGCACUUUUAUUGCUUUUAUAUCAGGUAGCCAUUUUAGGGGCACAUCACUGUUCUUUAUUUGCAUUUUUUUUUGUCUUUUUUCACUUGCAUGGUUGUUUUCAUAUGCUCAGCUGCAUGGCACAGGAAAAUUGGGAAAAAUGAUUGGUUCUCUGAUCAGACCUUCUGCACCAAAACACACUUCUCUCUAUUUUAUAAAAUCAAGAACAUUUAUGGUUUACAUGAAUUUUCGAACUUGAACUUUUGCUAGGGCUAAUGCAUGGAUCUCAAUUUUCAAUUGCGUUUGAUUACAUAAAUUUCAAGUAUGUCACCACAUUUUUGUUUCCUUGGCUAGAAUUUAUUUACUGCAGGAACAGACACUUCAUCAAGCGUAAUCGAGUGGUCUCUGGCUGAGAUGUUGAAAAACCCGAGCAUCCUCAAGCGUGCUCACGAAGAAAUGGAUCAAGUGAUUGGAAGGAGCCGGCGGCUCGUGGAGUCUGACUUACCAAAACUUCCAUACCUACAAGCCAUAUGCAAGGAAAGCUUCCGGAAGCACCCAUCCACCCCAUUGAACCUUCCUCGUGUCUCAACCCAGGCAUGUGAAGUGAACGGCUACUACAUCCCAAAGAACACUAGACUUAGCGUGAACAUAUGGGCAAUCGGGCGAGACC